Molecule: long non-coding RNA, 108315 nt
Filed under: Ananas comosus (pineapple)
Lineage: Eukaryota; Viridiplantae; Streptophyta; Magnoliopsida; Poales; Bromeliaceae
Description: long non-coding RNA (ACOM_LNC002441)
Source: RNAcentral
GUGGGUAGGGAUGUAAAUGGAUACAGAUAUCCGAAAUUUUAUCCGAAUCCGAAUCCGAAUGGGCUAAAUGGAUAUAGAUUCGGAUAUAGAUAUUUAAAAAUAAAAAUCCGACGAAUAUGGAUUCGAAUAUGAAUCUUGACUGUACCCGAUCCAAAUCUGAACCCGACCCGUACCCGAAUUUAUUUUGCAUUAUAUAUAAUAUAUGUAUAAAAAUUUAAUGUUAUAUUUAAAUUUUCUUUUAGCCCUUGUUUGGUUGGGGGUUAAGGGGUGGAAUAACCCCUUAACCCCCAUUUUAUCCCCAAACACUCCAAAAAAUGGGUGGGGUUAGUUAACCCCACCUCAAAUAAAUUAUCCCGGGUUAGUUAAUCCCAUUUAACCCCACCAAACUCCAACCAAACACUAUUUUCUAUUCAUAAUAACCCACUAUCUUUCUUAUCACACAUACUCCAACCAAUCAUUAUCUUUCUUUAUCAAUCAUUAUCUUUUUAUCUCAGCUACUCCAACCAAACACUAUUUUUCAUUAUUCUAGAUUAACUCCAACUCCCAACCAAAUAUAAAAAAACUUUAACCCCACUUUAACCCUAAACUUAACUCUAUCCCUGAAAUAGCUACUUUUUUCUUAACUCUGAACCAAACGGAGGCUUAAAAAUUUAGAUUUAAUGUAAUAUAUUUUGAAAUAUUGUAAAAAAUAAUUGUUUCGGAUUCGAAUAUAUGCGUUCGGAUUCGAGUUUUAAAUUUUGAUCAGAUUCGAGUUUGAAUAUGAAUUUUAAAACCCGUCCGGUUCGCAUUCAGGUUCGAAUCUCAGAGGAUUCGGGCUCGGAUUUUUGAAAAUCGGCCCCAAAUCCUACCCGCUGACAGCUGUGUGCGCUCCAACACGUUCCAGAGUUGGCAUAGAUAAUAUUGACCGUCCGAUGUCGCGUGAUCGUUGAUUUAUGACCGUUGGAUUGAGAUCGUGGGAAAGAACGGUAUUUCUCAGGGAAGAGGAAUAUACGCCGCAUCAUCCCUUUUUAAUAGAGGAUAGAGGAUAUAUAAAGGUUUAAAUAAUUUUUAUUUAGCUAAUACUUUUUUAUCUUUUAAAUAUUGUUUCAAUUUAAAUAUUUUUAAAAUUUAAUUAAAACUGAGGUAUAUUAAUAGUUUGAUAAAUCUAUUUUAAAAACAAUAAUAAAUAUUUCCGUUAAAUUUUAGAUAUGGAUCCGGUUGCGAUGAUAAUACGAUUUCAGCACAAAAAAUUAUCUACAACAAUACUACAAAAGGCUAAACAUAAAGUUACCUAUAGACUAUUUUGAAUGUCUAAUAUAUUUGUAUAUUAACUAAAUCUAUGAAGACAAAUAUCACAUUUAAAAUUUAAAGUCAAUGUGUCAUUAACUAACAAAGAUUAAACAAAUUGAAAGGAGUUAAAUCAAUUUUGAGAGAUUCAAAAUGAUCCAUAGAGUAAACUCUGCACGUUUUUUUGUACCUUAAAAAGAAAAAGGAAUUAACAAUUCUAUGAGUAUUAUCUGGUACCAAAUGCAUAUGGCUUAUCCACACCUUGACAAUACCAUCUUGCAAAAAUGGCAUGAACUAAGAAAGAAACCAACACUCUCAACUAACAAAGAAGUUCACACUUCAUGAACAAACUAAAGCUGAAUGAUCCUCAGUUGAUAGUGUUAUUGGCCUGCAGGAGACCAUCUCUUAUUUGCGCCGCAACGUCUCGAACGGCGCCCGGCCCGUGGGGGAUGAACACCGAGGUGGCCUUCGACGCGGCACCGAUCUCCUUCAUCGUGUCGAAGUAUUGCGUCACUAAGACCAUGUCCAUAACAUCCUUUGCCGAAGUGCCCGGCACGUUCUCGGAGAAGGCGAGCACGCUGUUCCUGAGCCCGUCGACGAUCGCCUGGCGCUGCCGCGCGAUCCCGAGGCCCGCUAAGUACUUGGACUCCGCCUCCCCCUCCGCGCGCUUGAUCUGAAGAAUCUUCUCGGCUUCCGCUUUCUCCUUCGCCGCCAGCCUCAGCCUAGCAGCUGUUACAGAACAUUGAUACAACAGUAAAAGUAAAUAUUUCUCUCCCAGUAUUUGCCAAACACUGCAAACAGAUAACUGCAGCGAAAAGCGAAAGAAGUAGCAAGGACCAAACAGUCCAAAAGUGUGAAAUUUCGCAUUAUUUCACAUGAUAUCAGAACAUGAGGUUCCGAGUUCGAGCCACGUCAGGCUUCUAGCAUUAUUAAUUUACUUCCAUUUAAUUCAAAUUCACAUCACGGGUCUUGCAAAAAGUCAAGAGUCUAGACGUGAGAGAGAGUGUUAAAUAUAAAAAUAUAUAAACGUCGUUCUCUAACAGCUUAAACUUUUAAAGUACAAUGGUUAUUUCGUAUUAUUUCACACAAAGAACUGCUAUAAACUUGCCUGCAUUGAUCUCGUUCAUCGCUCUCUUAACGUGCUCAUCAGGCUCGAUAUCGACUAUGAGGGUUUGAACUAUUUUGUAUCCGUAAGCCGACAUUGCCUAGAUCGCAAAGAAUCUAGGUUAAGAAACUCGUAAACAAAACAGCGUAAAAAAAGAAGAAGAGAGAGAAUAGAUUGAUUAGAUACCUUCUCAAGUUCAUCUUCGACGGCUUUUGCAAUAUCGUUUUUUUGCUCGAAUACAUCGUCUAUAUUCAGCUUAGGGACGCUAGCCCUGAUGACUGUAUAGAGAAUUUACAUUUGUCAGCAUUUACUACUGAUAAAAAAGAAAGUUAAAAAAAAAAAAAAUGAAGUUCAAGUACUCUAAGAAAAGCUACAAGUUUCUAAAUAUUUAUAUUAUGAACUAUGAGACUCGAAUUGGAAAAAGGAAACACAUUCAAAAAGAGAGAGGAUUCGCCGCGCUGAUUGAAACACUGCUUACCAUCAAAAACAUAGGAUUGAAUCUGCUUGCUCGGGUUGCUAAGCCUAUAGAAAGCGUCGGCGGCCCUACCAGCAAGAACAUGGUAUUGAACGGAUGCGACGACAUUGACAAACACGUUAUCCUGAAGCACAAAAAACUUUAUAAGAAACUAUAGCUUCAAAAGGCUAUGAUUUGCAUGCGAAACUAAUGACAUUUAUUAAUCCUGACAGAAAAAAAAAAGAAUAAAAUUAAGUCGAUUUGAGAGAUAUCCUUAGCUUUUUAAUUGUUUUUCUUUUGCAUAUUCCAAUCUUAUCAAAACUAUAGUCUCAAAGAUUCAAGUGUGUCAAUGUCCUUGCGAAGUCAUUUACGUACACAAUAGAGAAUCUGAGUUUACACACGCUCCUUCGCAAGCACUUUUUCUUACAAAAGUACGUUAUCUUAAGUUGAGGAAGCCGAUUUAACGGGGAAGUUGGUUUUGAAUCAGAAAAAGUUAUCUAACAAGGAGCAUACAAUAAGUGCAAGGGUCAUACGUUUUUAAGGGCAUGUAUGAUUAUUCAGAUAGUGCAGGGCUAUGUACUUAGAUAGAUAAUAUAUAUAACAAACGCGAGCGAACGUGCGCGCGCGCACACAGAAACAGAGAAUAACCUUCGUCUUUGUUUCGCAACGGACAUCAAGUUGUUGAACACGCAACGAAAGACGACCCGCAAUCUUCUGCCCGAAGAUCCAUGGCAAGCAGUGACAUCCGGGAUCAAGCGCCUCAUUAUAUUUCCCGAACCAUUCCUUGAUGGCUACCGUUGACUGCUCGACUUGGACGCAACAGAAUGUCUGCCCCAUUUUGUUAACUACAGAGAGAAGAAUCCAAAAAAAUAAAUAAACAACUUGCUAUUAACUAGCAUGAUAAAUGUUCACAUUCGGCGUAUCUGACAGUUCGUCAGUAAGGCUUAAAAGCAAUAAAUUUCCUUCAAGAUAAUCAAAACCUACAGCAAACCGUAACCUAAACUAACACGAUGUUAAUCGAUACUGUACCUCUGUUCUUUUUCAUAAAUUGAGGGGUUAUCUAUAGGUUUCAAUUAUCAAGUAAAGUACAGAUCCACAUAUCCAGGCUAGUUAUCUCGAUUUAAGUUCAAACUUCGAUUGCGUUCCUCUGGCGAGGCUUCGAAGCAGCAACUAAAAAGACUAGAAUUUACAAUCAGUUUCAGACUCUGAAACGAUGAUUCUCGUACUUCAAUUUCGUAAGAAUUUGCACAUUGCAUAAUAUACUAUGAAUUACCGCAAGAUUAAGUCACAGAACCAUAACAGAAAUUUUUUACAAUGGAUAGCAAACCGUUACUGUGCGGAAUUCAAAAAAGUGAUAAUCAGAAUAUUGACAGGGAGUCAAACUUCAAAAGCACAAUACUGGAGAUGACUCAGAAUUGAUGCAUACAAGAUGAUCAAAGAUAUAAGUACAUCAGAAUAAUGAUGGUUUGGUGGAGCUUUGAGAUGGCUUCAAUGUUCAUGAAAUCGAAGACCUAUCUCAACAAUUAUAUAUAUAUAAUCACAACUCAAAUCGUCGAUUGAUCAAAAACCGCGUAAUUGAAUCCUAAAAUUUUCUAUCCAUUCAACAUCGAAACCAAGGAUUUAAGUACCCAUCAGCAGGGACUGUAUCUACUGUGUUGUAUUGUGCCAAUAAAAUAUCGACACGAUACAGCCCAUAUGCCAAUGAAACAACUCAAAAUCUUAUAUUCUUUAAAUUAGUAAGUAAAUUUCAAGUUUAAAAACUUCGAUAAAAAUAUAUAAUAACCGGUUAGAAUAUUUUGUUGCUAAAAAUAAUAAUUAUUUCAUGCUAUUAUAUUUUGGCACGCAUGAAUUUUUGGUGACCGGCACGCAUUGGCGUAGCCCGACACGUACCAUAGCGAAAACUUGCCAUACCGUGCGAGCAAAUUACCGGCACGGUCCCGUACCAUGACGAUUAAAUCCUUGAUCAAAACUAAAAAUUCUUAAAGCAAUUGUACACAACCCAACGCAUCAAUUUCUCACCAAAAAAAAAAAACCAAUUUUGAUGUAAAAAUUACCGAAAAGGAGAAUAAUAAUAGUAGAAUUAAAGAGGUUAAGGGGUCUCUCAUACCUAUGGACGACGAUAGAAAAAGCACGAAGGGUUCGAGAAAUUAAAAAGUUAAUUAAUAUUUAAUAUUAUAAUAAUAAAAUUAAAAAAACCACACGGCUAGGGUUUUAUAGAAGAGUAGGGAGAGAGAGAGGAUAGAGACGAAGGGGUUUUGAAAGAUUCGGAGAUUGUCGUACGCCGAAUUAAUCGACGAAUCAGUGAAGAGCGAGAGCAAAGCAAAUUGUUCGUGAACCGGAUGCACCUUGCACCGACAAUCGUAGCCGCACAUUAGCUGCGAGUUUAAAAAAUGGGAUGAGAUGAACGGUCGAAAGGUACGGUGCAUCAAGGGCGAAGUGUGAACCUGGUUCACGAAAAUGUUGCGAUCGUUAGAGUAAGUGUUAACUAACUAACAAACCAUGCAAUCCGCACGCUAUAUUAUAUUUUAGUACCCUUAUCUUUAGCAUUUUUACAAAUAGAUCCCCGAACUUUUACUUUUUUUUUCCUGUGAGAUUAGAUUUCAUAAAUCUCAGGACGAACUUCCACAAGAUGUUCUCUUAUAUUAGUUUGCGAUAAGCUUGGCAAUCUAGCUCGCUGCUCGCAAGCCAACCCGUGUUCGGUUCGAAAUGAGUUCGAGAUCGACCAUUCGUUUAAUAAAUGAGCCAAACACAAUUUAAAAUUUUCAACUCAAAAUUUUAACGAGCCAAACAGGAACUAGAGUAAGCCGGCUUGUGCUCGGCUCAAUAUAGACUAUUUGAAUUUUAGUCCAACUCACAUAUAAAGAGGCCUAUAUUUUAUAAAUUUUAAUUACUAAAUUCUAAGGUUUGAGUUUUCUUUCAACUUUUCGUCGAGCCGUGUGGCUGACAAUUGAACUUGAUGUUCACGAGUUAGUUCGUGCUCGACUCGUUAACAAACAAACUGAACACAAAUUAAAUUUUUUAGCUCAAUAUUGAGCGCAAAUUAUAUUAUUGCAAAUCAUGGCUAGAUGCUCUGACAAUAUCAACUCAAUUUUUGGAUAGAAAUUAAUGGUUAUAUAUGAAUAUGAAUUCAGGUACUUUGAUGCUACAACGCAGUUAAUGUCCCUCACUCAAAUCCUAGCACAGUAGCACCUUGUCUCUACUCUCUGGUAAUUAGUUGCAUGAAAAGAAAAAUCCUUAAUAUUCUUCCCAUUAGAUAUUGGUUGUUGUAUUAGGAUCUCACAAAAUCCAUAAAAAUGCAUUAGGUUUUCACCUAUCCAUCUAACAAACUUAUUUAUCUGUUUCAAUAUCUAUAAAAUUCUUCUACAAUUUUAUUUAUUUUUAUUUUUUUUUGAGAGAUAGGUUGCACGCUACCCGCUUUGUUUAUUUCAUUUAGAAAUAAACUUAGCUGGAAAUAAUAUAUAAAUAUUUAUCUUAAAAAGAAAAGAUUUUGAAUGAUAAAAUAUUUAAUAAAAAAUAAAAUAUUAAUAGUUGGAGAAAAAAAGAUGAACUAAAAAUUUGUUUCGUUACGUUCUUGCGUACAAAAUAUUUUUUUUUAAAUUAAUGGGUUUGUCAACAGAUCAAAAUUUGAACUAUAUGCUUUUAUAUAUAAUAUAUGUAUAGAUAUCUACCUUAUGAAAGUCCGUGGUACUUUGUCCACGUGGCAACAUUAUCUUAAUUUAAUUUUUAUGGACCCUACCUGUCAGCCACACUAAUAAUAAUAAAAGUGGACCCUACCUGUCAGCCACUCUAAUAAUAAUAAUAAUAAUAAUAAUAAUAAUAAUAUUAGUUUUAGAAAAUCUAACCCGCCCCUACGCCCUUCCGCCUCCUCUUCUUUCGUUUUUUUUUUAUUUUUUAUUUCCCCCAAGCCGCCCUACGCCCUUCCGCCUCCUCUCAUUUCUUUUUCCUUUUUUUUCCCCAAGCCGCCCCUACGCCUCCCAGAUGGGCUCUGCAGGCGAAGGCGGAGAAGUCGACGGCGUCACACCCGGCGGAGAAGGAGGCGGCGGAGCAGCACAAGCAGGAGAGGAUCGACGAAGCCGAGGCCACCAAGCGGGAGGCGGUGACGGAGCGCCACCACGACGCUGCCGCCGCUGCCGCCGCCGCCGCCGCCGCCCGCGGUGGCGGUCAUGUUAUCGGGUGCCAGGCGGCGGGAGGGUACGUGGAGCCCGGCGUGGCGGAGUCGCAGCCGAUCGCCAUCGCGACGGGGAUGGUGCGGCCGUCGGCGGCGCACAACCCCCGCGUCGGCAGCGAACACCCGGAGCCCCGUGGUACCGGCAAAGGAUACACUUGAACUGAACUAAGGCGUCGGUUCCGGCUGGGGAGAGAAUAUAUAGGAAGAGCCAAAGGGAGAAGAGAAGGCCUACGCCGACACCUAAGCCGAUGCCGACGUCAGGACUCACCAGAAUGCUGGUCUUCCUCGGCGGAGCGCUCUNUAUUCGACUCGAAAUGAGUUCGAGAUCGAAUCGCUCGUUUAAUAAACGAGCCGAGCACGAGCUGAAAUUUUCAGCUCGUUUAAUAAACGAGCUGAAUACGAGCUGGGGUCAGCUCGUUCGUGUUCGGCUCGAUAACGACUCGAAUACAUAUAUUUUAUAUUUAUAUGUAUAAAUUAAUAAUUAUAUAUGCAUAUAUAUAAAUUUUUAUUAUUUGAUAUUUCGCCGAACCUAAAUAUAAAAUCCAACUCAAUUAUAAAAUAAUUUAUUUAUAUGUAAAAUUUUAAUCAUUAAAACAAAGUAUAACAUAUAAGAUCUUAUAAAUUUAUUUUAUAUAUAUAUUCUUUCUAUCCUUUUAAAAUCUUAUUCAUAAGCCAGCUCGUAUUCGGCUCGUUACUAAACGAGCCGAACAUGAGCCGAAUUUUUCGGCUCGAUACUUUAAGGAGCCAGGUCGUACAAGCCGAAAACACAAGCCAACCCCAACUCGCUCGUGUUCGGCUCGUUGACACCCCUAAUUAGGGGUGGCAAUCCUGUCAAAUUCUUGCGAACGAAAAAAAAUUUCUAUCGUCCCCGUCCUCACGGGGAUCUUCUUCCCCCGCGUGACUCCGCGAAUUUUUUUAAAUGCAAUAAAUUAAUUUUUAUAAAAUUUUAUAAAAUUUAAUUUUAUUCUAAUUCUAAUCACCUUACGUGUUAUUGAAUUAUUAAGUUUAUUUUUUUCUUUCAAUGUCAAAUUUUUAAGUGUGACUCAUCAAAUUACUAAAAUUGUAUAUCAAUAAAAUAUUAUUUAAGUUUAACUAGUAUAUUGUCUAAAAAACUAAAUAUGUUAAAAUAUUUAAUUAAAUUUAAAAUAUAUUAAAAAUAUUAAAAUUAGUUUUCUAUGUUUAUAAAUAAAUUAAUAAUAUAAUACAUUAUUGGACCGGGUGGUGAGUAAUAUCCCCGGCCCCGACCCGUCCUAUCCUAAUCUUAAUACAUAAAAAAAAGGGAAAACUUCAAAAACCCCCCUGUGGUUUCACACUUUUUUAUUUUAAUACCCUGUGAUUUAAAGUGUAUCAAGUUAGUACCAUGUGGUUUCGUACUUUAUCACUUUAGUACCCUGUGGUUUCACACUUUUUUAUUUUAAUACCCUGUGAUUUAAAGUGUAUCAAGUUAGUACCAUGUGGUUUCGUACUUUAUCACUUUAGUACCAUGUGGUUUCAUACUUUAUCACUUUACUACCCUAUGGUUUAAAAAAUCACAGGAUACUAAUUUGAUACAAAAUUACUUUACUAUCCUAUAGUUUAAAAAAUCACAGGAUACUAACUUGAUACAAAAUUAAAACCAUAGGGUACUAAAGUGACAAAGUGCGAAAUCACAGGGUACUAAAAUGAUAAAGUGUGAAACCACAGGGUACUUAAGUGAUAAAGUGAGAAACCACAGGGUACUAACUUGAUACAUUUUAAACCACAGGAUACUAAAGUGAAAAAAAUUGAAACCACAAGAGAGUUUUUUGAAGUUUUUCCUAUUUAAUUUAACACUAAGUUACAACUUAGUACACUAAGGCUUAGUUUGGUAUUGAAGCCUAUGUAACGCUAUUAGAUAAAAUGGGAAAAAAAAAACAUAUAGGAUAUGCUUCUGCGUUCUCCAGUGGGACCGUAGAAAAUAUAUCGUAACCGACUCAUCGCGAUAUGCAAAACGCAAUAUUACGUACGAAAAUAAAUAUGCUAUUUUUCCAACAUACUUUUUCACCGCACGUAACGCAAUCUCCCUGCAAUUUCAAACGAAGCCUAAAUUAAUCCCAAAAGGCCAAAACUAAGUUGAUAAUCAAAUACUAAAAAAGUUAACCGGUAAGUUGUACAAUUGUUUUUAAAAAUCCAAGAGUUCAAAUACCAAAACAAAUCAAAAGAAAAUAUUCGGUUCGGUUUGAUUUUCCACUCCAUUAAUUUGGUUUUGGUUUCCGAUUUUCUAAAACUGGAUUAGAUCGGAGUGGUUUCAAUUUAUCUUGUAAUCCUCCGGCCCAGUCCGGUCCGGUCUAAGAUGACCCACUAAACCAGGCCGACCCGCAUUGGACCCAGGCCCAGUUUAAACCGGCCGGUCUAAUUGAAUAUUUAUGAGUUCUACCGAGCUUGCGUCCGGUCUAAUCUGGUCCAACUUUAUAUUUCUCCAUUGGGUUCCCGGUCUAAGCCGGUCCAACUUUGUUAUUAUAUUUCUCGACAGUUUCGAGUCUCUUCGUCUUCGUCUUCGUCUUCUUCCUCCUCCCUUUUACUACUACGCCUACUUCGUCGUCGCGAAUUAGGGUUAGGGUUCUGCUUCCCAAGCACAACCUCCUUUCCCUAUCUCAAUCACCUCGCCAACUAGGGUUUCGAGGCAAGCGGGAGUGGGAAGAAGAAGAAGUAGACGACCUUAUAAUUCUGAUUCGAAACCCUAGAUCGCAAGCACCUCGCCAAUUAGGGUUUUGGAGGUGAUCACGCGGCGAGAGGAAGGAGAAGAAGGGAGGAAAGAAGAAGAAAGAGAAGAAGAAGAAGAAGAGGAAGGAGAAGAAGGGAGGGAUGGGAGAGCGGAAGGUGCUGAACAAGUACUACCCACCGGAUUUCGAUCCGGCGAAGAUCCCACGGCGGCGGCAACCGAGGAACCAGCAGAUCAAGGUGCGGAUGAUGCUCCCCAUGAGCAUCCGAUGCAACACCUGCGGCACCUACAUCUACAAGGGCACCAAGUUCAACUCCCGCAAGGAGGACGUUGUCGGCGAGGUAAACCCUAAUCAUAUCCCUCCCCUUUCGAUUAUUGUUAGUAAUUUCUUCUUCUAUGUUGCUCGAUUUUUGUGGGAAAAUUCGGGAAUAUGAUGUGCUAUAAUGUUUUUUUUUUUUUUUUAAUUUGAUGUCUAUCGAAGAGGGAAAAAACAAGGGCUUUUUAUGGGAAAAUGAUGAGAAAAACUGAAACUGAUUCUUGGAACUGUUAUAUCGCAUCUGUAAAUAUAUUGCUCAUUAUUGGUACAAAAUUAGAAAAUAAUGUUAUAAGAGGUUUGCAUUUUAUCCUAGAUACUGAGAUUGGUAUGGGAAAACGAGGUGGAGACUUGAAUUGAGGGUUGAAUGAUUCUUCUUUCCAUCAGGCAGGUGUAUCGGGGGAUUGAAAUUGAAUCCUCCUUUCGAUUCUUUCUGACCUAUCCUAUUAUGUUACCUGACUUUUCGAAGAAUUUCUUGGAUUGUAAUGUGAUGUGUGGUUCUUCUUUUGGUUCUCUGUAGGGGGAAAACUGAUCCGUUUAUUGGAGAACAUUUGGCAAACUACAAUUGGUUGUUGUAUUGUAGCUUAUAAUAUACUCCAUAUAUGAGGAUUUUUGUAGUUCCUGAAACUGAAAGUUGUUCUGCAAAGCGACUAUGAAACUGGAAUUGACUAUCAAAAUAUUGAAUUUAAUUUUGCAGACGUACCUGGGGAUUCAACUCUUUCGGUUCUACUUCAAGUGCACCAAAUGUUCGGCAGAAAUUGCUUUCAAGACGGACCCACAGAACUCGGACUACACAGUAGAGUCAGGGGCAUCUCGUAAUUUUGAGCCUUGGCGUAAUGAAGAGGAGGUGAGUGAUCUAAACAAUGCUAGCUAUUUGUUCGGUCAUUUAAUAUGUUUGUGAUGGGUGUUUGGCCUGACAUCUGGAUCAUGCUAUUUACUAAGAGCACCUGAAGCUAGAUGUUUUGGCAAAGAAAUAGCAUGGAGAUUUUGCUUUGAUUGGAAGCUAAAAUAUGUUACUACAAACCAAAAGUAGAAGCUCUAAUUUGAAGCUGUAUUUUCUUCUGCUUCAGUGGGGAGCUAUUGGAGGAAUUUAUGAAAAACCUGUUAAUCAUUUUGAACAACUAUAACAGAUCUUAGCUCUGAUGGGGGCCCAAAUCACUAGCUUCUAGCCGGGGCUGAAAGUUGAAAUAAGCUUGUGGAUCCCAUGGCAAAAGCUUCAAUUUGAAGCAUCUUUGUCUACCUUCAGUGGGAAGCUCUUGGGUUUUUUCUUUUAUUAAACAGCUCGUAAAGCUUCUUUGAACAUCUUUGUCAAAUGACACUUAAGCAGAAGCUUCAUCAGAGCCAACUGGUCCUUUAUCUGCAGUUUUUUACAUUAGGGGGUGCCGGUGAUGGUUUUUAAUGGAGUUUACUUCUUCUGUCAAUGUCAUUAGGCACUACAAAAUGACAAGAGGAAAAGAGAGGCAGAAGAGAUGGGGGAUGCAAUGAAGUCAUUGGAGAAUAGGGCUCUUGAUUCAAAGCAGGACAUGGAUAUACUCGCUGCUCUCGAAGAGAUGAGAUCAAUGAAGGUAUAGUUGCACUUUUCAUUUUAUGAUUCUUGGUUUUAUUUUCAUUUUCUAUAUGAUAAGCUGUCAUGGGAAGUUUGCUAGUCAUAAUAAGGAUUGGCUAAUUGGUAGUUUUGCAAUUUUCUCACCAAUGGGUUUCGUCAAUGAAGUGCUUAUGAAAAAUCAAUCACGUCAGAGUGUUUCUGGGGUCAAAACCACUUUGAAUUUGAUAAAUGUAUUUCUUGUGAAUUUUGGAAUUGAAUUGUACCCAUCUAUAUUGGGGUUUAUACUUAUUUUUGUACUAGCUGUUUUAUUUUCCAAUUUAAUAUGAAUCGUGCUGACUAUUUUUUUUUGUCUUUUGUCUUUUUUCUUUUUUGUUGGUUUGUUCUGCAGUCCAGGCAUGCAACUGUGAGCUUUGAAGACAUGCUGGAGACCUUGAAACGUUCGGCUUAUGAGAAGGUAGUAGCUUGCUUUGCUAGUUAUCUCUCUCGCCUUAUGUAUUUUCCUUUUUUCAUUUGGUGAGAUUUAUAUAUUAUUCAGUACUAUAAGAAGUAGAAUUAAAAGCAUAGUGAGCUUACCCAUAAGGAGUUCUUCCAAUUUUCCAAAGUGUCUUUAAUUUAUUAUAUGGCGUCUUGUAGACACAGAGCAGAAUGGAAGAACAUGUGUAGCUAACCUUUACUAAACGUUUGUUAUGUGCUAUCUCUUGUGCAUGAUCGAGUGCAAUAUGUCUUCCAUUUAAUAUUUGGUGGAAAGACCUCUGUGCAUUAACUUGUAUGUGUUGAGUGUGGCUCUGAGAUUUCUAAUGACUUGCCAUACAUUGACAGGAGCAAAAAGACAUGGAAGAGUUAGAUGAGGCAGAUGAAGCACUAAUUAGAUCAAUUGCUUUCCAUGUUAGUAUUUCUGCCUUUCUUUUAGUUUUUUAUUUCACUUUCAGUGUUGUUAUUGUAAUUUUCAAAUGAUUGUUAAUAUGCAAUUCAUAAAUUCAGGGUUCAAAAGAUUAUGUCCGGCGAUUGAGUGAUGAUGACGAUGACGAAGUUGAUCCAGAAAUAGGCCAACCUUCUUCAAGUGAACCAUUGGAUAGCAAUAAGAAGGUAUUCCAUUACCUAGCUUAUUGCUUUGCUGCAAAUUCUAGUAUUGAAAAUUAUGUUUUCUUUUCCUAUAAUGUCGUUGGAAAUGUUGUUUUGGUUGCAAAGUCAUUAUUCAGUGCAGAGCUUAAAAGGUUUUUUGGUUGUACUUUUCCACAUUGACUAAGCCUAAAAUAACAUCAUAGAUUCCCUGUAUUAUCACUGCUAUAAUACUACUUUUCUUCUUUUUAUUUUUAAUCCAAGUUAUUUAGCAUGGCAAUCUUUGUGUUAUUUGCUUGUUAUUUGACACUCGUAUUGCCUUUUUUGUCAUUAUAUAUAGUAUUCACAUGUGGUGUAUGAUUAUUGUUCUAUACUACCUGUGUGAUAGAUUCAUACCUAUAAUGACACUAUUGUUGUUCUGAACGGAAUUUGGCGUACAACUUAUCACCUUUUUUUAUGAUUUAUACUAUAAUCUGUGUGUGUGUGUGUGUGUGUGUGUGUGUGUGUGUGUGUGGUUGCUGAAUCUCAUAUGUUUCUUAUCUUUUGAAGGGGAAAAGUUCCUUACAACUCCAAAGUACAAUUGCAAAUCCAACAGAUGCCUUGACAAAAGCAAGCAUCUCUGACAGCUCAAAAAAUAAAGGUGUUUCUCUUGCUGAAGAUCGUGUUACUUCAUAAUGGUUUUUUUUUCUUUCACUGAAUUAGCUACAAGCUAUUUUAGAGAGGAAUAAAUUUUUUUUUAAUGCUUUUAUGCUCUAGUAUUUCGCCAUGCUUUUGCACCUUUUAUGUAGUUUUAAGGUUUUGAUACUUAAAUGCUCUAACUCUUGUUUCAUUUAACGCAAAUGAAAAUAUCCCUCAGGUUUUUUAUUUGUCGAGCAACUUCCAUCUUCUGUUAAGUACCAACGAAACUGUUUUCCAUUUAGUGUGUAUGGCAUGGUGGCCCGCUGGCCCUAUAGCUUCUUACUUUUUCUUUGAAGAAAUCAUUAAAUAAUUAAUUUCUUUUUAUGAUCCCUCUAUGGUAUAGUUACCUCACAUCUCGCCACUUACUCAAAAUAAUGUUCUUUGAAGGAAACCGCUUUUUCUUCCUUUUUUUCCCCAAUUAGUUUGCAAAGCUCAUUAAAUUUGGGUUAUCGUGUCCUUACCAUCAAAUGUAAUUUUUACAGGGACUAGAAGUGGCACAUCAGUUUUAAUGCCAAAAUUCAUAUUGAAACCAAAGCCUACAAAGGAUGAACCUUCUUCUAAGAAGCCUCGGUCUGAACCCGCAGCGAUGGACCAAUCAGGAGACACAGGAGGAGAAGGUGAAAACAAACUGAUUGAAAGCAACAGUAAUACAGCGAAUGGCCUUCAAUCUCUUUGUCAAAAUUACGACAGCGAUGAGAGCGACUGAUUCUGCGAUAUACCAUUACUUGCUGUUAUCUUUUACUGGGAAUUGAGACCUCUGGCCAUGUACAAUGAAGAGGCAACCUCUCUAGGUUUCAGUCGGACUUCGAGAAAUAAUGACAAGAGUUGUUUCUAUUUCUCUCUUUGGCCGAAAAUAUUAGGGCAUUAGUAUGCCUUGUUUCAGGCCUCAGAAGUUAUUCCCUGUACACACUGUAAAUGUUGACAGUGCCAGAUAAGAUACUGGUGAAAUGGGAGAAAGGUGUGUAAUGUCAAAUGUGGGCCAUCACCAAUGUUUAGAUGUUGUGCUACAUUAAGCUUGAAGCUUGUUUUUAAGGAAUUUGUUUAGCCAGAGCAAUUCCUUGCCUCUGUCUAAAAAUUGAAUUGAGCUUAAAAUGUACCGGUGCAUCUUAAGUUUAGUACAACGAAUUUUUGGUGCAGAUUUGUUCUUAAGUUGGGUGUGUUGGACAUGUUGAAUUUGGGCUUUUUUUGGGUCUUUUAUUUAUGGGCACAAAAAAAAAAAGAAGAGUUACAAGCGAGCCAUACCCCUUGCUUUGCUUUAAGAUUCGAGCCAGUGGAUUAAUGUAGUGAUGUAUCCCCCCGCUUCGCUUUAAGAUUCGGGUCAGUGCGGUGAUGUAGUGAUGUACUUCUCAAUCUACUGAGAUAUCAAUUGCUUGAGAUAUCAAUUGAAGCGAGACUAUUAUAAGAACAAUACACGAUUCCAAAAUUUUCACCGUUACAUAUUACAGGUUGCUGUAAUUACAACAAGGCUAUUAAUAUUAGCAUAUAUCACCCCAAACAAAACCACAAGCAAAAUCAUGUCAACAAGAAACAAAACAAAACAAAAGAAUGAUAUACAUAUUCUCCAGGUGCGUCUUUUGUCGAUCACGAGAGAACGUUGAAGGACUGCGCUUCUUUCGCGACCUUAAUGAAGACAUCCUCCAACGUCGUAUCGGCCAAACCCCAAGCAUAUAUCUUGAGCUUGCUCUUCGCACUCUCGACCGCUCGGAAAACAUCCGCUAUUCGCACUUCUUGUUUCGAGAGCUCAAACUUUUGGGUCCCUGAUAUAUGGUAAAUCUUAUUCGCACUCGGAGAUAGCCGUCGAACUAAGCUUUCCACUUCUGCUUCUUCAUCUGAAGAUGUAGUCAUCGUGAACACGUAGGACCCGCCGUAUCUUGCCUUGAGCUGCCGUCAUAAACACCGAUAAAAACACAUUUCAAUAACAUGCAUUGGUGCUAAUCUUUAUUAGUUAGAGAACAAUCACCAUAUAAAUGCAACUUUUGGAAUAAAAAUUUGUCAUCAUACACAAACUGAUAUUUUCGGCUUACCUCAGUAGGGUUUCCUAAGCAUUGGAAGCUUCCAUCCACGAAGAUACCAAGCCGAUCGCAUAAAACCUCUGCCUCCUCCAUUGAAUGCGCUGAAGCGAUUUUUUUUUUUUUUUUUUUUAACUUUCUCAGUGAGUAGAAGUAAUCACAUGCAUAAACAAUAAAAAUUUGCAUAUUUCAUACUAAUAGUUGAGAGCAAAUGUAUGCACACAGCAUGCAAAGCCCUUGCCAAGUUUAGGCUCAUCAAAGUUUUAGUCAGUGGAAAGAAUAGGAGAGAAUAAGGUUACAAAACAAAAAAACUGUAUUAAAGAAAAGAACAUACUAGUAAGGAUAAUCGCGCGAUCUCUUUUCGCACGCUUCACGACGUUCCAUAAGUUGUUUCUUGAUGCUGGAUCCAAUCCUGUGCUUGGCUCAUCCAUGUACACAACCUGUGCAUACAUUUUAAAGGAAUAUGCAUGGUGCAAUGAGAAUGUUAUGCACAAGUAAUAGCCUAUUAAAAGGAUCUUAAAUGUAAUAUUUAUGAGAUAUAUAUAUAUACUUUAGGAUCGCCAAUUAGUGAGAUAGCCACACUAAGCCUCCUCUUCAUGCCGCCGCUGUAUUUGCCAACUUGCUUGUCGCCGACGCCACCGUGAAACAGAUUCACACUCUUCAACGAUUCUUCAACUGCCUGGAAAAUGCAAUUGUUGGAUCCAACAACAUUCAUAGGAGUAAAUAGAUGUUUGGUGGUGCAUUUACUACUAUACAAAAUAUACUCGCGCGCCAUGAAACAUACUCUACAUAUAUAUAUUCAAUGUAGAAUAAACAGAUGUAAAAGAAAGAUAAACAUGCUUCUAGUGUCUUUCAACAACUAUUUGAAGUUAUCAAACAAAGUUUUCUACGAAUAGUUAAGGGAUUUGAGCCCAAUAUGAUUUAUAUAAAUCGAAGUGCUCACUUACCACCUAAAGUUCUCUUAUUGAUUUCCAAAUCUGCAUGUUCACUUAAUGUAAUUUAAUCAUGACAAAUUAGAAAUUAAAGGCCUGAAUGAUCUAUCUAGAGCUACUACAGAACUGCCCUUUGAGUUAGGCGUUGCAAUUCGAGUUUGCAAGUCAUGUUCACAUUCGACAACCAUGUUACUCGUGUCAAUUUGAAGAUCGUUGAAAGGCCUAUAAUAGCAACUUAAAUGCUCAGAACAUACAAUAAUUUUGCAUGUGUCAUAUCGUGUCAUGUCAUGUCAUUUUCAAGUUAAACAGGUUCUUAUAGUGUCGAUUUCAGGUUUCUCUCAAUAACUUCAUGUCGUAUUUGAUCAUAUUAGGUCAUGUUAUCACGUCGUGUCUGAAAUUUCGGAAGGAGCAUUAACAGUUUUCCUGGUGAGCUCCUCCAAGUAGCUUACUUUAUCGCAAAAGUGCUUUCGAGUCAGAAAACUAUUCCUUCUUUUCUAUUUUUUUUGUGGCCCAGAAGUUUAUUUCUCUUUCCUGUAAUACCGAGAAGCUCCAAGUUUACUUGCAACUCUACUUUUAAUUGAUGAAACCAUACAACUUUGGUUGAGUUUAUCAAAGAGUGAAUCAGAUAUAAACCAUGCAUAUAACUGAUUUACCUGCAUUAAUGCACCACCCUUAAGAUUCUUCAGUCGGCCAUAGAACAAAAGAUGCUCCCUUCCGGUUAAUGUUUCCCACAGCAAACUGCAUUUCGAACAAAUAAUUAGUUGAAUCAAAACCCAAAUCUCUAAUUUAUGUUUACACCAAUUAACCUUAUAGCUAACACGAAAGAACGGUAAGUUUAGGGACAUACUCAUGCUGCGGACACACACCCAUGCUUGUGUAUAUCUCAUCCAUACUCGUCCGUAUAUCUAAUCCUUGGACAUAUGCUGUGCCUGAGCUUGGUGUAAUAAGCCCAAUCAUCUAUUAACAGAAGAAAUACAAGUUCAUGUUAAGACCAUAAUACAUGCCUCUUAAAUACCUGCAAAAUUUAAAUUUUUGUAUAUACCCCUCGAAAUUGUAGCUUCUUAUGCAAGCACCUUCAUCUUAAAUUGGGGAGUCAUCGAUGUCAAGCGACAGAGUUAGUUUUGUAUUAGAAAUAAAGCUUUUUUGAAGGGCAUAUAUGAGAACUCAAACUUUGUAGGGAUACAUGUGUGUAUGUAAAUUGACAAUUCAGCAGUAUAUAUGUAAAUAUUAUCAUUAAUUGAUAAAAAUUUUCAUGGCUUUCCAAUAUCCACAGUUGUUGCUCACUUUACGGUCUUAUUAAACAUUAGUGAGAAUGGACGGAACUGACCAUAUUGAUGAAAGAAGUUUUUCCGGCACCAUUAGGGCCAAGCAUUCCGAAACACUGCCCUUGAGGCAAAGCAAGAGCUAAUCCACGGACGGCGAGCUUGUCCGGAUUUCCGUCCCUUCCUGGAUAAACUUUUUUGAGGUUAUUGCAGACGAUCGCAUGACUAGUACGGCCGGAUUCUGCUAGCAGCUGCUCAACAACCUCCCUCUGAAAAUAAGUUAAGAAACGCAAAGCAAGAACAUAGGAAAAUAAGGAACCAAUUAUCUUUUCUGGGAAGUGAUAAAAAGUUUGUAAAGUACAUCAGAAUACUGGCUUUUCAAAGUACAUCAGAAUGGCAGUGAAUUAUGUAUUUUGUAUCCGCGUGACAUAAACCAGACUUAUUCUGGGCAGAUAACCAAGAAUUAUUAGCUGCUAGAGGCGAGUCCGCAAAAUAUUGAGACAAGUCCAACAUGCUAUCCAUUAAGAAAGCGACUCACUAUUAAUAAAAAUUUGAAUAUAUCUGAUACAUAUAGCUUGCUAAGUAUAAUUCAUAGGUGCGAUAGUUUUAAAGCGGAAGAUUGAUCUGAAAUCUUGCCGUCUGUUCUUAAGACAAAUGUAUGCUCUCAACCAUAUUCUAUUACAGAAUAGUUUACAGACAUUUCGUUUCUCUUCUUUUGUUUGAUCGACUCCCGACCAACUUUCGACCAUUAUCUAUGGAUAUUUCUGUCGAUUCAAUUGAGGAUUCCACUAUUUAAAAGUGACUCAAAGUAGUAUAAAGAAAGUUCAUACGGUGCAAACUAGUAAAAUGAACUUACUUCUUGAGCCACAUCAGGUUUCUCCAUAUCAACAGCGACUUUCGAUCCUUGGCUUGCCAAACUAGGUCUUCUCCAAGAUAGUGAUCGCUUCUUUUGAAAAUAUCUUAAGAAAAAUAGAGGGUCUUUCCUCAUUCCACCUCCUAAUGAAGAGGCUUGAUCCAAAUAGUAUGCAAGAGGGAGCAACACUACCCAUUCCACAGUCAUUACAAUCAUUACGUUCUUCAUACCGUUUAUAGGAUCACUUAAAUCUUUCCAUCGCAUUCCCGAAGUGCCCAUGUUGUUCCCCAUGAAAGCAUACUGAGCAAAUUCAUAUAGCCCGCGCCAUAAUGAAAAGCCAGGAACAAGCUCUAUGACUAUAAUCCAACCUCCUAAAAUAGCGAAAAAUUCAAGUUAUGUAUUCAUACGAUUUAAGAGAGGAAAUUAAAGUGGUAAACUCUUUCAAAUGAGAAUCAGCUACUUACUCGGAAAAGAAGUGUCUUCGACGAAGAAACGCAAAAGAAAUUCUCCUAACAAGCCUGACCCAAAUACGUAUAUAUACCCAAGAACUGCACCAUAAGAUGUUCGGACGAACACAGUUCGUCAUUCAACUCUCAAGAAGGAUGUAAAGUGAUUUUAGUUUGAGAUAUCAACCUAUAUACGUGGACAGAGAUAUUUCCUGCAAAAUCUGAAUUUUCAUAAAUGUGUUUCUUAAAAGGUAUGUUUGUAAGAAUUUUUGAGCGGUAUAUAUGAAAAAUUCAGAUUUUACAGGUGUAUAUUUGUUGAUUGAUGAUUAUGAAUCUGACCUGUAGCAGUCUUUACAGAAGAGAAGAAAGUUGCGGCGAGAAAGGCUAAUGCGAUCUGCAAGUUGAUGUAAAUGAAAUAGAAUACAACCUGUAUGCCGUAGUCAUUCAAUUUGAAGAACUUUAACCCUGCAAAAGAAUAUAAAAAUCCAGUUAAAGCAAAUUUUAUUUGAGAUUUGUAUAGAACAGUGGUAGUUCGUAACUAGAUGGUCGUACCUACUAUAGAUCCAAAAAUUACAAAACAUAUCAUAUACAGAGCUGAGAGGCAGAAAAAGUAAGCAUAAGAUAUCAUCCAGUAGGGGCCAUCCUUUAGUCCAUGCAUUUUCAUCAUAAGUUUUAGCUUUUGCUGCUUCUCGUAGACUAAAUACGUCAAUAUAACCUACAAGUAAAAAAAAAAUUACAAGCUCGUUAGAAUCACCUCAUAGAAUUUAGAUAGCGUAUACUUAACAGCAAAUGAAUAUUUUUAGUUUGGCCUGACUUCUGAAACAACUUCUCUAUUUGAAGAAGUAGCAACCAAGCAUUUGACAACUAAAAAAUCAAUAGCUUUUUCUUGCGAUUUGAAGGUUCAGCCUCUGCCAUACUGGGAGUUUGUAGGGGAAGAAAUAAAUGAAAAACCUGUAACGGCUUUUCUAAUUCAAGACAACUUCUAUGAAAACUCGAGCCAGGCCAAAGUCCAAAGCGGGAAAUCCUAACUUUGAACUACUAUGUGUAAAGAAUACCACCAGACAAACGCAUAACGUGAGCUACCACAUUUACCAAUAAACUAAACUAAAGGCCAUUGAACUCACUGGAAAAAGUAGCUCGAUGAUCCAGGUAAAGAACAAUGCACCAAGAAGGGAGGAGAAAUCGAAUCUACUCUUUGUUGCGGGCUUGGGCAUCUCUUUCACAUACUCAAGUUGCAUAGCCAACCCAUCGCCUUUGAAGAGCUUGAGGAAUGCGCUAGAGGCCUGUAAAAAUAAUUAAUUUUACAAAAAGAAUCAUCAUAAUCUCUAAUCAAUAGCAUCAAAAGAUAUAGAAUUUCGACUAAAAUGGAGGUAAUUGCAAAUUGAGCCAUAAAGGUCAAGUAUCCGAAAAGGCUCCAAUAUCUCGGUAAAAAUGCAAUAAAUGAGAAAGUUGAAUUCACUCGAAUAAGUUCAGUUCAUCAUAUGAGUUCGUAAUUUCAGUUGUUUGAUGGAGAGGAAAUUCUGUAGUUUUGGAUGAAAUGAAUGCACUUACCGCAUUCAAUGAGCGUGGAACUCGAAGCAAUGCAAUGCUAACAUAUCCGGUGUCAUUCUUGUAAGUUGAGUUGUACCAAAUAUUUACAUUGAAACCAUUCUCACUAGUAUCCAAGAAGUCGUAAGCUGCGAACGGUAAGUGGAAGUUAGCUACGGAACCUAGUAAUAACACGAAAAAGGAGAACAAAAAGAAAAUGUAAACAAGAUAACCUGUGAGAAAUUCAUUUGUCUCCCUCGCCGUGUUUCCUUGUCUAUAACCCUUGUAUAAGUCACCAUUUAUCGCUGACGAACUAUUACGCCAUAGCGAUAAACCUUGAACACACUCGACAUCUGUUCCAUUUUCAAAGAAUAAUGAUGUGAAAUCGUGGCUGUUUUCAAAGGAAUAUAAUGUGAGCAUUCUGCCAUAUGAGAUUAGUUCGAAACAGCGUUUUUGAAUUCAUCUGUAUUGAAUUGGCGCGAUGCAGUCUAAAAUUGAUAAACAUGCGAAAUAUAUACAUUCAUGUGAUUCAACAAAUAACAGUAAAGUUUUAAACUAUCAGAAAUACAAAAGAAAUAAAAAUCUAGAAACUUCCUAAAAUCAUCAGAAUUAAGUUUUUUUUUUUUUUAAAAAAAAAAAGUAACAAGCUCUUUUACCUAGCUGAAUUGGGAAAUUGUCGAUGUCUACAGAAACUGAAAGAUUGAAGCUUGGCAGACACUGAGGCUGGAUCAGAUACAGUGGUCUAUCAGAGACAAAAGCCGGUUCUAUGUACUCCGUAAAUUGCGGAAUUGUGUCCGUUCCCUGCGAGAUUUUUUUAGAAAAAUCAAAAUAAAUGGAAAGAACAAAAGUGAAUAAGUAAAACAAUUUAAUCAAGAUAUUCAGAUUGUUAAAUUUUGGUUUAGAUUUGUAGUUAUCUAAAUUGAGGAUAAAUCCUAAUCUAAUUGAGAUUAGAUAUUAUUUAGAUUUAAUUUGGCAUAUAUGGAUUAUGAGUCGGAAUCUAAUUUCUAAUUGAAUUAGAAUUAGACCCUAUUUAGGAGACAUGUAUUAUAAAUAUAUGCUACGGUCAAAUUAAUCCGUGCGACAAAAUUAAGAGGCCAUGCACUAAUUAAUUAAGUCUCUUGGAGGGUACGGUUGUUGCCGGAGAGAACCAAGCUUCGUGUUAAUUUGGUGUUUUCGGUGGCUGCAUCAUCACGAGCCAAGAGAGAGUUGGAGCUCUAAUUAAUUAAGUGAGCAUCCGAGGAGCCGGCGACUAAUUAAGCUAUUGGUCCGUACGGUGAAGGAGCCGCACAUGCCAUGCUAAUUAAUUAAGGUGUUGGUCCGUACGGGUUGAGAGAGCCGAGUCGCUUAUUUGGAGUCGCAUGUACAGAUGCGGAUUUCGACGUUUCCGAUCUAAUUAGAGUUCGGGGUCCUUUGAGAGAUUCAAUUUUAUACUCCGCCUUUUUUCAAUAUUAAUAAAGUAUUUGCUCCGUCUUCGUCUGUGGACGUAGACCGUUGGCCGAAUUAUGUAAACAUCGGUGUGUUCUUUCCACUUUAUCUUUUCUUUUUUUUGCAUUAAAUUAUUUUCGGAUCUAUUUUUUCGCCGUUCGGAUUUCAACACAGAUAAGUAAACUCACAGGAAUAACAUUGGCUAGGAUGUUCAGAAAAUCAGAGAAAUUGGGGCUGGAGGAAGGAAUUGGUGUGAACAACCUCCCUGCAAUACCUGUCAACAUAGAGAAAAACAAAAGAAAAGAAAAAUUAUUGUUAAGGUACUUCAACCAAAAAAAAAAAAAAAAAAAAAAUAAUUGUGAAGUAGAACACUAUUUGGUGCUUGUUUAGCGCUGCUUCGUGAACAGUUUCUCUACUCCAAGAAAUAGAAACCAUGCUACUUAGCGAACACAGUAAAUUUUGGCUACAUCUGGACGUGUAAAUAAACUGCAGACACUUUGUUAGAAAAAAAACCCCACAAAAAAUCCAUAUUUAGCUUCAGAUAAAUAUUUUAUGGACAUACUCUCCAAACAAGCAAUCUUGUUUGGAGAUUAUCCGGAUGGGUGCCACGUGGCGAGCGAUGUCUAUCCCAAAAGCCCAGCAAAAAAUGACGACCAUUCCAACUCUCAAGCAUUUUAAUUCAGCAAAAGUAAUACUUUUGUCGGGCAGUGGGGAUGGACUCCGCUCGCCAUGUGGCACCCAUCCGGACAAUGCCCAAACAAGAUUGUUUAGGAGUAUGUCCAAGAACUUCCUGUUCUCGGUUAAGCUCAAAAUCUCAUUCCAAACCAAUGCAAAAUCCGUAUAUAUAUAUAUAUAUAUAGAGUUGAGCUAUGAUACUUUUAUAAGUAUCACCAUCAUGGUGCUAUUAGGGUUUAAGCCAUUGGAUCUAUUUUUUGAUUAUUAAUAGCCAUUUGAUUAAACACUAUUCCACCUACCACCACCUACCACCACCUACCACCAUCAUCUCAACCUCACAUCUCUCCAUCCAAAGGCUAAAAACACACAAGUAUCACCCCCAUGAUACUUUUACAAGUAUUCUAGCCUCACUCUCUCUCUCUCUCUCUCUCUCUCUAUAUAUAUAUAUAUAUAUAUAAUUGAGCUUCUAUAUUUUUAAAAGUAUCUAAGUUAUUGAUGCUUAUAGAUUUUUAGCAAUUGGAUUAAAAGAUAUGCUGUUAAGAUGAUGUGGACCCCUAGAGUUUAGUGGGUGGUUGGUUGAAUAGUAUAAUCUAAUGAUUGAAAAUGAUCCGAAAAGUAGAUCUAACGGUAAAAAACUUACAAGCACCAAAUGCUUGGUGCUUUUACAAGCACCAUAGCUGGACUCAUAUAUAUAUAUAUAUAGAACUAGGCUACUAUGCUAUUAAUAGUACCAAGUCAUUGGUGCUACCAAGUUUUUGGCCAUUGGAUUAAGUAAUGUGCGGUUAGGAUGAUGUGGGCCCCCUAGGGUUGUGUGGGUGGUUGGUUGAAUAGUAUAAUCUAACGAGUAAAAAUAAUCAAAGAGAUUAAUCUAACGGCAGAAAACUUGAUAGCACCAACUACUUGGUGCUAUCGAUAGCAUAGCAGCCGGACUCUAUAUAUAUAUAUAUAUAUAUAUAUAUAUAUAUAUAUUAUAAUAUAGUUUUGAAUAUAUAGUAUAAUUAUAAUUAGAGUGAGGCUACUAUGCUAUCGGAAGCACGGAGCCUUUCGUGCUUACACCUCAUUUUUUAUGUUGCGACUUUUGAAUCGUCGAUCAGCUUCGUUAAACUUGAUCUAGAGUAUUUGGAGUACCUAGAAAAUAAAUUUUAUUAUUUUUCGAUAUCAUGUGCCUAGUGAUCGAAUGGGUUCAAAAUUAAUAAAUUUCAAUGGCCGUAGUGAGCCGUUUGCAAGUUUAACGGUAUAGAAAUAUCCAAAUCACGUGAAAUUUUGAUAGAAAAUUCUUUAUACUAUAUAAAACAAGAUCAAUAUCUUUGAUUUAAAAUUUUAAUGUCAUAUUAUUAUAUUUUGUAAGAUUUUUAUUUUCAGCCGUUGAUUUUGANUCAUCAUGGUCGUCAUCAUCAUUAUAUUAUUAUUAUUAUUAUUAUUAUUAUUAUUAUUAUUAAUAAUUAGUUAGCAAAUGUCCAACAAGUUUAUGCAUAUACCUUGGGCGAGCGAGCGGUUCCGGCCGCAGCAGCGCCGGCCAGCGGGGGGGUCUGGGGAUGGCGCACGUCCCGACCUGAUCGAGCGUCGAGUGCUGCGGCCCGCACACGCACGCGCCGCCGCCGCUGGGGCACGUGCAGCCGCAGCGGUACUCGGGCUUGUCGAGCUCGUGGUCGAUGACGCCCUGCAACACCACCAGGAUCACGCACAGCAUCACCGGGAACGCCACGAUCCCCACGUUCGUCUUCAGGUUCCGCUUCUGCAUAUAUAUAUAUAUAUAUAUAUGCUCUCAUUCAUUCAUUAUAUAUAUAUUUUUUUCUUUUUUUAUUACAAACUAUAUAUAUAUUUUUAUUAAUUAAUGAAAAAAAUGCAAAUCAAGUGAAAAUGAGCAUGACUUAUAAUUUAAAAAAUUUGAAAAUUUAAUAAAUAAAAAAAAUCAAUCAAAGCUGUAUAAUGAAGUCUUAUAUUUAGUGUUCAUGUGACCGAAUUUACAAUUUUUUUUUUUCUUUUUUGCUGUAAAAUGCAGAGCGAUUAACCCCGUGCGUAAUUGUAAGCAAAUUUACGAAACAAACCACGCACAAAAAAGAUUUAGAUCUAGAGAGAGAUUAGAGAGAGAUUAGAGAGAGAGAGAGAGAGAGAUGAUCACCUGGAACGUGAGGUUCUUCCUCAGAAGAGCAUUAGCCUGGGUCGAAAAACUAGCAGUGCCUCGCAACGACGGUUCCAUUCACAAAUCUCAACUUAAGAUCCCAAAAAUUAAUAAGCUAGUAGAGAUAGAGAGAGAGAGCCUCUAAAGAGAGAAGCUGUAGUGGUUGUUCUUUUUUUUUCUCUCUCUCUCUAUCUUCUUUUCUUUUUUUUUCUUUUUCUCUCUUUUUCUUUCUGAUCAGUAUACAGAGACUUGAACAAUGGAACAAAGGGAAACCAACAUUGCCGGCCCUUUAAAUACACCGGCCGAUCAAUUUGCGGCUCGUCGUCUGUGGACCGGGUCUGGUAGACCGAACCAAUCGGAAUCCUCGAUAGUUGGGAGAAAACAUAUGUUUUUUUUAUUGAGAAAUACUCCAAUACACCGACCAAUUUAAAUCUGACCAUUCCUUUUUAAAGAUUAAAAAUUGACUUUAACAUAAUAAUAACCUACUCAAUAGGUUACUAUUGACUUAAAUGGGCCAGCAUCCUACACUGUGGCGAGAAGGCAUGUUGGACCGAGUCAUGUUCGAAAUGACGUGAGACUGGGUGGGCCGAGUCAUGUUCGAAGUGGCGUGAGGCUGGUUGAGCCGAGUCACAAUCAAGAUCUGUGGGUGUUGUAUUUAUACGCUUAAGUGAAUUGGUUGCGUAUUUCUAACAGCUCGAGCUUUUGGGAUUAAUGGUUAGCGCCAAUCCGACAGUUACCGAUCGAAAUCAAUCUUAAAUGCAAUAUUAGAUUAGAAAAUAUAUACUAUCCAAUUACUAAAUUGAAUAGCAUCUAACAAAUCUUUCAUUUCCUAAUUUAAUUUUGUUACUUGCCAAAUUAGAUAAUAGCUAAUUUGAUAAGUGGUAAAUCUUCAUAAAUUUGAAUUUAAAAUUUAACUUGAUUUUAAACUUUAUGUUUAUAAUUUUAUAGGUUAACUUCAAACUUAAAUUUAAAUUUAAAUUUAAAUUUCAGAAAGAAAAAUUUAUAUUUAAAUCAGUAAUACAUUUAAAAUCAAAUUGUCAACUCAAUCUUCAAAUAACAUGAAAGUUCAAAAAUAUUAGUCUAUUUUAAAUUGUAAUUUAAGUUAUACUCUACUUAUAAAUCCAACUUUUAUUAUUUAUUUAAAUAAAAAGUUUCUAUGUUUUAAAAUAAAUUCAAAUUGUUCAUUUAAUAUUCAAAAACAGGAUUAAAGUUUAAAAUAAUGAUCAAAUUUAAAUUUUAAAUUUAGAUUUAAUUUAUAUUAUAGUUAAAAAGCUAAUUUUUAUUAACUAUUUAAACAUAAAAUUUUUAUAUUUGAUAAUUAAUUUUAAAUUAUAAAUCACUAAAAAUUUAUGAUCCAGUGUCAUCGUAUUUAAAAAUUCGUUUUCUCCGUGUAGUAUGUAACAUUUUAAUGUUGGCUCUUUUUUUUUUCCAAUAUAUUCCUAUCGCACAUACUUGGUAACGUCACUGCCAGUGGAAUAACAUGUUUUUUUUUUUUACACAUAAAUCUUAACCUUCCAUUAAUUAGAAAUAAAUGGCUAAAAUUACAAUGGAGUAUUGAAACAUUGCUCUUAUUUAUUUAUUUAUUUAUUUUUGGACUUUUAUCUGAUGUGGAUGUUCCAAAAAUAUAGAAUAAUUAUAGUUCUCCAAAAAAGUAAGCUAUCGGAGAAUGAUAUUUUUAUAAUUUAUAUUUUGCUGGAGAAAAAAUCGCACUGAAAAUUUGAUUAUAAAGAGAUCAAACAAAAUAAAAAUAAAAUUAGAAUUUAAAUAAAAUUUCAUCUCUUUUUUUUUUCACUUAACUCUCUCUCUUCGCAAUGUUCAUCUCGAUGAACAGCACAAGUAGAUCCGGCAAUCUUGACCCAUACCUGUGGAUACCCGCGGGUUACCUGCAAAUUUACGGGUAUAGAUACCAACUUUUCUAACCCAAAAAAUUACGGGUAAAACAGAUGGGUACCCAUUAAGCUGUGGGUAUUUUGGGUAACCCACGGGUACCCACGGGUACCCGCAUAUAUAUUUUUUAAUUACAAAAUAUAUUUUUUUAAUUAAAAAAUAUAUUUUUUUAUUUACCUAUCUUAAAAAUUUUAAUAUUAAUUUUUUAUUGCGUGUUUUUUAUAUUACGAAAUUUCUUUAUUUUAAGACUUUAAAUAUUUUUAUUGUAUGNCUAUCCGCUUCGUUUAUUUCAUUUAGAAAUAAACUUAGCUAGAAAUGUGAAUCAACUAGGAUUCGAACUUGGGUCUCGGGUACCAACCACCAAGCCCUUUGCCACUUGCUCUAUCCAUGCCCAAGUAACCCGCGGAUAUAAUGAUCCUUCCACUGGUUAUCCAAUCCGCCCGUUUGCCAGGUCUAAACACAACCCAGUGCAUAUAUAAUGGAGAGAGAAUGGAACGUUCCAUUUCAUGCCUUAUGCAAUAUAAAAAAAGAAUAAUAAAAAUAAAUUAAUUAAAUCUAUCUAAUUAAUUAACAUAAUAAAUAAUAAAUGACAAUAAAUAAGAAUAAAUAAAUUAUUAAAUAAUAAUAAUAAUAAUAAUAAUAAUAAUAAUUGGAUAUUUUAAAUUUUUCACCAAAAUAUUCAACAUCAGAGAUAUAUAAUGGAAUGUUGUNGUGGUUUCGUUUUUAUCUUUUCAGAAGCUUUUUCGUUAAUAUUUCGUUAAAUUAUAUACAAAAAACUUCAGAUAACCAUCUAUGUUUAUCGAAUAUUUACUUUAAUAUCCUUUAAUUUUAACUUUGUCACUGAUUUAAGAAAAAAAAUAAUAAAAUUGAUAACAAAAAGAGAAAAACGAAACCACAGAGUGGCAAAUUGAUACGUUUUAAACCACAUGAUAUUAAAGUGAGAAAGCGCGAAACCACAUUGGGGGUUUUUGAAGUUUUCUUUAAAUUCUAUGUGUUGUUACUGUCGCCAAAAAAAAAAAAACUUUUCAUUUUAUGGCUGACGAAAGGGUUAAUAAAAGUAAUAAAAUAAUUUUAUAGUUAAAUAAUGUCAAAAAAAAUAAUUUUAUUUUUCUACUUUUAUGUUAGAUGAAAACUUUUCUUUGGACUAGUGCUACUAUUUCAAUAUAAAAUAACUAUUAUAGUAAUUUUUUUUUAUUAUUUUACAUGCAAUAAGAUAAUAUAUGAAAAUUUUUAUAUGGGCAUUAUAUAAUACGGCAAGAAAAGAAAAGUUUAUAAAUUUUAAACCCUAAUAGCAAAAUUAAAUUGAAUUGUUACAACUGUAAUAAGCAAUUCAUACAAAUUUGUUAAUAUACUCUAUAUCAAGCAUGCGAAUAUAUUGAUUUUGACAUAAUAAUCGACCUAUUAGCGACUAUUUACACGUGCCGGUGCACCGCUGACGUGGUGGAGAUGGUUCACCCAACACUUUGUGAGGACCACAUAGAUAAUUUAAAUGGACCCAUGUAAAUUACAUGGGAAAAUAUAAUUGGGAAAGAGUGGUUUCCCACUCACCGAAUAAUAUAUUUAUUUAUUAAUCUAACAGUUUUAUUAUUUUUUAAUAUAAGAUUAGAAGGUUCUUAGCUUUAUAUGUAACACUCUAUUUGACUUUAAUUUUUUUUGGGAAUCAAAUACCACCCUAUAGUUUCGCACUUUUUCACUUUAGUACCUUAUAGUUUAAAAGCGUAUCAAUUUAGUACCAUGUGGUUUCGCACUCUCCGACUUUAGUAUCCCGUGGUUUAAAGUGCAUCAAUUUAGUACCAUAUAUUUUUAUUUUCCUCUUUUCGUCGGCUCAUUUGUUAAUAUUUCGUUAAAUUAUAUAUAAAAAACUUUGGAUACCCUAUCUUGGUUUAUCGAAUAUUUAUUUUAGUACCUUUUAGUUUUAACUUUAAUUGUCACUGGUUUUUUUUUUCUCCGGUAAUAUUUCAUUAAAUUAUAUAAAAAAAACUUCAGAUACCCUACCUAGGUUUAUCGAAUAUUCACUUUAGUACCCUUUAAUUUUAACUUUGUUACUGAUUUAACGGAAAAAAUUAGUAAAAUGAAUAAUAAAAAGAGAAAAGUAAAACCACAGGGUACUAACUUAAUACACUUCAAACCACAGGGUAUUAAAGUGAGAAAGUGCGAAACCACAAGGGCUAACUUGAUACACUUUAAAUUACAGGAUACUAAAGUGAGAAAGUAUGAAACCACGUAGGGGUGGCAAUCCAGCUCGCUGUUCGUGAGCCGGCUUGUGUUCGGCUCGAAAUGAGCUCGAGAUCGGCUCGCUUGUUUAGUAAACGAGUCGAACAUGAGCUGAAUUUUUCAGCUCGUUUAAUAAACCAGCCGAACACGAGCUGGGAUCAGCUCGCUCGUGUUCGGCUCGAUAACAGCUCGAAUACAUAUAUUUUAUAUUUAUAUAAUUUAUUUAAUUUAUAUUUUUAUAUAUAAAUAAAUAAUUAUAUAAAAUAUAUUUUUUUAUUAUUUAAAUUUUAGCAAAAUAAAAAUAUAAAUGCGAGCUUAAUUAUAAAAAGACUCAUUUAUAUGUAAAGUUUCAACUAUUAGAUCAAAGUCUAAUGGAUAAGAUUUUAUAAAUUUAUUUUUAAUAUAUAUUUAAUCUAAUUUUUUUUAAUUUAUUGUUCGUUGCAGCUCGUGAGCCAGCUCGUGUGUCUCUGUGUAAUAAUAACGAGCCGAACACUAGCUGAAUUUUCUGAUUCGAUACUUUAACGAGCUAGCUCGUGUUCGGCUCUUAAUAAACGAGCCGACCCCAGCUCGCCUCGGACAUCGUUUACAUCCCUAAAUCCACGGAGGGUAUUUGAAGUUUACUUUUUUUUUUUUUUUUUUGUCCAUAUGCAUGGCCGAUAUCCAAUGAACUAAUGGUGACGUCAUUAUUUCAUUAUUAUAACUCACUCACGUAUAAAGCUAAGUAGGGCAUGUAGAUAUUUCAUUUAAAUAGUACAUGUAUUAAUUACUAGUCUUUUUCCAAGCACCUCUUGAUUUUUUAUUAUUUAUUUUAUUGGGUUAAUUUCAUACAGUUUUUUCUAAACAUAUGGAAUAGCAAAUAUUACAAAAUUCAACAUUUUUUUUUUAUCGUUAUAAAAGGUCAAUGAUAUUCAUAUUUGUCCUUCUACUUUGUUAUUAUUAUAGCACUAUUUAUUUUUUAACAGAAAAUAAGUGAAAUAAUAUUUUUGUCAUUAUAAAUAUGUCCUUCAAAAGUGUCAAUUGUUAAAAUUAUAUAUAAAUAUUCUUUCAAAAAUCUCCUCUUCUUCCUUUCUACCAUCACAGAUAAUAUAAGAGAGAUAAAAAUGUUAAUUUAUCUUAUUCACUAACUAUGGUUAACUAUUUUACCUAUAGCUAACUAUAUUUUUCGAAUGAAUCUUAGCAGCCGAGGUAUAUUUAAAAACGCUAUAAUUUUUAUAAAAAUAAAAAUAAAAAAUUAAAAUUUUAUAAAAAUAUAUUUGCUAUUCGAUAUAUUUACAAAAAGCCAUAUGAAAUUAACCUUUUUUUUCUAGUAUGGAGCAGUGUUCAGUACUAUCGGAAGUGUGAAAUUGGUCGAGUUCCUUUCCGACAACGGAACCCACAUGAGGACAAAUUAACCAAGUAGUGUCCGGUCCUUGCCUUGCUAGUUAAUGAAUCACAAAAUUUAUUGCACUUAUGUGGAAAUUGCUAAUUAUAUUUAGUUAAAUUAUAAGCUUAUAUAGCCCACAAAAUUUGACACCAAACUUGUGGUCCAUAUUACCUUAUUUAGAGUACUAAAUUGUUCAUUAAUGAACAUUGUUUUAGAAAAAAAUGAUUGGUUAGUGAACUUCAACUCUUAUCCUCUUUGUCCACUUACAAGGAAAUUUCAAAAUUUUCAUUUGGUCAAAUAGUAACAAGCGCAACUUUGCUGAGAAGUUUCUCAACCAAACCUCAAACAAAGUGUUUGGUAAACAAUAUAAUUAAUUUUGGAAUAAACUUUAAAUACCACUUUUGUGGUCUCGCACUUUCUCACUCUACUACCAUAUAGUUUAAAGUGUAUUAAGUUAGUAUCCUAUGAUAUUAUUUUUAUUUUUUCAUCAGCUUUUCUGUUAAUAUUUUAUUAAAUUAUAUACAAAAAAAACUUCAGAUAUCCCACCUAGAUUUAUCGAAUAUUCAUUUUAAUACCCUUUAGUUUUAACUAUGUCACUAAUUUAAUGAAAAAAAUUAGUAAAAUCGAUAAUAAAAAGAUAAAAAUAAAACCACAUGGCACUAAAUUAAUACACUUUAAACUACAUGAUAUUAAAGCGAGAAAGUGUGAAACUAUAAGAGUGGUAUUUGAAGUUUUUCUUUUAUUUUGUGCACGAGUCUUAACAAUUUGGUUUAAUCUAAAAGUUUUUCGUCCAAAUCUCAGUGUCUGUAUUGUUUCUCAGCAAAAAUCCAACAUACAAAGAGUUUUUUUUUUAUUAUUAUUAUAAUAGAUUUGUUCUUCCUGUUUUUUGCUUUAGCAAAUCCUAGUAGAACUUUCAACCAAAAAAAAAAACAAAUUAACAUUUUUUUUGUUAGAAUGCAAAAAUAAAAAUUUAAGUUUAAAAAUAAAAUAUCUAAAUAGACUUUUGAUUCUGUCGUAGAAAAAUUUAUUAAAACUCUUUCAAAGAUACAAUUUUUAAUUUUAGUAUUUAUUUGACAGUAGGCGGAUUCCUUCGUGGCCACGUCUCCACAAUGAAUUAAGAGAAAGGUAGCAAGCUAUCUGUUUCAUUCAUUAAGAACAAUGAAUUAGGCGUACAAAAUGAAGGCAGCUAAGGCCCUCCUCGAGCCAGGCACAAAAAAAAAAAAAAAAAAAAAAAAAAAAAAAAAAAAAAAAAAAAAAAAAAAAGUCCACGCACUUUAAUUAUUAUUUAUACUUAUAACUUAGCAUCUUAAAAUCAAACACUCAAAAUACUAAAUCUGAUAACGAUUGUUAACGGUCAUACAAUAACGUAAUUAAUUCCUUUUUUUUAACAGAACUUAAAUCUUUGAAAUGUGAUGUCAAUCGAUCAGGGGUGCAUGACCACUAACAGAUUAGCAAAGCAACACCGCGUGAGCAGAACUUCUUCGCUAUUAUGACCCGAAAAAACCAAAAAAAGAAAAAAAAAAAAACUUGCAAAAAUUCCACACAUUUUCCAUAGUUUCUCUGGUGAAAUCUCAUAGAUUUUGAAAAUUCUCUCUCAUUCAGAAUAUAGAGUUGAUAAAUUAAAUCCAAUGCUGCUCAUCACUCUGAUGAAAAAAUAAUCUAUAAAAAAUUAUAUAUAUAUAAUAAUAUAUUUUAUAUAUAUAUAUAUAAAUAUAUGAGUAGGUCUAGAAACUUUGUAUCAAUAUCACCCGAAGGAUAACUUGUGUGGUUUUUAAAGCCAUUGGAUCAACUUUUUGAUUACUAAUAGUCCUGGAUCGAACACUAUUCCACCUAACCACCACCACAGCACUUCAUCUCAACCUCAACAUCUCUCCAUCCAAGGGCUAAAACACUACAGAUCCACUUUGGUGAUACUUUUACACAGUAUUUCUAGCUCUAGCUAUAUAUAUAACAUAUAUAAUAUAUAUAUAUAUAAUAGUAUAUAUAAAUAUAUAUAUAAGAGAUCAACACGAUACAGAGGAGUUGAGCUAGAAUUCAUCGUAAGUCAACGGGCUCCGUUUAUUGCAUUUGGUUUCGAUGAUGACUAAAUCGCGGUACGGUUGAAUGACUAUCACUUGGUACUAGAUCAAACUAUAUAAUAUUGUAGUAGACAACAUUUAAAUUUUGAAUUAGAAGUAUGACAGCGUAAUAUAUUCCCCUAUUUUACACAUCAUUAAUAAGAUUUCUUGAAUAAAUAUAAUGUACAAUUUUUUAUUAAUUUAAAAUAAUUAUUAAAUAAUUAAUUGUUACGUGUAUUUGUACGUACACUCAACUAGUAUAUAUAUAUAUUUAACUAUCAAACAACUUUUUUUUUUAAACAGAUCUAUUGUUGAGUUAAGGAUUUUUAAAAUAGGGGCAAUUGCUUAUAUCCCCCUUGAAAAGUUUCCGACUUUCUAAUUUACCCCUCUUAGAAGGUUAAUUUUAAAAAUAUCUUUUUAACAUUCCAACCUAUUUCAAAUACAUCCAUAGAAUUAAAUUCUGUUAAUUAACUGUUAGCUAUUAUCUAUAUGAAAUUACUAUUUUAUCCUUUUAAAUAUAUCCUUCCACCAUUACCGACUUUUCUUUAUUUGCUCUUAAGUUAGGGACACAAAAAGUAUUUUGAUUUUUGGUCUUUUCAAAUAUCCCCUUGUAUCAUCACCAAUAUUUCUUAUUUGCCCUUAAGUUAAAGGCAAAAAAUGUAUAAUAAAUAAGAUAUUUCUGAAGUUUUGAUGGGUAUAUAGAUAAUUAUCCCUUUAACAUAAUAAAACAAACCAAGUAAGAUAGGAUUUUUUAAAAAAUAAAAAGGCCAAAGCACAUGCAAGCACAUUCCAAACACCUUGUCAAAGACUCAAAUGAGAAAACAUAAAUAAUUGAUUGGAAUCUAUUAAUUAAUAAAUUAGGGCAAUAGAUAAGUACUGUUUCAAUUUUUUUCUUUCUUUUAAUGAAGUGUUAAUGCUAAUAAAAAAGAUUGUGGAAUUGGAAUGAGUUGACCAAUCUGAAAUUUUUGUGAUUAUCAUAAUUAUAACUUCUCCCCCAAGAAUCCAAUUAGUUUCAUGUGGUCAUGAAGAGAACUUGUGGUUAAUUAAAUAAAUAAUUGAAAGGAUAACAACAAGUGUAUAUAUAAUCUCUUUAAGUGACCCUUUAAUUUAAGAAGCCACAAAUGAGCAUCAACCAACAACUUUUUGUUUUUAGUGCUACAUCAGACAGAAUUUUUUUUUAGAGUAAAAAGAGGUUAUAAAAAUAUAUAAAAUCUAUUAGAACUAUAGACUAUUUUGAAUUAACCAUCCAACUAAAAUAAUAAAAUAAAAAUUUUGAAAUGUCGAGUAAUCGAAUCAAAAUAAUUAUAGUUCAAAUAAAUUUUCUUGUUUUCUUGUUUGUGUUGUUAUAUUUUGUGAUUGCAUGAGUCAACUAUAUUGGGAAUAGUUCAUUUGAACCAUGUCACAAUACAUUUUUAGUCCCCAUAUCACAUGUGGAGUGCAUUUGGAUACAUACAUAUAUAUGUUCAAGAAACACUACUAAUAAAAGCGCUUCUUAUUUUCUCUCUCUCUCUCUCUCUCUCUCUCUCUGUAUAUGGAUCUUCUUAAAUAAAAGCUCUCAUAUAAAGCUUACUCAUAUACUUUCUUUGAAAAGUUCAGGGGCUAAAUUGCUCUUUUGUAAAACAGUAGGUGAGAGAUUGAAACCCCAACUAACUAACUGCACUAAGCAUUGGCUUUAAUACUUAUAAUAAAUAUAUAUAUAACUAGUAUAGUAACUCGUGCGAUACAACAGAUAGAUAAUUAAAAAAAAAGGGCGACAACUGAAGAGAAAACUGUAAUAAAAAAAAUAACAAUAAGGGAUGGGAUUCAUCUUGUCGAUGGAGGAAGGUAGCAGUAGAAGGAAGAGAAAAAGAAAGAUGAAUAGUUUUGCCCAAUGCAGAUGUGUGACUUGAUUUGACUCAAGCAAAAAAAAUAAAAACUCGGUUUGAUUCAAACAAAAAGAACGAAAACUUGAGCCGAUUCAUGUUAGAGUCUACACUUGACAGUGAUCAGUUCAGUUCAAGCAAAAGAAGAGAAAAAUUUGGCUCAAAGAUGGAAACAUAUGAGGGUCGGUUAAGAUAAAUGCAACAGAUUGAUACUGUUUGGUUCAAGUAAACUAAGAGAAAAAGGUAGGUUCGAUUCAAGCAAAAAAAAAGAAAAAUAUGUGGGAGACUUGAGUUGGCUUGGACCAGCCCACAUCAACAAUAAUCGAUUCGGUUCAAAUAGAGAAAGAGAAAAAUUCAGUCCAGUUCAAGUAAAAAAAAGAGAAAAAUAUAUAAGAACUUGAGCUGAUUCGAGGUGGAGCCACACUCAAUAAUGAAGGUAUUGUUGCCGUGUGACAAAUUUAGAAAAAAUAAUAUAUAAAGGUAAGAUACUGAUAACUCGCGUAUUCUCCAAAGACAACAUAGUAUGUAACUUUCAUGAUUCGUUUGAAAUUCUAAAUUAUUAAUUAGGAUAGAAUUUGACCAUGUUUUAGUCAAGCAACAAUUCCGCGUUUCCAAUUCCAAAAAACAAAGUCUCUCACAUUUUACAAUAAGAAUAAUAUUUUGAAUUAUUUACUUAUAUUAUGCACACUGCACCUACCUAGAAAGUAAAAAAAAAAAAAUUCAACUCGUCGAUACUUAUCAUUUUUUUUAGUUAUCUACACAAUUUUUUUUAUAAGUUUCUUUGCCACUAAGCUUGCUAACAUCAGCAAUUAAAUUAAAAUUUUAGCUAAUUGAAGUCAAUCGUAUGCAAAAUUUUUAUUCAAAUACGCGUAAAUGUUGCCAUAGAAUACAAGUUUAGGUAAUUAAAUUAUUGAAUAGUAAAUUGUAGUUAGAAACCUAGCAAGUUAUUUUUGAAGUUGACAUAAAAAAAAUCAAAGGAAAAUUGAAAGAAAUUUGGAUUAUUUAUUCAUGUGUACAAAAAUAAUAAACAACAAAAUGAUUUUGAUAACCUGUUUUAAGAUAUUUGUUAGAGAUCCAAAUUAAACAUGAAGAACAAUGUGGAAAUAAAAAUAGAAAACCAUUGAUCAUUAAUCUAGAGUAUUAAUAAAGAAAUUAAUGGGCAAUUUGACAUAAAGAUAAAUUAAACACGUACGAUUAUGCGGAGUUCAUCUUAUUAAUUAGAGUUUUUUCGAUCAAACUCUUUGACUCUAAAACAAUAAUUAAUCUCCAUUAUUUUUAAUUCACAAAGUGUUUAAAGUAAAGAAACAAUGAGCACCAUCAUAAACCACCAAACAGUAAAAUUAUCACAUAAUUCACACCAGGAUCAAUGAAUUGAUCAACCCUUUGACUCUCACAAAUUUUUGGUCUUUGUUGUGAAAAUUAAAUUAUUGCUUAAUUAAGUACGAAAAAAGUGGUGUGCGAAAAUAAUACUAAUAAUAAUGCUUUAUUUAGAUGUAAAUAUUAUAAUUUUUAAUGUUUCAGUGUGACAAUUUUCUUAUUAGUUCUCUUCGAUCAACUACUAUAAUUACCAAUUCAUUCAUAAAUUGAUUCAUUGUCUUGGUGAAUUGUAACAAUUAUUCAAUUUAAAAUGCUUCGUCUCACCAUAUAAUUAUUUAAUAAAUAAAAUUUUUGAUUAUUUUUCUAUAUAUUUUUCUCACGUAAAGCACUUUAAUUUGAGUUAUUUUCUGCAUAUUUUUGAAAAAAAAACUCAAAUUAAAAUAAUGAAAAUAACUCAAAUAAUAAACAUGAAGCCCUCACCUUUUUUUUAUAAAUUAUUUUAAUUUGAGUUAGUUUUCAAUAUGUAUUGCAAACUUAACUACCCUAAUAUUAUUUAUUAAACCAUUAACGAUUAACAAAAUCUGCAUUUUCAUCGGUUGAAAAAGCAUCGAUAACAGUUAAAUCUAUCAAAAUUGCCAUUAAAUUUUGAUUAAUAAAAAUAAAUUUAAUUUAAACAAUUAAAUUUUUUUACAUUUUUAGAUUUAGGUCUCUUUGGUUAGAGAUAGUUAACUUGUCUGGUUGCUUCUAGUGGGAAAAAGCAUUUGAAGAUCAUAUUAUUUUGGGAUAAUUACCUAUAUACUCUUUAUACGUUUUAAAAUAUCCGAUUUAUUCCUUUAUUUUUUUCUUUCUAAAAAACUUCUCAUAUGUUCCACCGUUAUUGCAAAAUACCCCCGCAGUUAUCUCCUAUUAAGUUAACUUGGGUUAAACGUGAGUUAAAUAUCAACUACAGUUAAAAAAAUUAAAAUGCCAAUCUUGUCCUUAAUUUGAGGACAAAUAAGAAAUGUUGGUGACGGUAGAGAGGUAUAUUUGAAAAGACCAAAAAUUAAAAUACUUUUUGUGUCUUUGACUUUAAAGACAAAUAAGAAAGUCAGUGAUGAUGGAAGGGUAUAUUUGAAAAGAUAAAAUAAUAAUUUUACAGAGAUAACAGAGUUCAUUAAAAGAUUUUAAAUCUAGAAGUAUAUUAGAAAUAGGUUGGAACGUGAAAAAGGGUAUUUUUAAUAUUAGCUUUCUAAGAUGGGAAAAUCAGAAAGUCGAAAACUUUUUAGGAGUAUAUAAGUAAUUGCCCCUAUUAUUUUUUAAUGAAAUAUGAUACUAACCGAAUAUAGUUUGGAAUACGGGUAUAAAAAUAAAAUUCGAUAGAUUUGACUUCGGAUAGAAAUUUUGUUCGUAUCUGAGCCAUACUCGAAUUGAUUUNUAUAUAUAUAUAUAUAUAUAUAUAUAUAUAUAUAUAUAUAUAUAUAUAUAUAUAUAUUUGAUAUUAUAUUUGCACUUGCAUUUCAAAAUUUUAGAUUUUAAUAUACAAUAUUUUGAGAUACGGUAAAGAGAAAUAAGUAUUUCGGAUUUGAAUCAGGGUUCGAAUUUUUUGUCGGGUUUGGAUUUGGAUAUUAAUUUUCAAAAUUCGUCGGAUUCGGAUUCUACUUCUUCGGAUUUUGCGUUCGAUUUGGGGUUUUUAAAAAUCUGUAUUGUAACUCCAGCCAUGUUUGGUUUUUAAGAAGAUAUUGAAAAAAAUAAUUUUAUGGCUGGAAAAGUAUUUUUUAUUCGUUUGGUCUUAAGAAAAACUAAUUUUUUCUUUUUUCAAAUUUAAUGAAAAAAAUAGAAUUUUUGUUUUACAAAUUUUUAUCUAAAAAAAAAUUUUCAUAAAAAAGUUUUUUUUCGUAAAAAUAGUAUUUUACGCUUUUCCAAAGUAUAAAUUACGUGGCUAUGUCGUCAUGUGUAUGAAUCAUCUUUAUGUAAUUAAGCAUGGGAUUAUCUAUGAACUUUGAAUUCCUUAAUUUGAAAUUUCUGAAUUAAAAAAGUUAUAUUAUUAUUCAACGCGCUUUCCCGUUCUAACACAAAAGCAGUUACUAAUUAAAAAAAAAAAAGGUCAGUUUAAAUAAAAAGAGAGAUGGUACUAAUUAAAAGUUAUAUUAUUAUUCAACGCGUUUAGUUUCCAACCUAUCUUUUUUUUUUGUAUAUUUUAGUUCCUCAUUACAUUUUAAUUUUUAUAACUAAGUUCUUAAUAUUUAUUAUAUAUUUUAAUUUAACUCACUAUUUAUUAUGUGGCUAGAUUUUGUUGCUAACGCGGACUUGAUAGUUCUAUCAAAGUAUGUAAUAAUCAACUUUAUAAUUGAAGCAACUUAAUAAAAGUAAAUAAUAAAAAAUAUAAAUUUAAUCAUAAACUUUAAAGAUAUUAAUGUAAAAUUAUGUAUUUGGAAACAAUUGUAAUAAAAAAAAGUUAAUUUCAUACGGGUCCCUGCAAAUAUAAUAAAUGGUAAAUAUAUUCCUACAAAGUUCAACUUUCAUAUAUUGUCUCUGCAAAAAUUCUGAUGUUUUUAAAUAUGUUCCUAUCGUUAGAAUCCAUUAGAAAUAUUUAGUUACCAUAGGUUAAAUAUUUAACCCCGAUUAGUUUUUGAUAUUUUUAUCCUUUUAUAUUAUACUGUUAUGACUUUAGAAGGGAUAUAUUUGUGAUAGCAAAAUUAAAAAUAUAGACAGUUUUUUUAACGAUUCUUUAACAGUAACAAAUCAGAGAGAUAUAUUUAAAAAUAUUAUGAUUAUUGUAGAGACAACAUAUAAAAAUUAAAUUUUGUAGAAAUAUAUUUAUUAUUUACUAUAUUUGCAAGGGCUUGUAUGAAAUUACUCCUGAAAAAUAAGAAAAUGUGAAAUAAACUUUAAUACCAAGUUAACACCCUCAUCAUUAACAAUCUUAUCAGUGUCCUCACCUAAUUUCUUGGGUUAAAAUUGGUUGAAGAGGACCAGUGGUAUUUCUAAACAGGGUAACUUUUUCUGUUUUCCCUCCAAAAUUAUUUAUUUGGAGAUUGAAGUUUCCAACUACUAGGGCUGUCAUCGAGCAGAAUACGGGUAAGCUGAGGUCGGCUUAUAUUUGUUCAUUUAUUAAACAGGUCGAAUAUCAGUUCAUUCGUUACAAUAUCGAGCUGAAAUAUUCAACUAUAUAAUUUGAUAAGAUAAUUUUAAAUAAAAAUAAAUUUACCUCCCUAAUAAUUAGGGGUGUAAACGAGCCGAACACGAGCGAGCUGGGAUCGGCUCGUGUUCGGCUCGUUUCAUAAACUAGCCGAACACGAGCUAGCUCGUUAAAGUAUCAAGUCGAAAAAUUCGGCUCGUGUUUUAACUUGUUUAUUAACGAACCGAGCAUGAGCCGAAUACGAGCUGUCUUAUGAAUAAAAAUUUAAAAAGAUUAAAAUGAAUAUAUAUAGAAAAUAGAUUUAAAAGAUCUUAUCCGUUAUACUUUGAUCUAAUUGUUGAAAUUUUACAUAUAAAUGAAUCAUUUUAUAAUUGAGUUGUGCUUUAUAUUUUAGUUCGGCUAAAAAUUAAAUAAUAAAAAUUUAUAUUAUAUAGAUAUAUAAUUAUUUAUUUAUAUAUUAAAAAUAUAAAUUAAUAAUUAUAUAACUAAAAUAUAUGUAUACAAACUGUAUCCAAGCCCGAACACAGCGAACGCUGUACCCCACUCGAUGUUCGCUCGUUUUAUCUAAACGAGCGAUGCUCGAUCUCGAGCUCAUUUCGAGCCGAACACGAGCUGGCUCACGAACAGCGAGCUGGAUUGCCACCCCUACUAAUAAUCUUUUUUAAAAAAUUUCUCUUUCCUAUUUAGGGCGUAAUCUCACCUCCCCCACAUAUUAAAUGAUGGAAAUUUGUGAACCUAUUUCUCAAUCGCAAAAAAUCAAACAAAAUAUUUAUACUUACAGUAAUUGCUACUACAUUCAAUUAAACAAGAUGUAUGUAAUUAUAACUGCUGUAUUUCCAACAUCGUGUGUUUCCAACUAUACUACUAUAUUUAUAGUUGCGUCGAAUCAAACCGCCCCUUAGUUACUUUUUACUUUUAAAAUUUGAAUGGGACAGCUUAUUUUUACGAAGUUAGUUAAUAUAAUCUAUAUAAUUUAUGUCACUAUAAAUUUAUUAAAACAACCAAUUCGUUUAAAUUUUAUUUCAAAAAAGUCAUCAAAUUAUUUAAAUUUUAAAAAAAAUUAAAAGAUUAAAUAGUCAAAUCAAAAUGUCUUAAAAUUUAGAUAAGUUUUAUAUAUUUUUAUUAGAAAAAAGAAAAACUUUUUUUAUGUUAUGUAACGGCCCUAUAACUGUAGUAACUGUACAACGCUGGCACACCAAUGCGCCUCCGCCAACUCGGUGCUCUCCCACGUUGUUUCCACAGCUAGGGGCAUUCUCGUUAUUUCAUUGUAAUUCAGGGUCAAAUCGGCUCCACUUUUUAAACCCCCGAGCAAAAAUGUACCAACAGUCCUCUUACUAUCUCAAUAUUAGUAGUUAGUUCCCUAAUAAAGUUUUAGACAACUUGUUAAAAUUUAGUCCUCCAAAUUUUCUUUUUUAAAUUUUGUAGGAUAAACUUUAAAUACCACCCAUGUUGUUUCACACUUUCUCAUUUUAGUGCUCUGUGAUUUAAAGUAUAUCAAUUUAAUAUUCUGUGAUUUCAUUUGUCUUUUUCUGUCUGCCCUCCGUUAAUUUUUCAUUACAUUAUAUACAAAAAAGUUCAGACCCCUAUUUAUAGUUUUUCAAAUAUUCACUUUAAUAUCUUUUAGUGUUAACUUUGUCACUAAUUUAAUAAAAAAAUUAGCGAAGGGGAUAACAAAAAGAGAAAAAAUAAAAUCGCAGGGUACGAAAGUGAUACACUUUAAAUCAUAGAGUAAUAUAGUGAGAAAGUGUAAAAAGUUUUUUCAAUUUUUUUAUGUAAGAUAAGUAUUUUUCAAGAAAAUUUUGAAUAGCCUGAAUUAGACUUUACUGUUGGAUGGAUAUAUUAUAUAUAGAAUGUAUGAUUUACACUGACUUUGGAGUAUAUGCGUGGUGUUUAUAUAAGACAAAAAAUAAGAGAGAACUCUAAACUAAAGAAUAUUAUGAAAUGGCUCCCUUAAUUAUUUUUUUAUUAUUGAGACCCUUCAAAUUUCUAGUUUUUUUUAAGUAAGUAAUUUAUUCAAAAAGUUUUGAAAUUUUAUCAAAUCAUUGGUAAUUUCAUAAGGUUUAAUAAUUUAAUCUCUUUUUAAUAAAAAAACAUUAAAUUUGAUAAAAACUUUUAGGUCACGGAUAAUAAAUAAUAAACUUUUUAAAUUUGAUAAUAUUUUUUGCUUCGUUGAGUAAAGAAAGAUAUAGUAGAAUAAAACAAAUUAGAAGCCAAAGAUUCACAAUAAAAAAAAAAGGGUAAACUUUAAAUACCCCCAUGUAGUUUUACACUUUCUCACUUUAAUAUUCUGUGAUUUAAACUAUAUCAAGUUAGCCCUUGUGGUUUUGCACUUUCUCACUUAGUACCAUGUGGUUUAACGUGUAUCAAGAUAGUACCCUGUGGUUUAAAGUGUAUCAAGUUAGUAUCCCGUGAUUUCAUUUUUCUCUUUUUUUUUUUCAUCUAUUUCAUUAUUUUUUUGUUAAAUCAGUGACAAAAUUAAAAUUAAAGAGCACUAAAGUGAAUAUUGGAUAAAUCUAGGUAGGGUAUCUGAAGUUUUUGGUAUAUAAUUUAACGAAAUAUUAACGAAGGAAAAAAAAAAUCAAUGACAAAUUUAAAACUAAAGGGUACUAAAGUGAAUAUUUGAUAAACCUAGAUAGGGUAUCUGAAGUUUUUUGUAUAUAAUUUAACAAAAUAUUAACAGAGGUGCCGACAAAAAAGAAAAAAUAAAACCACAGAAUACUAUAUUGAUGCACUUUAAACUACAGGGUACUAAAGUGAAAAAGUGCGGAGCGACAGGAUACUAAAUUGAAACACUUUAAACCAUAGGAUACUAAAGUGAAAAAGUAGGAAACCACAUGGGGUGGUAUUUAAAGUUUUUCCUAAAAAAAAGAUAAAAAUGUAAGAAACUUACCUGGACUACGGGUGAAAUUUGACUAUACAAACUUUUAAAAUUUUUAUUUUACUAUUCAACUUUUUAAUUUGUUUAAUUUGAGCCAAUUCACAAUAUUUUGACUUCAAAAUUUAAGCUAAUUACUUAUUAAAUAAAUUUAAAUAUUAGUGAUAAUUGCACAAAGUAUACUAAUAAAUCUGUAAAGUGAAACAAAACAAAAAUUUUAAAGUCGCAAUGUCAUUGACAGGCACAAAUAAAAUAAAUUGAGAAUUUAGAUAAAAAAUAAAAAUUUUGAAAGUGUGGGAAAAUUUAAAUCGCCAUAGUUGGGGUAAGUUUCAUACUUAUUUUCCUGAAAAAAAAAAAGAAACUUCAAAUACCCCCUAUGGUUUCGCACUUUUUUACUUUAGUACCAUGUGGUUUAAUGUGUAUCAAGUUAAUACCUUGUGGUUUCACACUUUCUCACUUUAGUACUCUGUGGUUUUAUUUUUAUAUCAAGUUAGUACCACGUUGUUUCAAUUUUCUCUUUUUAUUAUUCAUUUCACGGUAUAUAAUUUAACGAAAUAUUAAACCAUAUGGUACUAAAGUGAGAAAGUGCGAAACCACAUGGGGUAUUUGAAGUUUCCCCAAAAAAGAGAAAAAACUUUAAAAAACCCCGUGGUUUCGCACUUUUUUUAUUUUAGUACCCUAUAGUUUAAAGUGUAUCAAGUUAGUAUCACGUGGUUUCACACUUUCUCACUUUAGUACCCUGUGGUUUAAAAUGUAUCAAGUUAGUACCAUGUGGUUUUAUUUUUGUAUCAAGUUAGUAUCCUGUGAUUUUAUUUUUCUCUUAAUGAAAUAUUAAACCAUAGGGUACUAAAGUGAGAAAGUGCGAAACCACAUGGUACUAACUUGAUAUAUUUUAAACCACAGGGUACUAAAGUGAGAAAGAGUGAAACCACAUGGGGGUAUUUGAAGUUUUCCAAAAAAAAAAAAAAAAAGUUGAGGGUGCCAUUUCGAUGAUCGCUACAGUUGAGGGGUCUCUUUACAUUUUCACCUGUGAAUAAAUACCCCGUUACUUAUCCCCUCAGCAGCUCCCCAUAACCUCCCUUGAAACCUCCAAACAAACGCCAACGAAGAAGACGAAGGCGUAGAAGACGAAGAAGAAGAGAGAGAGAGAGAGAGAAAGCUCCAUCAACAAAUCCCCCCUCUCCUCUCUCUCGAUCUGCGUUGAUCGAUCGAUCGAACUCUUCUUCGUCUCCAUCUCGAUCUCGAUCUCGAUUUAGGUAUCGACUUCGAUCGAGAGAGAGAGAGAGAGAAAGAGAGAUCUCGAUCGAUCGGAAUCUGCGAGGUCGCCAUUAAUGGAGCUCCAAUCGGGGGCUCGGCUCGCGGCGCAGCAGUACCUGGCGCUGCUCCGGAAGAACGCGAUCCUCACAUGGCGGAACAAGCGAUCGGCGUUCCUGCAGCUCUUCUCCUCGCUCUUCUUCAUCUUCCUCAUCUUCUGCAUCGACCGCGCCGUGCGGUCGCGCUUCGCCUCCACCACCGCCUACAAGAACGUGUACGACCCCGAGGCGGUCGUGUCCCCCCCGAUCCCCCCCUGCGAGGACAAGUUCUUCACGAAGGUCCCCUGCUUCGACUUCGCCUGGAGCGGGAACUCCAGCGCCCGCGUCGCCACCAUCGUCGCCGCCAUCAUGCGCAACAACCCCGGGAGGUCGAUCCCCUCCGACAAGGUUAGGGUUUCGCUCCUUUCCCUUUCCCCCUAUUUCCCAUCUCUCUCUACGAGGCAUCAUCAUUGUGGAUUACGAUCCGGUGCACCGUGGACCGGCCUAGAGACCUUACCCUCUUAACACUUCAAAAUUCUAUGUUUCGGAGAGCUACAAUGUGUUAUGCGAUGGGUAAUUGUUCUUUGAUUUUUGAAAAAAAAAUUGAAAUAUUUAGAUUUAUAUUCUAAUUUUUAGUCCAUGUUAUUAUCAUAUUAUUACAGAUUUUUGUAGGGAACUGUUGUUGGAUGACGUGGUAUCCUAGUGUGCGCCUUUUCUUUUUUCUUUUUUGCUUUUUUCCAAGGGGUAAAAAUGUACUAAAAGCCUCCUAGGGCAUUUUGAAAUAGACCCCUCACCUUUAUUAUUUUUAAAUUAGUAAUUCUUUAAUUUUUAUUUUUUUUCUUUUAAAAUUUUAUGACUCCAUUAGCUAUUAGUUGUUGAUUGUCUUAGUUUUUAUUUACUAAAAAAUAAUCAAAAUCCUUAAAGUUUUUAUACAGUCACUCAUGAGUUUUAUAAAAUUUUUAAUUUAAAAAAUUAAAAGUUGAGGGAGUAUCAAUCCCAAAAAAAUAGAGCAAUGCUACCCCUACGAUAGUAGAAGUUUUAUUACUAAUCACAUCAUGAUGAAACCCCAAACUCAUUAGAUGGGUGGGUGUAUAAAUAUUAUACACCAAACAAUGAGGUGCGUUGAUAGCUUUUUUCAAAAUAAUCCUCAACGUUGUAAUUUUGUUCGGUCUAUAGACCAGGCCCAGGUGAUUAUUGCUUUUUUUUUAAGAUGGGUUAAAUGUCGGGUUUUUUAGUGUAAUAGUCUUUUCCUAAACAUUUAUUCUAAAAAUAAGUUUAUUAAAUUUUUAUUUAUAAAUAUAGUCUUAUAAAAGUGGUGAAUCAUUCACCGCUUUNGAUUUUUGUAGGGAACUGUUGUUGGAUGACGUGGUAUCCUCAUGUGCGCCUUUUCUUUUUUCUUUUUUGCUUUUUUCCAAGGGGUAAAAAUGUACUAAAAGCCUCCUAGGGCAUUUUGAAAUAGACCCCUCACCUUUAUUAUUUUUAAAUUAGUAAUUCUUUAAUUUUUAUUUUUUUUCUUUUAAAAUUUUAUGACUCCAUUAGCUAUUAGUUGUUGAUUGUCUUAGUUUUUAUUUACUAAAAAAUAAUCAAAAUCCUUAAAGUUUUUAUACAGUCACUCAUGAGUUUAAUAAAAUUUUUAAUUUAAAAAAUUAAAAGUUGAGGGAGUAUCAAUCCCAAAAAAAUAGAGCAAUGCUACCCCUACAAUAGUAGAAGUUUUAUUACUAAUCACAUCAUACGAUAAGCGAUGAAACCCCAAACUCAUUAGAUGGGUGGGUGUAUAAAUAUUAUACACCAAACAAUGAGGUGCAUGGGUAGUUUUUUUCAAAAUAAUCGUCAACGGAUUGUAAUUUUUGUUCGGUAUAUAGACCAGGUCCAGGUGAUUUUUGCUUUUUUUAAGAUGGGUUAAAUGUCAAUGAUCCGUUCAUAUAUUUUAUAUUUAAAAAAAGUAAUCGUGCAGAUGAAGCAACAUCUGAUGUUAAGUAAUUUUUUAAUGUAUAUUCCCUGGUCUGUUUACUGUGGAUCUGUUUAUCGUUAGUAUAUAUUGACGUAUUUUAUCUUGUUAAGUUACCUUUUUAUAAUGUAUCUUUAGUAAAUUUUGAGUGAAAUUAUCAUUUUGCUCGAUCAAUGGGAUAAAAUUAGGUAGCGCUGAAUCUGUUUAAAUGGAAAAUCAGAAACUAAGAGAGGUCAAAAAUUCAAAGAACAUAAGUUUAUCCCUUGUUAUUUAGUUGACUUUUGAUGAUGUUAGAGAGCACAUGUAGUUUAGAAUCAACUGGCAACUUGGCACUUUCAAGGAUGAUCUGGAGUUGAUUGAGCGUGUUCAAUUGGUUUGCUAGAGAAUGGGCUUGUAUAAGCAAACUCAGUACGUCCAUGGUAAAUUGGUCUUUGUGGAAGAGAAGUUUAAAAAUAAGCUUGUACGGUAACCUUCAUGUAUUUGACUCUGUUUAGUUUUAAUAGCUUAAUGUAGUUAAAGGUCAAAUUGAAACUUGAAAGUAUUACAAUUAUAGAGAGUAGCAUUGUUACGUGGCUUCAUUACAGCCACCAGGUUCUAUUCUUCGUGAGUCAAAUCUUCUGUUUUUGAAAAGGUAACUCCUGUGGUGCAAGGGUUGUCAUAAACCACCUGAUUUUCUGUCCAACUAUAAACAUCAAUUUUUAGCGCUUCAACCAGUUUUAAUUUUUGUGUACUUUUUUUAUUCUUUUCAUGCUAUGUCACAUUGUUUACUUGCUUGUGCAUUUGAAGUUUAAGAUGAAUAUUCUAAUGGCAAGGUAAGCAAUACUAUUAAGCCAUAUGGUUAGGUCAAUUGAGAAAGUUUGCUUCAUUUGAAAUAGAUGGCUCACGACAUUAGUCUUGCAUUCCGAAAUCUUCUUACCUAAGUCCUCUUUAAGGUAACACAGAGAAACUUAGUUUUAAUAGUUGAAUUUAGAAAACACUGGAUACUAUAUAUUCCUCCUGAAAAUGAGAACUUUUUGACUAAAACCUAUUGUCAAUGAUGGUACAUCAUGGAUAUCAGUUAAGAAAAAUAUUGUAAUUUUUAAACAUAUAAUUCACUUUUUAUUAUCUCAGGUCAUAUCAUUUAGAAAUUCUGAUGAAGUGGAUGCAUGGCUGUUAAGUGAUCCUAUGCAUUGUCCUGGUGUUUUGCAUUUUGUGGAAAGAAAUGCCACUGUUAUAAGCUACGGCAUACAAACCAACUCCACUGCAGUGGCUAGGAGAGGAACAUAUGAGGACCCCACCUUCAAGUUCCAGAUUCCACUUCAAAUUGCUGCCGAGCGGGAGAUAGCUAGGUCUCUAAUAGGAGGUGCACUAAAUUAAACUAUGCUCGCAAAUUAUUGUUCAUCAUUAUUUGUUUAAUGUUGUUGAUGUUUUUUAACCUUCGUUAAUAAAUGAUCUUUUCUUAAGCCUUAAUUUGAUUCUAAUGCAUGUGGCAGAUCCAAAUUUUAGCUGGAUGGUGGGAUUUAAAGAAUUUGCUCAUCCAGCGACCCAAACUUUUUCUGCCGUCGGGCAAGCAGGGCCAACUUUUUUCCUUGCGAUUGCCAUGUUUGGCUUCGUUUUCCAAAUAAGUUCUUUGGUUACGGAGAAAGAACUUAAACUUCGUCAGGUAUUAAUCAUACAUUCUUCUAAAUUUCUCGUGGUAAAAUGUAUGGAUAGUUCCUGUACUUCUCCAGGAUUUGGAUUUAAUCCCUUGGCUUUUCACAUAAGCACUUCACUUGCUCAUAUACCGCAAUUGAAUCCUGGCUGGUAAAAUCUCGCAAAACUUGACUUUUCCUAUAAAAUGACAUUUCUAUACUGUGUCAGGCAAUGAAACAAGGAAGUCAUUUUACAGGAAAAACUUGUUUUUUUUUUUUUUCUUCUUUAAUGUAUGGGGAUGGAAUUGCAAACUCAUAAGAAGGCUCAGAAACAAAUUGUUAAACUAAAAAAAAUCUUGAAAUAAGAGGGAACAUUCAGACAUUUUUACGCUAGAAGUAUUUGGUCAUGAUUUCAUGUGCUUAUAGUUGGUAUUUUGGUUGAUGUUCACAGGCCAUGUCUAUUAUGGGCCUCUAUGAUUCUGCCUAUUGGUUGUCUUGGCUUACAUGGGAGGCCUUUCUCACACUUAUUGCUGCUCUUUUUACUGUUCUUUUUGGGAUGAUGUUCCACUUCGACUUUUUCUUGCAUAACGGUUUUGCUGUUCUAUUCCUCCUGUUCUUCCUGUUCCAACUUAAUAUGGUAAGCUUGUUGUGCUCUAAUACUUUCCCAGUUUUUCUUUUAUAUGUGUAUUUAAUUUUAUUUUAAAUUGAUACACAUAACUACAUUUUAUUUAUCAAUUUACUCAGAUAGCUGUACUGUUCGAAUAGUUUUUCUCAUACAUCAGCAAAAUUUUCUGCAGCUUAGCUUUGCUUUCAUGAUAUCAACUUUCAUUACCAAGUCAGCAUCUGCCACUACUGUUGGAUUUUCAAUAUUUAUUAUUGGGUUCUUGACCCAGGUAAAAUGAGCUAAUGCCAUAAUCUUAAAUAUCAUGCUAUUUGCCAAAUCGCUGGAAGAGUAAGAACUAUUUGUUUUUUGGCCCUUGCAGCUUGUUACAACAUUUGGAUUUCCAUAUGCUACCGGCUUUAAGAGAUAUCUUCGAGUGAUUUGGUCCUUUUUCCCUCCCAAUCUUUUUGCAAAAGCUCUUGAUACGCUUGGGCAGGCAACAUCGACUCCUGAAGACAAAGGCAUUAGCUGGAGUAGCCGCAACCAAUGUACAACAUACGAAGAAGAUUGCGUUAUAACUAUCGUAUGUAUAAAAUUCAUCCCACGCCAACAAAUUACACUAUCGAAAUUUUAUGGGUUUUGCAAAUUUUCCACUGAGAUAUGUGUAUUUAACAGGAGGAUAUUUACAGAUGGCUCCUCUCAACAUUCUUUCUGUGGUUUAUUCUGGCGAUUUACUUUGACAACAUAAUUCCAAACGCAAGUGGUGUGAGGAAAUCUGUGUUUUACUUCUUGAAUCCUUCAUAUUGGACAGGGAAAGGUGGAAACAAGGUGGAAGGUAAGAGGCAAGGCAUUGCCGACUUGGCGUCUGUUUGGCCUUGGACAAACAAAAUGUACCUGAAAUGUGCUUUUGGACCUGAAAAGCAGAAGUUCAAAACCUUCUAUUUGUUCGGGUAGUUUUGCUCAACAGUGCUUCUGCAGAGGCUUCGGCCAGGCCAAACUGGCCAUUUCAGUAAUCUUCUAAUGGUCCCUAGGUUGUGAUUUUAUUGGAAAAAACUUAUUAUUAUGGACUGUCUUUUGAAGGAGGAAUCUGUAGCUGCAUUGGUUCGACUCCACCGGUGGAAGAUGUUGCUCCAAGUGAUGAGGAUGUUCUUGCGGAGGAAACCAUUGUGAAGCACCAAGCGGCCAGUGAUGAGAUAGAUCCUAGUACUGCUGUUCAAGUACGUGGCCUAAUGAAAACAUAUCCUGGCACCACAAAUGUUGGUUGCUGUAAAUGCAAAAGAACUCCCCCCUACCAUGCGGUUAAGGUACCCUGCAGUUCAUUCCUUGUUCACAUCAUACAUACAUACAAUGAAUAAUCCUUUAUAAGUGUUUCUUCAUAUCUAUGUAUCUGUGAAAUCAUAGUUUUUAGAAUAUGCGCUUCCAAAACUUAAUUUCUUUGAUGUAUAUAUUUGUACAUACAAAUAGCGCCUCUUUAGGUCCUUCUACUGCAAAACCAAUUUCCCAUUAAGGAUAGGAUGAAUCGAAACUUAUCAUUAUGGUGUUUUUUUCUUUUUCCCUUUUUUUGGGGUAAGAAACUGCUCUAAAGGGAGUACAUAUGAAAACUCAGAUUUGUAGUAGUAUAUCUGUAAAUGGAUGAUUUCGAGAUUGUAUCAGCAGUAUGUGUACGCUUUGCAUUUGUUUAUGUUCAUUAUUGUGAUAACUUGCAGGGUAUAUGGGUAAACCUCGCAAAAGACCAGCUAUUUUGUCUUCUUGGACCCAAUGGAGCUGGUAAAACAACUGUUAUUAAUUGUCUGACCGGCAUCACACCAGUGACAGGGGGAGAUGGUAAAAAAGGAAAAAGAAAAUAACUUGAUAUUUAAUUUGUAGUUAGACAUCUAUUUAAUGACAAUAAGGGACAUCAAAUACUAACUGUCUACCUCUAUCAUUUUGUAGCAUUAAUUUAUGGCUAUUCUGUUCGAAGCAAUGUCGGAAUGUCAAACAUCCGAAGGAUGAUUGGAGUUUGCCCACAGGUUUGAUACAAUUUUCUUGCACAACUGUAGUAUUUCUUUCCUAGAAAAAGAAACAAUUUUCUUAUUUAUUGUAGCACCUUGCAGUUUGAUAUCUUGUGGGAUGCAUUAUCAGCUGAAGAACACCUACAUUUGUUUGCUAGUAUUAAAGGUCUGCCCCCUUCCACAAUCAAAUCGGUAGGUGCUUAAUAACCUGGAAAUUGACAAUUUUGUUCUUUCUUCUCUUUUUUUUUUUCCUCCCAAACAUGAUUGUGGCCUUGGCACACCCUUUCAUUUUAGGGCCUGUUUGGCUCAGUUAGAGCUUCUACAAAAAUAUUGUUCAAGUAAAGCUAUUUGAUGAAGCAUUAUCUUUUUUCGCUUGGCCCCUAACCCAUCAUCCAAAAUAACAAGAAGAAGAAGAAACAACUCCUCAAAAAUAGCUUCUCAUUGCAGAAGGAAUAACUUCAAAUAGGAGUUUUUUCUUUUAAGUUGUUCUAGACGCUAGGUUGUAACUUGGUUUGCUUUUCUCCGAGUAUCUGAGUCACUUAAUUUGAGUACUAAGCUGUAGAUAUCUUCUUCAUUACCAUCUAUCAUUGAAUACAUUGUUCGCUUUGCAGGUUGCUGAAAAAUCGUUAGCUGAGGUGAAACUCACAAAUGCGGCUAACGUUAGAGCGGGGAGUUAUAGUGGAGGAAUGAAGCGUCGGCUGAGUGUUGCAGUAGCCCUUAUUGGCGACCCAAAAAUGGUCUUUUUGGAUGAACCAGUAAGAGAAAUACUGAUUUCAGCUUUUUUUAUAUAAUAGCUAUGCGAGUUUACUAAUUUUCUAUUACUCCAUGCUUCAAAUUUGCAAUAGAAAAAGUCAUACGUGAUAUAAAUAGAAGGAAACAAAAGUUUCUAAAGGUUAUAUUUUGAUAAACUAGGUAUGUGACAAACUAUUUAUAAUCCUUGUAAGCAAAGCUUCUCUUUUCUAUUAAAAGGAUCCUAAAUGGUUAUGUUAGUGGCUCAUUCUUGUCUACAACCUUUUAAUGAAAUUAUUUUUCUUGUAGACUACUGGUAUGGAUCCGAUAACUCGGAGGCAUGUGUGGGAUAUAAUAGAGGAUGCAAAAAAGGGAAGAGCUAUUGUAUUAACGACCCACUCUAUGGAAGAAGCCGACAUUUUAAGCGACAGGAUAGCUAUCAUGGCUAAGGGGAAAUUGCGAUGCAUAGGAACCUCAAUUCGGCUGAAGUCGAAAUUUGGAACUGGCUACAUUGCUAACGUGAGCUUCUCCGGAAAUGGUACAGGGCAAAGUCCAAUCAAUAAUAGUACAGCCCCGAGUGAACAUCAUCUCGAGCAAGUGAAGAGUUUCUUCAAAGAUGUAAGUGUUUGAUUAAUUAAUUUUGAUUUGUUGUAUUUUUUGCUUUGGCCAUUUUUCACAACAAAGAAAAAUAGAGAAAUAAGAACUCCGAUGAACAUUUUUCGAUUUUCGAAGUUCGGACAAAAAUAUCUUUUCAUGGACCAAAAUGCUUCAUAUUGAAAUCUCCGUGGCAUGUCAUUACAAGGAGUGCCAGAGUUUUCUAGUCUAUAGAGGAAGUUUCUGGUCCAGAUUAUGAAAAACAAAGAAAUUCGAUCAAAGUUGCGAAAGGAAAAUGAAGUCUUAUUUGGAAAAACCCCUUUUUUCGUGUUACUGAAGUUAAUCGGAAUCAUUCAUGUACAGCGCUUAAAUGUGGAUCCAAGGGAGGAGAACAGACAAUUCUUGACAUUUGUAAUCCCACAUGAUAAAGAGCCACUAUUAACGGUAACUUUUUGCUUUAAUUACAUCCUUAAAAAGGUGCAUUUGAUACUAUAAUUGGCUAAAAGUAUUGGCUUUUACAACAGGAAUUCUUCGCGGAGCUUCAAGACAGAGAGAGAGAAUUUGGGAUCUCAGACAUACAACUCGGUCUUACAACGCUCGAAGAGGUCUUCCUGAAUAUCGCAAAGCAAGCUGAGCUUGAAAGUUCCGCUGCUGAAGGAAACCUGGUGGUUUUGAACUUAUCUUCUGGAACUUCACUUCAGGUCCAGAGCAUCUCUCUUAUCUUCAUAUAUUGCUACUGCCUAAUUACCUGUUUCACUGCAUCUUCUGCAUACUUAGAACUUUCUCGAAAGCAUACUGCAUCAAAACUGUCAACUCAUUAUCGUGAUGUACAGAACCUAGCAAUAAGCCCUUUUCUUUUUCUUAGAAAAAGAUAGUACGCUAUCUGCUUUGUUCAUUUAGCAUAUAAAGUUAGCUACUUGAAUUGAGGCAAUGCGGCCUUUGUAAAGAUAUAAGCCAACCAAAACCAAAAAAAAAAAAAAAAAAGAGACAAAAACAAAAACAAAAAAACCAAAGAAAAAUAGAUAAAUUAUAUCCCUCACUCAAACCAAAUCAGUAAGAGCUGCAAAAACCUAACAUUAAGCUUUGAUCUUGAAUUUUGUAUGUCUUAAUCAGAUUAUAUCAAUAUCAUAAAGGGUCUUUUAUGUACAAAUAUUCCUGAAAAUUCGUCUAAUUAAAACAUAUCCCUUCCCCCUUGAAAAUGUGAUUUCUUACAAAGACUGCCUUACCUGAAAUUGGGGAAUCAUUUCUGUUUUUUUUAAUAUCAUAACAUAGUCUCUCAAAGAGGGGCAUAAUUGUCUGUAUGAAAGUGUGUUAGAGUUUUUAAACCACAUGCGGAAGCCCUAAUUUUCUGAGAGUAUAUUUGUAAUCAUGUAAUUUUCAUGGCGAACUCUAGAUACAAAUCUUUUGAUUCCGAAUAUUAUACACAGAUAAUGUAUUCAAAUCUAAAACUCUAGAUACAACUCUUUCGAUUCUGAAUAUUAUAUACUGAUAAUGUAUUCAAAUCUAAAUCUGAUCAUUGCAGAUUCCAAAAGGAGCCAGGUUUGUCGGAAUUCCAGGGACAGAAUCGGCGGAUUAUCCGAGGGGUGUUAUGGUGGAGGUGUACUGGGAGCAGGAUGAUUCAGGCACACUCUGCGUCUCCGGCCACUCAUCUGAAAUCCCCAUUCCGCCCAAUGUCGAGCUAACUAGGGCUCCCUCGCUCUCCCGCAGAGCCUCCCGUGCCCGGACGCCUCUCGGGAUUGUCAUCGACCCCACCCAGAUCUUGAAUGGAAGGUGAAUGUUGAUGCAUGUUGUUGGUUAAAUGUAUUAUGCACCAACUUGGUUUCUGUAUGAUUCAGCUUAUACCUGUGAUGCCUUUUUUUCCCUGCCCUUUUUUCUUCUUUCUUCCCCUUGUGGUGUAAAGGUUAGAAAUUGGAUUUUGACCAGUGCUUCUACAGUAUCUGUAAGUAAUUAUAGCUCCACCCCCAAAGGGGUCAGUAUCGCGUGACACUGAUGUUUGUUCAUUGUGUUAAAUUAUACAUGACUAAGAUACAACAUUUUUUAGCCAAAAGUCACAUAUCUGCAGCACCGCACCUUUAUGCAGCUUGUGUUCACCCGCAACCGCGCAUAGUUGCGAGAGAGAAAAUUUCCCCUCAUACUCAAAAAAAAAAAAAAAAAAAAAAAAAAAAAAAAAAGCAGCAGCUUAAGCACCCGUGGCACAAUUUAACUCUCCAAAGUUACAAUCCCGAGUCAAAAUGCUCGCCAGUACAACAAGAAAGCAUGAAAGUUCGAGCGAGAAGUUGAAACAUAAAAGAACAGCAUAAAAUGAGAUUCAGAUUUAAAGGGGACACGUUUUCUGGUAUCAGGGAGUCUCUCUUACCAAAACAGGGUUCAGAUAAAUACAGUCAAAACAAACGAGAAGCAGUUGUAAGCUAUACAUAACGCACGCAAACACAAUACAAGCCCUACAUAGUAAAAAUCAAAUUCCAUCAUCAGAACACACCACAACCUUUAGUUCACAGAAGAAACCUUCAAGAGUCAUGGAUGGCAAUCAGAAGCUUUACACCACAGAAUCAAACAAUAGAGAGAGACAACAGGUUCGCAGGCAAACCCCUAAAUAUCAGCUACUUAGAAAAGCAUUUUUCGGAGUCCUCUUUUUUUUUUUGCUUUUUUUCCUUUCCUUUAACACCUAGGUCUCCAUUAAUCUUAAAUUGCUCUAUCUUCAGAUAUCAAAGUAAAGGUGAGGAUCUUUUCUAAAUACCAAAUUCGGAAGCGCUUUUUGUGGAUCCCGUCGCUGAACAUCUUAGCGUCUCCAUUCAACCUGGAUUGGCCGUUCUGCUGACAACGAAACAUACAUAAGAAGUUAGGCUAUUAAGUUAUUCUGUUACUAACUGGAGAAAAUGGUGCAGGAUUGAGGAUGAAUACAAGAACAUGCAAUCGAUGAUAGAAGCAACUGAUACUCUUCAUUGAUAACCUCGACACCUGGGGUUGUGAGAUUUGAAUAAUGCAAAUAACUUUUGCCGCACGAAAAUUAUUGCCUUCGCAUCACCGUUGGCGCAUGUGAUGUUGUUCCCCAGGGGAUUAUAAAUGGCAAUUACACUUGCAGAAAGUAAAAUCUAAUAGUUCAUCUGAAAGACAAAUGCUACAUAAAUAGUGUUGUUAUGGCUUGAAUCUGAAAAGUUUUCCCUCCACCUACAUUCUUAACCAUGUUACAAGUUGGCCCUAAACUAGCGUAUAUUUUUGUGCCCAAAGGAGCUCUAAAAAGCAAAAAAGGAGACGGCAAAGUCAUGCUCCUCUCCUCAUCAGUCAAAUACUAUGAUUCAAUUAAAAUACUCUUAGAAAUCUAAUAAUAUUAAAGUUUCUCGAUAAAUCGCUUGCUUGGCACAUUUAAUCAACAUCAUCUCCAUUCUCUUCGCAUUUUGCACUACUAAGCGCCUACUUUGGUAUGCCUUAAUAUGUAACCUGUCAACCUUUUUUUUUUUAACUAGAGAAACAUAAUGAGAGAAGGAACAAGAAAAUGUAUAAGAUUGUCAUUAACAAGAAAGAGAUUGUGAGCACAUACCACUCCCAUCUCUUGACGACAACAGAGACCUGUCACCUUUUAUUCCCCCCUUGCCGCUAACUUGGCCAGGCCUCUGUGUGCGCGGCGAGUACGAAUUCAUUUUCCCAUUCGAGGACGGAAGAGAAUGGCGACGUGUGAUUCCACUCUUGUCCCCCGAAUCCGAGCCAAACCUAGGUGAGAUUUGCCCCCGCAGUUUUGCCUUUGCAGAUUCCGUUGUAGCCAUAUAGCUAGGCAAAACCGGAGAAUUAGUUACACCAUUUUCAGGAUAAUCCAACUUAGUCGCGAUCGAAGACCUCCUCCUCCUGGUUUUCUGGCUUUCAGAACUAGGUAGUUGUUGUUCUUCCUUAGAGCUUAAUUCCCCAUUAGUAAUUACCAUAGCAUUCUCUUCAUUUUCGAUGCUCUGUAAUGGUUGUAUUUCAACUUCUAGGGAAACAUCAGUUGCUGCACCGAACUGAACAUCCUCUGUUACCGAUUUCCAAAUAUUUUCCACUUCAGGCUUUGUUUCAGGACUUGGAGUAGAUUCUUUCUUUUCCUUUAAUAAAUCACCAUUGCUCUUUUCUGGAAUGCUAGUAUCAUUAAUGGAGCUUGACACUUCUUGUAUAGUCUGAGAUGGCUUCUCGCUUUCCACCUUUGGAUGGUCAGAAUCCUCCUUCAUUAAGUUUGAAACCUUUCUUAGAUUGCGUUUAACCUUUUCAAGCUCAGUCUGUGGACUUUCUGGCGCAGACUCAGCAGGAGAGCUAGAGAACUUUCUAGGGUUUCUUUUCACUUUGUCGGCCUCCAAAUUUCCGUUCAAUUGAUCAGACUCAACUGGAUUUUUUCUUAUAACACGCUUUGAUUUGCCCGAUUCUGUUUCCAUAGCAUAAUUGGGUCUUUUGGUAUGUAAUUUUGAUUCAACGUUCUUCUUAGGUGGGGGAAUUGGCUUCCAGAAUCGUGUGAUCGUCCAUCUCUCCAGCCAGCUGAACACUGAAUUGGGAUCCUUUUCAUCAUAAAGGAUUUGAAGUGCCUUUGUAACAGCUACUGAAGAUAGAAGCUGCCAUAGAUAUGAAAAGGAAAGGCACAAGCAUAAUAAACUGGUUCAAAGGAGAAUGAAAUGGAAAUAUUUAAACAUAUACUCUUACUAAGUAAUGUACUUGCACAUGCAUUCCUCUAAAGUUUGAGCAUAAUUGUAUACUUCAAAAGCCUAAUAUCUUACAUAUUUACCCAUUAUGAACAAAAGUGGCCUUUUGUAAAAAGCUUCUUCCACUAAGGGCAUGUUUGUUUCAACGUAAGUAGACUCGGGGUGGAAGUGGACUUUGAGUUGAAGUGGAGUUGGAGUGAAAAUUAAUUCACUUCCACUGUUUGUUUCUAACUAUGGAAAUGCAGUUCUGCGAGUUCUGUUGUUUGUUUGGUUGAAAGUAGAUGACGUAAAAAAUAUAGCUCUUCACCCCCGGUAUACUUACCUCGGAAGUGAUAUCAUUGUCUAUUUUGUAACUUAGUGAAUAAUAAAUUAUAAUAAAUAAAAAUUAAUAUAAUUAUAUAUGUAUAUAAUUAUAUAUAUGUAUGAUUAUAAAAUAAAAUUUUAAAAAAUUUGAUUAUUUGUUUGCAUAUAAAUUAUAAUAAUACAACAAAUAAAAUUCUAAAGUUAAAAAAUUAUUAACAUUUAACAAAUUCAUUUUUCAUCAUUUUCUAAAUAUACAAAUUAAACAAAAAAUAUAUUAAAACUUACCUAACCAAAUUUGAUCAUAUUUUAGACAUACAAUCAAAAUAAAAAAUUUAAGUACUUCCACAAUUGAAUAUAUUUGGAGUUGGAUUUGGGACUCUGGAGAGGAAAGGGUAGAGAAGAGGGUAACCCUAGCACAUUAAUUCCCACUCUUGCCUCUUUUCACCUCACAGAAAUUGACUUCGCCCCAUGGGAGGGGGAAGUCAAUUUCAUUAUUUUGGGUGAACUAGACUUUCGGACGUAAUAAAAUUACGGUGAACCAAACAACGAAAGUGGUCUGUUUUCACCGAAAAUUACUUCCCCCUUCCCACUUCCACCCCACUUCCGUGCAAACAAACAGACCCUAAACGAAACCAAAUCAGUUGAUAAAGUAGAUCACUCUCCACUUCAAAAUAAGGUUCUAUCCCAAGUUGCUAAAGUUUCUAGGGGCGCAAAUGAAACUUCGAAUUAGAAGUGUAUAUAUGUAAAAACAUGAUUUUGACAUGGGUGUAUCUGUAAAAGGCCCAAAGCAAAAAAAAAACCAAAAACAUAACAAGGGAGAAUGAAGAUAAAUGCCACAACAAGAUAGGGACUCAACAAUUGUCUUCACAUUGCAUAGAGUCUAAGCAAACCCAAACAAAUUUAUGAGGAAGGACAUUGUAUUAUAGUAUAAUUUGGUGAUAGAGUUGGGCUUACCCUCAGAACAAACUUAUUUGAGGAGAAUCGCCCUUUCCAAGUAUCCAAAGGUUUAGCAUUCUGAAAGGAGAUGAAGAAAAAUACUAGUUUAGAAGAACAGAGAUAAAGUUAUUAGAAAAGAAAAUUAAUAUUUCACAGUUUCUACUGAGUACAAAACUUCUUAAGAUCAGCAACUCAUUUCUGUUGGGACAUGAGUACAAGUACAUCAAUUAUAAAAGUACAGCAUUAUGGACAAGAAGCUGAGCUUGACUAGAAGUCAAAAACAUUAGCUUUCUGAUGCAUGCAAAUUUUGUAAAACCUAGAAGAUCAGACAAAACGUAGUAGAAUCAUUCCAUAGGAUAAAAUAGAUACCGACUCUAGUACAAUUGCAACCAAAAUAGAAGCACGGUGAGCUCAAGCUUCAAAGCUUGAUUGCAAGAACCCCGAAAAAUCUAGAUGGAUUUACUGAGGUGGGUGAUAGUGAUCCCAGUAAACUUCAUGAAAUUCUCCAUAUGCUCUGAUACAGCUAACAAAGAAGUUUUGACUCUAAAUGGAGAUCAGGUCUGACUUCAUCGCUCCCAAUAGGCCAAAACUGUAUUUCGAUCAUUUAUUUUUCCCCAAUUUAUGGAUUUAUGGAAGACACAUGAUACGCGAGCAAAAUAAGACAAUUCCCCAGUCCCCACUAAAUUCUAACCAUACGAUAGAUUUAGAUUCUCAUGGUUUUUGAGAAGCAAAUUAAGCUAAAAACUUGAUGUGACUGGUCACAACAAGAAAGGAUUACAAAGAUGCCUACACGACAGAACAAUUGAGGAAGGGCCUGUUUUGCCAUAUAGUGCAAAGCUAUUUAAUCCACUAAUUUCUCUCUACAGCAGAAGUAGAAGUUUUAAAUUACAGCUGCUAUUUUCAGGGCACUAUCUCAUUUCAGCUUCGUUGCCAUAGUAGUAGCUUCAAACUUCUCUGUUUGCCAACACUCUACUACAGACAGCUGGAGCUGAAAGAAAAAGUAGAAGCUGGGCCAAAAAGGCACCAAUUGGAACUAAAAAAAAAGAUAAAAGAGUCGAUAUAUUCUCACAAAAACAUCUUUUGUCAAUCAUCUUUUAAAUAUUGCAAGUUUCAGGACUAUUACCAGAGUUUUCUGUGGCAAAAACAUUGUACUGACUUCAAGAGCGAUACUGGAGUGUCUAACAAUUCUUCCACGAACUACAGCUUGCAGCUUUACAAUUGCAUGCAUAGCACAAAGAGUUGCAACAGCUUGCCUCCUAACAAGAUGUCCACGGAUCAGGGCUUGCAGCCUUAUAAUACCUUUCAGAGCACGAAAAGCUCUACGUGCCUGCACCAAAAAGCAUGCCAGCAUCAGACAACAGCAAGAUGUCAUACAAUUAACUUGAAACUAAAAUCUCAUAGCUAAGCUAGUUCAAGGAAUGCCCAAGUACCACAAACCAACGCGCGGGUCGAAAAUACUCUGGUACUUGCAUGUUCUUAUUAUUAGCCAUAAAUAAUAUACAACAUGAAAAUUCUCAAUAUAUAUGGGGUGAUUGGGCUGUCAGGUGAGGUCUUUGAACAAUACUCUGAUUGAAAAUGCCACAUAGCUAGUAAUUUACUUUGAACUUCUUUAAAAUACAUAGUUCGAUAAGUUAGUUAUUUACUACACAAUAGUGGUAUAAUUAUGCAUUUGCAGAUUAGCUGAAAUGUUGAAUAAGUGACCCUUGAGGCCUUGACCCAACCACACUCGUUUGAUGGACACUCCAGGUUACAUACAAUUUAUACAUAGUGCAUACUGGAUAAUAGAAAACCAGAUAGAGAUCUUUAAGGAAUUCAACAUGACGGCAACUUGCAAACCACUCUGAAACAGAUUAAAUUACCAGAUAACCUCGGAAGGCAGCUUGUGCCUUUAUAGCAGCCUGCUCUUCCCUCAAUCUUUCAGGAUCUUUCGAUUCAUCAAUUCCAGAAACACUUUGUUUGUCAACGUCUUGGUUUACAGCUGAAAUAUCUGCUCCAUCACCAUGUAAAUAAGAAGGCGCUUCCUUUUCUAGUGACGGUAUUGCUGCAUUGUUAUGAGCGCUCACGAGUACUGGUUCGGAGAUCACUGGAGAGUUCUCAGCAGAAGCAGGUUCUUUUCCCCCAAUAUGACAUUUGUCAUCUCCAGCCUUCUGCAACUGAGAUUGAAAGAUCAGUUAAUAGUCCUAUGCAGUACGGUCCGAAUAGAUUGGUAAUGUAUGAGAAUUUAUGCAGGUUGCACAGAAUGUGCAUAUGAAACAUCUUAACAAAUAUAGUCCAGAAAAGAGAAUAAUAUGAAAUAUCUUAACCAAUAUAGUCCAGAAAAGAGAAUAACACUAAAAUACAGCACUAACAGGACAACAUUUUUCUCUAAUCAUACGAGGUUUUUUUCAUAACGUUGUAUGCAAUCUAGCAAGCAUGAUUACAGUACUUUGACGAUGUUCAUGGGAGGUGAAUUUUUCCAGACUUGUUUUUGUGAAAUUUGAGCGAAAAAUUCAUUGCUUCUGACAAGAAACCAAGUGAUGAUACAAGAACUGGUAAUAGAAUUAUAGUACAAUAAACUGGGAACUAAAUAAAAGAUGUAAACUAUUGGCCUUUGCAGAAGUAUUGUGUGAUUGGAGUUGUCGAAAGAAGCCUUAACAGCUUUUUCAUGGAAAUCAUCUCAGCAGUAACUAGAAGAAGAAGAUCCAAGCAUAAUCUCAUUUCAGAUUUCUACCAAAGCCAAAAAAUUGUGCACUUUUGUACACUAAGAGGCUAGCUUUCGCUUCUAAAGCAGAGAAUCCACUCCAAUGACUGAACAGGAACUAAAACGAAAAGGAGCAUCAGCAGCUGCCAGCUAGGGUUUUCUUACAGUCACUAACUAAUGAAAAAGACCGUUCUUUCUCAUCAGACGGUGACAUCACAACAAAUAAGAAUUCCUUCCCUUUGCCGAAACAAAAACAAGUACAUACCGAAGAAUUCCUUCCUUUUGUCGAAUGAGAUCUAGCUGAUUUCUUGCCAAAAAGCAGUGUCUUGAUCCAUUUCGCAGGUGAUUUCCCCAUCUUGCGAUGUGUUCUCUCCUAUAAUGUAAGCCUGCAAGAAAACAGAUCACUGCAUUAAGCAACGGAAACUAGCAUCAAUUUAACCUUAAAUCGUGAGAAAAUUAGCUGCAAAUACAGUUGUCCUACUCAAUCUCCAAAGAUAUCAAGUUCUACAAAUUAUCUACCCAAUUUAUUGCAAUUCUUCUGACACGCAAAAGAAAUCUGAAAACAGAUCCACUCUACGGUGUACCAAAAGACAGAAGAAAUAAUGUUCCCAUCGCACAAACGCACAAGUGACCUGAACAACAUGCUAAAUUGCCUCCAACAACCUCGCACCAUUCUCCAAAACCCUAGACAUUCACGAAACACAUUGCGAACCCUAACCCUAGAACCCUACUUCUCCUAGAUCCGACACCGACGCCCGUCAAAUCAAGUAGAUAAGCAAAAUUAUCAACAAUAAAACAGAAAAUAAUCAACCCAAUCGGUAGCUCAGAGCAGCUAGAACUGAGUUUUAACUCCCGAUCGGAAAAAUGGCCCCGAGCACUCGGAACAAGAUUUCAAGAACAAAAAAGAAAACGAAACCCUAGAUUACGAAUAGAACAUCAACGCAAUGCACGAACUACGGACAUCGGAUUCAAGGAGAAGGGAGAGGGAUCGAAACCUCGUAGAUCUGGGAACUUGCGAGGCGUAACCCGACGAGUACGGAAACCCUAGCACUCUCUCUCUCUCUCACUACUCUCUCUCUACUCCAUUUUCGAGCCAGUGUAAGGAAGAAGAAAGGGGAGUGUGUAAAGUGGAGAGAGAGAGAGAGAGAGAGAGAGAGAGUGAAUGAGAUCUGAGACGAGAAUGAUACCGAGAGUGAAAAAAAAAGAAACGAAAUUAAUAAAUGAGAAAAUAAAAAUAAAAGAUAAAAACGUAUGGAGGCCCCUCACCUAUUGCAAAUUUUUGAAUCAGGCCUAAACCGUUUUUUUAUGUUUAUUUCAUUUAACUACUAUAGCCAUUAAAUUUAAUAACUAGACUAAUUAUUAGUUAUUAAUUAUUCAGUCUCAUUUGUUUGAAAGUAAACUAAGGUUUCUGAUAGAAUUGCUGAUGAGUUUAGUAAAAAAUCACAAUUUAUCAUAAAAAAAAUACUUACUUCAAAAAUUUAAAAAUUAAAAAAAUCUUAAUCGCAAUAAUAGAAUUUAGUUCAGAUGAAGAGCACACUAACAAUUUAUUUCAUAAAGCGUGAUUUACUAAUUGUUUGUCCAUGCAUUAUAUAUAUAUUUUAAUUAGUAUUUUUAUGACACAUGAAAUUACAAUUCAUGGAGUUAGAUAUUUUAUUCGAUGUAUAGGUACGGUUGGGAUAGAAUUUCUACAUAGUAAUUUAGUAAAACUUUUUUCACUUAAAUUAAGUUUUUCAGAAUAAAAUAAAGGGAUCUAUUUUAAAAUAGCCUAUAGUUGAGGGGUCCUUAUAAAUAUUUUAUCUAAAAAAGGAAAAUAUUAUUGAUACACUCAAAAUAGAGAGUAAGAUUUACAAUGCCUCAUGGGAGGGUUUAAAAAUUCUUUAAAUUUUUAGUAUUCAAAAAAAUUAAUUUUAACAAGAUAAGAGUCCAUUAUAGACCUUUGGAUGAGGUGAUAUAAGAGUUACAUGCUUUUUUUUUUUGUGUAUGUGUAACAUUGCUAAAAAAAUAUACAUAAAGACUCAAUUUCGUUCUCAAAAUUUAAUAUUUUACAAAAUUUGACUCAAACUUUCCAAAUUGUUAUAACCCUCCCAAUCUAAUUUACUUGACUGAAUAUUUGUGCGCCAUUAAUAUGAAAGCAAUGUUGUAGUAUUGUGAUUGAUGGCAUCUUGUUACUUCCAUAUCAGUAAUACAUUAAUAUCUUAUCAACUAAAUUGAGUUACGAAAUCCGAUUAAUAAUAAUUUAUAAAGUUCGAACAAAAAAUUAUAAUAAUUUAAAGUUUGAAUACCAAAGAUUCACAUGCCUCAUAGUUUUAAGGACCAGAAGCGUACUUUGGGAAUUAAACUUUCUAGACUUUAUCAAAUAAUUUAAUGAAUCAUUCUUCUGAACCGAAAUUUUUAAUUGAAUUAUUGUUACAUAUUCAUGCCUUACACAUAAUUUUGUAUGCCUUCAAAACACAAACACAUAAUUUGCUCUUCUGAAUCCGAUAAUUAAGCAUUAAGAUUUAAUAAAGAAAAGAGAGCCAUCAGAUUAAAAAAGUUGUGAGGUUAAAAAGGUUGUAGGGGUUUGUGUACAAAAUUGCUUAAGGUUUAGGGGCUCUCUGCAUAUUUUUUUGAGAAAACUUCAAAUACCCCCUUGUGGUUUCAUUUUUUCUCACUUUCGUACCAUGUGGUUUAAAGUGUAUCAAGUUAGUACCUCGUGGUUUAAAAUGUAUCAAGUUAGUACCCUAUGGUUUCGCACUUUCUCACUUUAGUAUCAUGUGGUUUAAAAACCACAGAAUACUAACUUGAUACAAAAAAAAAAAUCACAGGGUACUAACUUGAUACAAAAAUAAAACCAUAGAGAACUAACUUGAUACACUUUAAACCACAAGGUACUAAAGCGAGAAAGUGCAAAACCACAGGAUACUAACUUGAUACACUUUAAACCACAUGAUACUAAAAUAAAAAAGUACAAAACCACAGGGAGGUUUUUGAAGUUUUUUCUAUUUGUUUUUAAAAAAUAAAUGAAUUGAGUGAUGUUAUUUUAUUAGUCACAUAAUAUGACAAAAAAAAUAAAUCUUAUUUAUUAGAUGAACGAAGUGUACAUCAUUCACCUCAAAAUGAAUAGCCUUUUUCACAAAAAAAAAGAGAAAAAUUUCAAAUACCACCAUUGUGAUUUCACACUUUUUUAUUUUAGUACCUUGUAGUUUAAAGUGUAUAAAUUUAGUGCUCUGUCAUUUUUUUUAUCCUUUUAUUAUCAAUUUUAUUAAUUUUUUUGUUAAAUCAGUGACAAAGUUAAAACUAAACAGUAUUAAUGUGAAUAUUUAGUAAACCUAGGUAGGGUAUCCAAGUCUUUUGUAUAUAAUUUAAUAAAAUAUUAAUGAAGAAACUGACGCAAAAUUAAAAAUAAAACCACGAGAUACUAACUUGAUACAAUUUAAACUAUAGGGUACUAAAGUGAGAAAUUACGAAACAGUAAAAAAAAAAAAAAAAAAAGGGGGUUGAAGCAGAAGAGAGUGGGGCCCACACCCCUACGGGCAACAAUUUCAAAUAAAGCGCAUUGGUAAGAGACCCGGAACUGUGACUCAUUAAUGAGACCGUCCUUGCUGGCACUUUGUCAUAUCGACACGUGUCCUUUGGUGCGUGCAGAGUGAACAUCUAGGUCCAAAUGGUCCCCUCUGUCCUGGUUUGCACGGCGUUGCUUUUUUUAAAAAACUUCAACUAAACGCCUCAAAACUACUGCUGCUUUUGGGCCCGGACCUUGUUAUUACUUUUUGUUUUUUUUUUCUAUUAAAAAAACGGAAAUGGAUAUUUAUUCUCUAUUUUCAUUUUUUUUAAAAAAUAAAAUAAAAUGGAUAUUUACGUACAAUUAGAUUAUAAAAUAUGCUGUUAAAAGGUCGAAGAUACAUUUUUCCCUUGAGACAUAGAAAGUCAAACAAAUUAUAAAAAUAUACGGUAGAUUUUUUAUUUUUAAAAUUCAAGUAUCUGUCUCGAAAAUCGAAAUACCGUAGCAUCUAUAUAUAUAGUUAUGAAUUGGAGAAACAAAAAUGGUACGGCCGCCCUCUCCGUGAAUUGGGAAAAUUAUUCAAGGAAUCUGAAUAAUUUUUCAUCAAUAAAUAUUUACAUAUGUAUAAAGUAAAAUCCGAUUCGUCUGAGCCGGCUCGGUGUGAUCAAUUUUUGGCUAGACGGAUUCGACCCAGUCCGGUCAUUAUGGGCUGGGUCGAGCUUGAAUAGUUUGCUAUGUCUUUGGACUGAGGACGGUCCGGUCCAGGCCGUUUUUUCCGUGGCUUGGCCCGGACUGGAAUUUGCUUAGUUCGAUUCAUAUUUUUACAAAAAUGAAUUUGAUUUUUCAAAUUCACCCAUUCUUAAUGAGAGAAUAAAUAUCACGAAACAAAUUUGUACUUCAGAAAAAAAAGAAAAGAAAAAAAGAAGACAAUUCAACCACCCCACUAGGAAGAGAAAUGCUUCUUUUUUUUUUUCUCCUUUUUGUCUUUUCAGAUAGAAAGAGUGUUUAGAGUAGCAAGUCCUAAACUUCAAAAUCACUCUUAAACCAUUAUUAGUGGGUAUUUAUGUGCUAUAUACAUCAAUACAGUCGAAAUCCUAUAGUAAUACAAACAUUAGGAACACCAAAAUCUCACUGUUAUUGUAGCAUAACAGCUUUGAUUUUACGACACUACUCGAGUUUAUUUACUACUUUUAUUGUACAGCUUGAGCCUUUGUACAUAUUGCGGCGCGAACAGCACAAUCUUAAGGAUUAUAUUUUCUAGAGAUGUCACUUUGUUAACCUUAGCCUUGCACCCAGAAAAGUUGAAACCCCGGUAACUUGAUGAAGCUGCGAUUUUGUUUGAUGAGGCCCUUGAACUUUACUUUUCCUUUCUUUUCUUUUUUGUUUCUUCUUUCCUAAAGAGGUUAUUAAACCAAAGUCAAAGAUUUCUUUAGCCAAUACUGCUGGAACCUUUGCCGCGCGUACUCCAUGUAGUCGAAGUCGAUGUCGUUUACGUGUUCCUGUAGUUAAAGAGGGGAAUUAGCGAAGAGCAAAAAGAAAAAGAAAAAGAAAAAGAAAAAAGGGAAGAAUGCGUAGAGAAUGAUUUUAAAAGUUGAAGAGAGAGUUUGCGAUGGAGAGCGGCUUACAGAGAUUAAUCCCCAAAGGCCCCAUACGAGAUGACUUGCGAGAGCAUACUUCUCGAUGGUUUCGAGCAGGUUCUCGAGUUCGGUGUCAUCAGGUUCCUCACCUGUUUCGAGAGGGAUCCAUAUUCUACUUUAGAGAGAGUAAAAUGGAGGAUUUAAGCAUGAAUAGCAAUUUUUUAUCGAAGUGUCGCAUUUAUUUUGUAGUAAAAAAGCAAAUUCAGAGGAAUCGAGACAAGUUCAACGAUAUUCAGAUGAUGAGAAACUGAAAUAAGGUACUCCCCGACUAAUUCAUUCAGCAUUAGCCAAAUAUUGCUAUACCCCUUAACCCGUAAACUCUCGGGCCCUGUUCAUCCUUGUCCUAACAUCAUUAUGGCAAUUUUAGUAUACUGAAUCAGUUGUGUCGUUCUUCUAACGUAGCAUUCGCGAUGUUCAUUUUCUUAAGCAUGGCUUAUCUCUUUACCAGUGAGCUCUAUUCUAACAUAAUUGAUUAUAGUGCAAAGUAAGUGGCCAGGUUCGGUAUGACUACUGCCAUCUGACAUGCUAUUUAACAGGAAAAAGAAUCAAAUAAAAAGAAUAACACUUGCAAAAUGAAAAACAGCCACACACUACUGAUUAUGAUAUUAUGUCAAGGACGAUAAGAAAUUAACAUGAAUUCCAUUUUUUUUUUUUGAGAAAAACAUGAAUUCCAUAUUACCAGAAGAACUCAGGUAGGUCUCCACAAAUCUCUUACGCUCCUCGAAACCUGUCAAGUGGAAUCAUGUAAGAAUUUUUAUCAAGUGAUCAGAUUGAAUGGAGAAAAAUAGUAAAACAACAACAUCAAUCAAGCAAAUAUGAGAAGUUGGCUACCUGGGUACUUGGUGUAGUCUAAUAUGUGAGGCUUUUCCGAAUGGUAGUUAGCCGCCAUCUCACAAAAGUGAUUCGCAAUGUCAUAUGCAACUGGAUUGAAACUUGCAUACUCGUAAUCCUAUUCAAGAAAGGAGAUACAAGUAAAUCAACUAAACUCCACAUUUUCUACUCCCCCUCUCUCUAAAAUCAAAAGGGAGCACGAAUUUCAAACACUAAACAACAAAGUGACGGGAGAAAAAAGGCCAUAAAGCAGCAGUAGUGAUAGAAUAAAUAAGUUUAAUAGAAAUAGAAAAGACACAACAUAUGUUUUCAAAAUAAAGUCAAUCCCAUGUAUAAUGCGCCGCUCAAACAACCAUUACUAAUCACUCCCGGAAAAAUAAACUAGUAGUGCAAAUUGCUCAAAUAGUGACACUUACUAUAAGAGGAAGAAACAAAUAUAAUUCUGCAUAUGGUGGAAGGUUAUGUAAUUGAAGAACAAUAGGAAUUAUAUUGGAGAAUUGACAGAAGAAAAAACUUACAAUUAUGGUCACUAAGCUAGUCUCUUCAUCAAUCAUGAUGUUGCCAUACUGAAGAUCAUUAUGACAAAACCCUAUCCUCUGAUUCUGGCCAGAAAAUUCGUUCUCUAAAUCAGUAAUCUCCUCCUCCAUGAUAUCCAAGCAAUAUUCUUCGGCUUCCUCAGGGGGGCACAAGCUCCUUGCUGCCCUAAGCCAAUUCCUUAAAAAGGGCAGAUUGUAAAUAUUAUGUCCAUUUGUUUUAACAAAAUAUUGAUAUACAAUAUUUGAUAUAGCAAUUAAAAGGUACCUUAAUCUGUUCCAAAGCUGAAUUGUUUUUGGACCAGGCAUGUCAAGAUCAUGAAAUUCCCUUAGUUUUGCUGCCACGAGAGCAGAAAUUUUUUCGUCACGAAGGUCAACAGCUGAAAGGGUCUGUAGUGCCAUAAAAACCAAAUCAGAAUCUCUAUAGUUGAAGGACAACUUUAUAAGUCACUUGUAUUUAUAUGUAUAAUGACAAGUUCUUAUACAUCUCUUAUGUCUUAUCACCAAAAAAUACAUCCUAGGCUUCAUAUACUUUCUAUUUCUGUUGUUAGUCACACCUCUUAGUCCUUUUCUUUUCCAAAGAGAAGUGAAGAAAAGUCAGAUAGACUGGUUAAAGCUAUUCAAAGAUCUAGUAUUGGUUACGCAAAAUCAAAGAGCUAACUUAUUUAACAAACUAUUUCUCUGGUUCAUAAUCCCAUUCUUGAAUUCAUCCAUUAUCUAAAACAUAAAGAUAAGAAACAGAUUCAUCUAAAAAGAUCUAAAGGGGAAAGAAACACCUUAGAAAAGUCACGGCAAUCAUAGUUCAAAACAGGAAUCAUAUAUACUCUUAUUUGCAAUAGCAUAAGCACCCUUUUGACCAAGGAAUUUAGAGAAUUCGUAGAGCAACUUUAUUCCAAAGUAACUUUUCCAUUUCGCAUCAUUUCCCUUAAUCCACUAACUUCUUCUAAGCAGAUUCCUAGCUUUGUAAAGAUGGAUUCUUCACAUUUAUAGCGAUCGAACCAAUUAUACUUCCUAAGUAAUACUAGGUAACGUCUAGGAUUUUGCAGCCCAAGCCCCCGGGAUAAGAGAGCAACAAAACCAAAUUUCGAUUCAACAAAUUACUCGACGAAAGUAAAUUACCCUAUUAUUUGCUAUCAUCUCCAACAAAUCAAUAGGACUACCAAAAUAACCCUAUUAUUGGCAAAUUUUCUAAAAAAAUAGGGCAAAAAUUAGAAGAACAAAGGAUCGAUUUAGGCGAAUACAAACCCUAGCGUGGAUGAACUCCUCGAUGCGCCCGUUCGGGAACCGGGCGAGGAGGCGCGGGCCCUGGCCGUGGCGGGAGAUGCACUCGAAGGUGCGCACCUCGUCGGCGCGAUCGAAGAAGAGAUCCGUCCCGUCGCCAUAGAUCCGGAGCAGCACCUUCUUCUUCCUCACCUCCUCCUCCUCCGCCUCCUCCUCCGCCGCCCCCGGCCUCCUCCUCCGCCACCGCACCUGGUAAACCUCGUUCGUCAUCGCCCCGUUCAUCGGCACCACCUCGAGCGCCCACCGCCCCUCCUCCGCCGCCGCCGCCGCCGCCACGGCGCCUCCGGCGAACCACCGCGCCGUGAGUCCCUGCAGCGCCCCCGCCGCCUCCCUCGGGAUCCGCAACCCCGCCGCCCCGAUCUCCACCGCCACCAUCGUCUCCUACCCCCUCCUCGCCCGGUGAGUUCGCCGAAACCCUAGCUCGGAGUCUCUAAUUAAGAGAGGUUUGAUCGAAAUAGAAUCUCCGAUGAGCAAAUCCGAUAUUUAUAGUUUAGAUAAAAUAAAAUGCGUUCGAUUCUUAGUUUCCUUUCAUGAAAGGCGUCUUAAAUAACAAGAAACCAGGUGGUAGGGGGACAAAGCAGAGGCUUUGGAAACGAGUCGUUGAAAAGAACUACUCCGUGCACCGGGCCUACCACAUCAUUUGAACCGAGCCAGUUAUGCCUUUCUUAAAAGAUAAAUAGAACGGGUAUUUGACAAUAGACCGGGUCCAGGAAAUAGACCCAGAGGUUUACGAAGAGGGUGGAGCGGGAGAGACCGUUUUAAGGCGACACGUGUCAGAGAGCGAUUGGCAGUGGUGGCGACUAUCGAGGGAGGGGAGCAAGAGCGGGCACAGAACGAAGAGUUGGGGGGGGGAGCGAGGGAGGCGUGAGUAUAUAUAGGAUGCGUGUGGGGCCCGCUUUAUAGCCAAAACAGCGACACGUUGAUUAUUUUAUGUCAUGCCACGUGGCAUGGCGUGUGGGCCCACGCUUCGCGGCUUUGUAAAUUGGUCAAAGGAAGAGCGGCACGCGCUGCACCCACGGCACUCAGGAAGCGACACGUGUAAGCGACGGAAGGUUCGACACGUGGCGUUUGGUGUAUGGAUAAGGUGCGUGGGAUCGUGCAACACGCAGCGUAGGUCGAUUUCCACGAAAAUAGACAAAUAUCUCGGCCGACCGUGUGAAACGGAGCGCACGCGGAUCGAAGUGUUUGUGGAUUGACGAAAUUACCCCUGAGAAAUUUUCAGGAGCUCAAAGCUGUACUCUACUUAUCCGAGAGCUCUUAUUCUUUACUUCUCUUAUCAAUUUUUUUUAUUAAAAAAUUAAAAUUUAUACUUAUUUAUAAAUAUAUAAAUAUAUAUAUAUAUAGUAUUUUUAUUUUUUCAAUGGCUUUUAAUAAUGUGAGAACAACAGUCGUGACUUUCACCAAUGCAACGCAAAUGGGCUUUUCUAAUGCUUUUGAAUUGCUAGACUCUUGUGCGAAGUAAAUCUUUGCACAUUUGUGGUAAGAUCAAUUUAUGCUAUUUGCAUAUGAAGAUUAUUUUUGCACGGAGUGAUUCCACUUCAAAUUGAGCCAUCCUUGUAAAUUUAUAGAUCGAUCAUGAAGCAGAUUUAUAGUGGGAUAGAAAUACGCUCUCUUUUAUAGCAAGUGUCUUUUUUCUACAAACACGUGUGCAUGUCGGAUUGAUCACGUUACAGAUUUGUAGAGGAUUGCCCCGCUAUAGAACCCCUACGACGCUCAAUAGUCCCGCAUCAGGUGAAAAAGAAAUUAUAAGUAGAAAUAUAAGGAUUAUAUAUAGAAACACAAGGAGUAGGAACCAUACUAUCAAUUACUGAAGUUAAAUAUUUUUGGCUGGUGAUUUGAACCAACGAAUUAUUACUACUAGUGUACAGGAUUGUUAAAAUUAAUAUCAAAACCAGUUCACUAGCUGGUUGUGAUGCCGAAUCGUCCCAUAUCAGAUGAAAAAGGAUUGCACCUUUUAAUUUCAAUUUUAACUUUUUUUUAUUAUUCUUUGACACACCACUAAUCAAAGUAAAAGACUAGCAAGUAGAGUCACUGAUCAAAGUAUGUGGACUGCCAUAGAGUUAAGCUUUUCUUUAAUUGAAAGAGAUAAGCUAUCAAGGAAGUGUUAUGUAUAGCAGGUUUCUUAUACCAAAUAGUGGUACUUGUUCAUAUCUUUUGAUCAUGUUGUAAGGUGCAGCGCUAGCACUGUUAACUAAAGUAUUAUGUCAGAAGCAUUGUAUGGAGAUCUCCCAAUGUAUAACUUCUUUUUGCAGCAAUAGAUCAGCUUCAAAUUAGAGAUUAUACUUUUUAAAUUCAAAUGUUCUAUUUUAGUUUACCGUUGCAUGCAACAAGAGUCCUAAACUUUUCUACUUGUCAAAUAUUGUGCGACAGAUGUUCGCAAAGUAUAAGCAAACAAGAUCUCAAACAGAAAAAAAUGUUUUAAUUACAACAUCGAUCUUUUUUUGUAGGAUAACAACAACCACUCAAAAGCUUUAACUCUGGUUAAAACUAUACGAAUAAGAUUUUCUUCAAUAAUAAUUUCAACAUAAACUUAUCAUAUUACACAGUUUAAUACGGUUCAUUUAAUAUUAGAUCUUACGAGACAUGCCUAUUACAAAAAUUAAGAGUUUCUCGCCAAAUAAGCACUACAUUCUACAUCAGUGCUAAAUUAACGAGGGAGCAUCGAUAGAUGUAAAAAAGAAAAAAUAUGAACUCUAUUUAAAAUAUAGUUAAAGGGUCUUCAUGUUUCUUUCAUUUUACCUUUGUACUCCAUUUUAUCAUACAUUUUAAAAUUUCAUACAUUUUACCUUUGUAUAGAAAGUAAAUUUCAUACAUUUUAAAAUUUGUUAUCAAAUUUAUUGAAGAGUCGAAAAAUGAACAGUCAAAAACGAAUAAUCUUGUGAAAAUAGAUACGUUAGACAUUUUCAAUUCAUGACCGAAGUUAUCAAACGUUAUCUAAAUAGUAUAAAGAAUUUUUUAUAAAAAAAUUAAGCUGUUUGGAUUGUUCUACGCUGUUAAACAAGCAAACGACUCAUAUAGGUCAUAAAAAACGGACGAUUUUUGUGAUCCUUUGAUUAUUACGUAAAUAAUUUUUAAAAUUCAUAAAAUUUAGUUUUUAAACACUUUAAAUACUCUAAAUCAAAGUUAACGGUCUCGAUCAUCGAUUCGAAAUCCCUAUUAUCUAAAACGACUUAGGAGGACAAAGGCCUCCGUGCGUUCUCCUAAAAUAAUAGUAGCUGAAUUUAUGUUUAAUAUUCAAAUUAUAGUAUUAUUAUACUAAUCACUAUAGUACCAAAAUAUUUCUAUAAAAACACUUCACUCCUACCGAUCGUCCCUAGAGCAAGUGGCAAAAGGUUUGGUGGUUGGUACCCGAGACCCAAGUUCGAAUCCUAGUUGAUUCACAUUUCUAGUUUAGUUUAUUUCUAAAUGAAAUAAACGAAACGGAUAGCGUGCUACCUAUCUCUCAAAAAAAAAAAAAAAAAAAAAAAAAAAAAAAAAAAAAAAAAAACUUCACUCCUUUGCAUUAGAAGCUUCUUGUGCACCAUCCAACCAAAAGAGGAAAAGCAGCUUCAAGCAAAAGCCAUUUUGACUGCAGCUGCACCAGUCACUUGCCACCCCAGUUUGAAAAAGAAAAAGCCAAUGAGAGGAGAUUAUUUUUAUGCUACAAAAUCAAAGCUCAUCUCAGCUUUUUUUUGCUUUCAUGUGGAUUUUGUUCCUUUUCCUUUGAAUCCAUGAGGUCCACAAUUUAAAGUAGAAUAAAGUGCAUUAGUUAUAGUUAUAUUUUAUGCUUGCAUGAGGACUACAAUGCCAUUUUUUUAUUAUCUUAAUGAAUGCUUAUGUACUACUGGACAUAAAUUUAAGGAUUUUUUAGUCUUCUAGAGUGAUAAGCUCAAACCUGAAUUUUUUUUUUUCAUUUAUUAUAUUCUAUCUUUAUCAGAAUUAGAUUUAAAAUGAAAGAUGGGUGUGUUAAGACUAAUUUUAAGCUAUUUUCUACUAUAUUAAAUUUUUGGAUAGUACAGUACUAGAGCCAAUUCUAAGCUCAAUCUCUUCUAAGAGAUCUUUAUUUCAAUUACAAUACAUUUUUGUUAAUUAUGUACCCCACUUGUAUUAAGAGAGAGAGAGAGAGAGAGAGAGAGAAAUCUUUUGAGAAAGAGGACAAGUACAGAGAGAGAGAGAGAGAGAGAGAGAGAGAGAGAGAGAGAGAGAGAGGAGGAAAAGUACAUAGAAUAAGAGGGAUAAUUUCAUUUAUACCCUUCAAAAGAUUAGAAAUACCACAAACACCCUUAUAAAAUUGGUAAGCAAUUGUCUCUUUAAAUAUCCACUUUAUUUCAAUUUUACCCUUGUCGGUAGUCUCCUUAGUUUAAUUAUAUAGAUUUAAUCCCAUUUUUUAUUAUAUAAAAUAUAUCAAAUAUGAAAUUUUCUAUUUUACCUCUUAUUUUGAAUCUUCUGGUGGUAUACCCAUCAUUUAUUUCCCUAUUAACUAAUAAAAAUAAUGUGCAUAAGACCCCUCAAAUAUAGAUUAUUUUGAAACAGGACUGUAAACUAUUUUUAACUUUUUUUUGGUCCAUAUAAUUGACAAAUUUGUCAAAAUUAAAUAGUUCAUUAGCUAUAAGCUGCUAAUUCUUCAGAAAAAUAGCCAACUAAAGCCAUCAUAAAUUGAUACAAUUGUUGUUUAAAUUUAUGAAAUUCUCAUUUUAAUGCUUGAAAUAAAUUAAAGCAAAUAAGAUAGAAGAGGGUGAGAAAAUAUUUAAUAAAAUUGAAGAGCUAUUUCAAAAUAGCUUAUUGUUGAGAGAGCUCCAUACAUUUUUUAUGUUUGGGAAGAUUGCUGCAUUUAUCUAAAAUUGUUUCGUAAUUUUUUCGUAACAUUCCAUAAGUAUUUUAAAAUGAGUUUUUAUAGCUGAUUUUAAAAGACUUUUUUAACAAUUUAUUAGAUUGUUUAUUAGCAUCUAAUUAAAGAAUUUCUAUAGUAUUUUGUUCAAUAUUUUUUCAAAGAAUAUAAUUAAUUCACUAAUAAAUAUAAUUAAAGUGUAUUUAUGAGUUAAAAUUUCAAAGGGCAUUGAUGAAAAGUAGAACAAGGGGUGUAAUAGAAAUUUGUUUACCGUUUACUUCAGCAUGGACGAAAAGUUACAUAUAAAGCUAGUUUUAAAAAAAUUUUAAAAAUAGAGGGAUAUUUAUGAUAUUUCAACUUUAUGGGGCAUCAGUGAAAAUAUUUCUUUAGAAGGGCAUUGAGUAAAUUUUCUUUUGAAUAAAUGAGAAAAAAAGCACUACUAGUUACAGAAAGAGACUAACCGCUUUUUAGCGCUAAGUGGUAAAGAUUUAGUGAUUGAUAACUAAAAUUUCAAAUUCGAGGCCUAAUAUUUUUAUAUUUUUAAUUAAAUCUAUUUUUUUAAAAAAUGUAAAAAUAGUUGCAGAAAAGAGAGAGGGAGGGAGGAAUUUUGACACUUUUAUUAUAAUAAUUAAAAUUAGGAAAAACUUUAAAUACCCCCCUUGUGGUUUCACUUUUUUUCACUUUAGUAUCAUGUGGUUUAAAAUGUAUCAAGUUAGUACCCUGUGGAUUCUCACUUUAUCACUUUAGUAUCCUGUGGUUUAAAGUGUAUCAAAUUAGUAACUGUGGUUUUGUACUUUAUCACUUUAGUAUCCUGUGAAAACCACAGGGUACUAACUUGAUACAAAAAUAAAACCACAUAGUACUAACUUGAUACAUUUUAAACCACAGGGUACUAAAAUGAUAAAGUGAGAAACCACAGGGUACUAACUUGAUACAUUUUAAACUAUAUGGUACUAAAGUGAAAAAAAAUGAAACCACAGAUGGGGUUUUUGAAGUUUUCCCUCAAAAUUAUCAUUGAUAGACCAUAUAUACUAAUAUUUUGCAGUCUAUUGAGUGAACACAUAAAGAGUUGAGUAAAAGCAAACAUCACAGAUUCAUUUUCUAUGGAAUUGAUUUACUAGUGCUUGCUAAAUUUUAUCUCUAAUUGACUAACUCUCAUCUACUUAACAAAGAAAAUAAAGAGUUUGCGUGCUUAGAAAAAUUACUCUUAAAAUAAGAAAACUUACUAAAGUCAUAUGCUUAUUAUAUCUACUUGUGUUUAAUUGAUUAAGUACUGGUCAAAUGAUAGAUAACGUGCAAUUCCUUUCCACUUCUGAGUCGUUUGAACAUCUUACACCAUUCUACUUUGAUCCAACUCACCUGAAUGGAGCAGCAUGCAUGCGUUGAUGCUAUUUUGAUAUUUGGAUAUAUAACAUGUAACUUUCGAUUCGAUAGCGAAGGUUGAACUUACUUAAUUAUGAUCGAAAGAGACGUGUGCUCUACCGGAUCGAAUAGACAAGAUUGUUGCAAUAGAGUGUCGGAUCGUUGGCGCUAACCAUUAAUCUCAAAAGCUCGAGCUGUUAGAAAUACGCAACCAAUUCACUUAAAGUGUACAGAAACAGCGUUCACGGGUCUCGAUUGUGACUCGGCCUACCUGGCCUCACGCCACUUCGAACAUGACUCGGCCUAACCCAGCUUCACACCAUUUCGAACAUGACUUUGCCCACAUAGCCUCCCGUUAUAGGACAGAAUGUUGGCUCAUUUAAGCCAACAUAGAGUACUAUAGUUAACCGCUAUAAAACGACGAGUUGUGAAAGAGGACUACGGAGAAAACAAAACAAAGUCGAAUCAAUAGUAACAAUUGCCUUUUCUAAUCGCGACAUAAAAGGGACUUUUUUUUUUUUUUUUGAGGGAAAACACGCCCUGAAGCGAUUUUAUGCCUUUGAUGACAUAAAAGAGAGUACAGUGUUGGAAAUUAAUACCAUUGCAGAUCCUUUUAUUUUGACAAUAUCUUACUGCUAUUAUUCGGGAUGUCAAAUAAGUAGGGUCUCAUAAAUUUAUUUUCUAUGGGUGUCUUUUAUAAUUCUUUUCGCUUAUGGUUCGUGAGUCGGCUCGUGUUCGGCUCGUUAAUAAAUGAGCUCGAACACGAUCUGACUUUUUCGGCUCGUUUCUUUAACGAGUCGAGUUCGAGCUGGAUUUUUCAGCUUGUUUAAUAAACGAGUCGAAUACGAGCUGAGGUCAGUUCGCUCGUGUUCGGCUCGUUUACAGCUCUAGGUCCAUCUAGCCUGUAACUAGGUUUUUCUUACGCUGAGUAGGAUAUGCCUGUUUCGCCAAAGGUAAAAUUCAUAUUGAAAUAAAAUUUUCGGCAAACUAUUGUUCGGGUGAAAAUAAUUGGGAAGUAAGAGUUUCGUCCAAAGUGAUUUGUUUGUAUAGCUGCGAAACUGAAUUUUUUUUAGUUAUGUUAAUUUUUUAUUUGAUAAGAAGUAAAUAACAUAAAAGAUAAAGACAUAGAGGAUAGAGUAAUAUUUUACUUUUUUUUUUUUCAUAAGUGAUUUUGGGUUGGGAUGAACUAAAGUCAAUUACAACAUUACGAAGGAUUUAAGUGUUGAUCAAAGAUAAAGUUACGAUGAAUCAAAUAACGGAAGUGAAUGUUUAGGACACAUCCUUAGAGUAAAACAACAAUUCUAAUAAAUGUCAUGUCAGGCCAAAUAAAUACGAAAUUUUCUGCAUAAUUUAUCCAAUUAUAGUCUAAUAUUACAAUAGAAAAAAAUUUCUAAGUUGAGCUUUCCUGAAUUUAAGUCUUAAUUUAAUUUUUUAAAGUUUUUAAUAACUCUACUUAAAUUAUAUUAUUAUUUUUUUAUUAAAAAAAAAAGAACAAACUACUCUUGAAGGGGGGGAGAAAUAUAGUUAAAGGUCAUUUUAUGUACUUUUCAAUGUUGUCACCUGCAUUACCAAUUUUCUUAUCCAUCUUCUAAUCUUUGUAAUUUUAUAGANGGGGACAUUUUAUGUACUUUUCAAUGCUGUCACCUGCAUUACCAAUUUUCUUUUCCAUCUUCUAAUCUUUGUAAUUUUAUAGAAUAUCAUCAUUGUCUUAGUCAAAGUAUAAAUUCAUGCACAAUUAAAGGGGAUUCCACAAAGAAUGCAAUUUAUGGUUGGACUCUCUCUAUUUGUCACCAUCAAUGUACUUUUUAUGAAUAGUGGUUCAAACAAGAUACCCAUUGAGUGAUUGAUUAGGGGAAUGAGAUUCUUUGAAAAAUUCCAUAUUACACCCAAGGAAUUGAUUAGAAUGAAAGAAUCAUCUCCACUUGCACCUUUUCCAAUUUUUCAUCAAAUGAAAAUGACAAUUAAUAAGAGGCUUGAUAAUUUCUUGAUUGCAACUUGAAAAUGGGAAUGUCAAUGGUUACGGAUACCUGACAUUUAAUUCGAAUCUGAAUCCGAAGGAAGAGGGUUUAACCGAUGCUGAACGAAUAUGAGUUCGAUUAUUGGUAUAAAAAAUAAAAAUCCAAUGAAUUCGGAUUCACGUAUGAUUUUUUUUUUUAAAUAUACUUGAUCUGAAUCUGAAUCUGAAUUGGCUUUCUGUUAUAUAAUCAUAUAAAAAUUUAAGUUUGUACACUAACAAAAAUUUAGUUUUGAAUAUAAUGUGUUUUAAAUUUUGAUAAAGAGAAAUGAUUACUUUGGGAUUUGAGUCAUUGGGUUCCGUUCCAGGUUUUAGAUGUUUUUUUUUUUUUUGCCAAGUUUGAUUUUGGUUAUAGACUUUCAAAACUCUGACUGGUUCGGAUUUUGAUUCGGAUUGGAAUUUUAUUUUCAGUAGUCGGAUUCGAGUUUGAAUUUUGAAAAUAUGUCCCGGAUUCGGUACGUUGGCAUCCCUACCAUAAGGAAACUUUAGGGGCACAAUACAUUGAUUUAUUUCCAGGGCCGUGACAAAGGUAGAAGUUCACAUUUUUAUAUUGGAAUUGAGUUCCUAUGCUUUUAAAAGUACCAAGUGAUUAGUAUUUGUAAGUUUUCGGCUCUUGGAUUAAGGGAUGUGCGGUUAGGAUGAUGUGAGCCCCCUAGGAUUGAGUGGGUGGUUGGUUGAAUAGUAUAAUCUAACGGGUAAAAAUGAUCAAAGGCGUAGAUCUAACGGUAAAAAAUUUACAAGCACCAAGUACCAUAGCCGGAUUCUUUAUAUUGUAUCCUAAUAAAUUAUAGGGACAAAUCUAAUAUGUUCUUCAAAAUUAUAAAAAUACCUUGUUUUUUUUUUUGAAAUAUCAAAAUAUUCUUAUUAAUUUUAUAAUUUUUUCAAAUAUUCGCAUCUUCUCUGGGGCUUAUUAAUGAGAUUGGAUUUUUGACGGGUAUUAUAAUAAUUUCAAAACAAAUUUAAAAAUUUUGAAUAGUAGUAAACAAUAAAUAAGCAAAAGCUCUAAAUUACAAACCACCUCUAGAUAGAAUCUCACAAUAAAUAAAAUUAUGUGUGUAAUUGGACCUGUCAAAAACAUCAAGAUUUAAAUAAGAGGAGGGGACAUCAUGGGGGUGUUGUUACAUCCCAAUAAUUCCAAAGUAAAUUAGAAAUAAAAUUAUGAUGGAUAUAUAAGGAGUUAUGCUCCGUUUAGAAUUGCGGAGAGAUUGUGUUAUGUGCUGCGAUUAAAAUAUCAUGUUUAUUUUCGUACAUAAUAUUAUAUUCCUUAUAUCGUAAUGAGUCGGUGACGAUAUAUUUUCUACGAUCGUACCGAAUAAAUAUUAGACUGAAUCAUUGAAUUAUCUUCCAAUUUUUUAAGGCCUAGAUAGGUUCAAAGAAUAUCGCAGUUAUUUGACAUUAAUGUAAUUGAAGCUCGUUCAAAAACAUGAAGAUGACACCAAAAUCUCUCGGUCAGUAAAUUUAAUUUCUACUCGCUUCUUUUAUUUUUAUUUUCAUAUCAUUUUGCAGGUAGAGUUAUUAGGGCUUAGUUGUUUUUUGGUUACACACCUUGAACUUAGGAUAGUGAAAAUUUUGAAGUCUAAUUAAGGACCAAAAUGCAACCCUGUAAAUGUUCGAGGGUUAAAAAAUAUUUUUAAAAAAACGAAUGAGAAUAGUAAUAUCCGUUCAGAGGCCCAUUUUGUUUUGGGCCCCUAUUAUGGGCUUGGGCUUAACGAAACGAGCACACGAAUCCAACGACCCAUUGUUCAAUCUCCACCGUCCAUUAUUAGACGGUACAGAUUAACUGUACCCUGGAUGGACGGUAGAUCGCCCUCCUAUUGGCGUCCGCAUACGGUGCCAUCCGUACACUAGCCCUUCCUUCUAUGUUUCUAGGGUUUCUAGGGUUUCUCUGCUCGAAACUUCGCCUUCGUACUCUCCCUGCUUCUUCUUCUUCGAAGCUCGUCCAUGGCGGAGGAGAAGAGCUCAACCACGAACCCUAAGGUACUUCUCUCUCUCUCUCUCUCUCUCUCUCUCUCUCUCUCUCUCUCUCGCUAACACCUUUUAUCUACUCACAGGAAUCGUACCCUUCCUUCUCCCUUUCCAAUCUCACUCAAUCGGACCUCGGAUUAGGGCUUUUCGGCUUCCCCGAGAAGCCGCUGCCGCCUCCUCCUCCGUGCGUCGAAGUCGAUCCCUCGGAGGUACAUAGUUAGUACCAUUCCAUCAAUUGCUCUAAAUAGUGUCCUCUGCAUAGGCGAUUAAAUUCUCCUCAUCUCACAUUUGACCCUGUUCUUAUAAUCGUAGGAACCUCCGAUUGCAUUAUCUAAUGCAGAUCCUGUUGUUAUUAACGAAUCUUUAACACUUUAUAAGGUAUCCGGUUCAUUUCCCGCAAAAUGUUUAUUUAAUAAUGUAGAAAAACAAGGUGUACUACAGGUGUUUGAUAAAAUGUCGCUUUGGUUUUAUUUAUUACAGGGAAGAGUAAAUACAUCUGAUGUUUUUGGUGUCACCAACUCGGAUUUGGUCCCUGGAAAGUAUGAAGGUGAAGAAAAAAUUGCUCUUUUGGUGCUUAAUUUCUUCUUUAGGUACUGUUGGAUUGCACAAUCUUGUUGAUGUUAAGUGUUGAUUGUUCUCUUACUAGGUGGAUUGAAGUUGUGGGAGGGGUCUCUUGAUUUAGUUAAGACCGUCUACUCUGAGGUUGAGAAAGGUCGACUAGUAUUGAAAGGAAAGCGAGUAUUAGAGGUGGGCUGCUUCUUCUCAGGUGACAUUUUACAUCCUUUUGUAGUGUGGACUUAAUUUGUAAUAGUUGUCGGUUUCAGUUUAUCGAAUCAAGUUCAUGUGGAAAUCAAUGGGAAAUGCUGCUUUGUGAGAUGGGAUGUAUUGCUAGUUGUUAUUUCUUGUGUGAUAAAUAGACAAAUAGUUAAUGUAGUUUUAUUGCCCUAACUCAAGGUUUCCUGCUAAUAGUAGUUGUAUUGUUAUUUCAUUUCUCAUAAAAAAAAAAGGAAACUCUUGCAUCGUUUAUACUGGCAAUGGCAACUUUUUAGGAUUUUAGUAGGUAUAUGAGAAAGUAAAUAAUUGGUCUUGUCCAAAUCUGCAGUAUUGAAAAAUGCUGAUAGAGAGAGAACCUGCAGCAGCGCAGAAUACUCUUCUCACUCUUUUUGGUAUUGAGGGGAGGAAAGAUUUAACAGAAAUCAGUUAAACAUUAUAAUUCUAAAAAGCUUAUGCUUGUUUUUGCAUAUGUUCCUCAUUUUUAUGUACUAUGAUUUCUAUUCUGUUCAUUAAGUUCUCUCAUAAACCUUAAAAUCUUUUGAAAGUAGUCGCUCAUAUAUAUCUUCAUCAUACAUGAUUAGUCAUUUGUAAUUUGAUAAUGUAUAUUAUUUCUCUGUAAACUGUCUGAUGUGACAACUUCUCUUAAUCAUACUCCUUAAAAUGGGAGGGUUUAGGGGCCUCGAGUAUGAAGUUCUGGUGAAACAAAAUUAGGGACUAGAAGGAAUUCAUAUACGAAAGAAAAUUUUUUAGUGGGUUCUUUUAAAUGCUGCUGCAUAAUCACAAAAAGGAGGCUCCAUAGAUGAAUGUAGUUUCCCGUCAGGAUUAAAUGUGAUUAUUUUCUCUCAAAGUUAAAUGCUUGUGAUGUUCAAGGUUCCAGUUUCUCCGAAUUAACUUUUACCUCAAGUUACAGGUCUCAAUUUUGGAAAGUUAGAAAGAUUCAAAAUGUCAGAUCAAAGAAUUGUGAACAGAAUUUUAUAUCUACUCUGACAUAUUAGAUUUCUUUUUAGUGAGAGAACUUUUUGUAGUUAUUGUCAUCCUUUCAUGAACUUAACAGCAGUGAGUUCUCUUCUCAAAAAUAAGGGAGAUAUUUUUUUUAUCCUAUCUAUGCUGCAUUUGAGGGGGGUUGUGAAUUGUUCAAAUGUGCUUGCAUUUAAAAUGUUUGCGCCAAGUUAUUAGUGGAUAUUGUAAGUUCUCUUCUGCAAGGGCUAAUUAUGGUUUCUUUCCUCCUAUAUUUCAGCUUGGAUGUGGCCAUGGGCUCCCUGGUAUCUUCACAGGUCGUGAGGUAUGAGUUACAUAGGCUCAAAUUUGUAUGGUUUGGGUUUCUGUUUUAACUACCGGAUUUUCUUUUCUUUAUUAUUAUUAUUAUUAUUAAUAUUUUGUUCCUUAACCAUUAGGGUGCAGCUCUCAUCCAUUUCCAAGACUUCAAUGCUGAGGUCCUAAAAUAUCUAACCAUACCAAAUGUAAAAGAAAAUCUUAUGAAAGAUACAUCUGUAUCCCCCUUUGUCCGCUUCUUUGCUGGUGACUGGAGUGAAAUUCACAAGCUUCUUCUCUCUGGUAACAUUGAUCAACAAAAAGAAACAGAUGAAACCUUAGGAUCGGAAUAUGAUGGCUAUGAUCUCAUUUUGAUGGCCGAAACUGUUUAUGCAUUAUCUUCACUUAGUAACCUCUAUGUGCUUAUCAAGAAGGUUAGUGUUUCCAAAGUUUAGAAUUUCUUUUGUCCCCCUUUUUUUUUUUUGUGUGUGUUGCUGCAAAAUCUCCUGCAUUUGUUGUUUGUUUGUGGGUAUCUGAAGUGAGCAUGCAUAUUGUAGUGUCUGCACUACCCUCGCGGAGUUGUAUACAUGGCAGGAAAGAAGCACUAUUUUGGAGUAGGCGGCGGCACGAGACAGUUUGUACACUUGGUUGAAGAAGAUGGUGAGUGAUACUUCUUUAGUACUAUUUAAUGAUAUUUUUGUCUUGAGGAUUGUCUGGACUUCUCUUCUAGUCAAAUUUUCAGGGAUAGCUUUUCCUAUGCAUGGGAUAUACAACCAUGUCAUCAGUAGCCAAGAAUAAAGCCAAUUUCAAAUUGGUCUUCGAAUUUAGGAAUAAUUGUGAAUCUGUGAUAAUGAUUAUGAGGAUAGACGUAAUGAUAAAGUAUGGUUCUGGGGAUGACUGGACAUUAAAGGGAUAGCAAACAUUUCAUUAGUUAGCUGGAAACAGCACUAAUUCCCAUGUUACUAUUACGUGCUUUUUAUCCUGCAUUUAGCAGAAUAAGGGAGGAAAUUAGAAUUGGUAACUCACUCUGUUCCCUGUAUCCUAAUAAAGGGUAUAUAUGCUAUUGGGAAGAGUGAUUGGGUGAAACAUUGCUUUAUCAGUGUAUCAUUUUUACGUCUUAUCAUUAAAAAAUAUUUUGUAAAUUUACACCGAGUUUUCGUUUUAAUUCAAUUCUCAUAUAUUUGCUGCCCUUUAUGCUUUACAAGCUCCUUUACAAACUUUGAAGCAUGCGUACGCUAAGUCUAUGCUGAUUUCUCUUGUUCUUUUUCCAGGUGCCAUGGAAGCUUGCUUGCUUGCUGAAGUUGCUGAUGGCUCAUCUAAUGUUAGGGAAGUGUGGAAGUUCUCAUUCAAAUAGUACUUCGUCCAUACUCGAGGCAAGUGAAUUCAGAAAUUGUGCUUUAUGUAUUACUAUGUUCUGUUAUGCUAUACCAUGCCUAAACAAGAAAGUAACACAUUUCUUUUCCUUUAGUCGGUAGACUUUUUUUUUUUUUAUUGUUGCCCCAUCAAUAGAUAUUAUGUACAAUUCUCUCUUCCGCUAGCCAUUUCAUUAUUUAAAUCUUUCAUUGUGUUCUUCAUAGCCCACUCUUGUUCUACUAUUUUAUGUUGAAUAUUUCUGAUUAAAAUGUGUAUUAUUUAUGUUUCCUAGUGCUAUGGGGUUGCUCCUAGGGAUCUUACCAUCUAUUUCUCUUUAGAGGAAAGAUAAAAAGCAGAAAUAAUAGAAAACUUCAUUAUAGUUUAAUGAAUUAUAAUCAAUAAUCAAUGUGUGACAUCAUGAUUCAGUAUUACUGCAGAUAUAGGAUUGGCUUCAAAAAUAUGCUCGACUGAAGCUUUCAUAAUUUAUUCGCUACAAGUAGAAGCCUCAUGAUUCAUCUCAAGAAGGGUAGCUCUUCUUCUUUAGCUUAUAGGAUAUAACGAUGUCCGAGUCAUGCUAUUCGUAGAAGUGUUAUCUUAAAAUAUUUUUGAACUUCUCCUUUAAUAUUUCUUUUUUUUCUUUACCAACUGCUUUACUGGGGGGCUGUUGCUACCUAAAUCAGUGGCAGGAGCGGCGCCAAACAAGUUCUUAGAAAAUGACGGCAGAGCUCCUUCUGCUAAAGCACACCUUUAUUGUACGACAUCUACCACCCUUUUUGAAUUAUUGUUAUUUCGAAAUUUGGUUCAGUGGUUAGAUUUAACUUAUUUCACAUGGGAUUGGAUUUGGGCUCUUCAUAAAAUUUUUGUUCAAUAUAUGAGACCCUCUUAUUGCUUUUCCAAUGGUAGCAUUCUAAUGGAAGCAAGUGAAUGGUUAGAUUUAAAUUAUUUUACAUGGGAUUUGGGCUCUUCAUUAAAUUGUGUUGUUCAAUUUGUGGGGCCAUUUUAUUUUAUUUUAUUUUUUAAUGGUAGCAUUCUAAUAGAAGCAAGUGCAAUGAAUAGUACACAUGUGCUGGCCCAAAGCAAACUCAUGGGGAAAAAGCUAUGUUGUCCUUCCACGUAUUCUUAUCAUGUGCAAUAAUAAUGAUUACAUUACAUUACAUACAUAGUACGAUGUGAUGGGCUUGUUUCUUCUACCUCUUAGUUGUCUUUAGGUCAUGCACCUUAGUGUAUCAAAUUACUAACCAAUAUUUCCUUCACUCUUUUUUUUUCUUUUAAUUCCUUUGUGAAUUAGUUUAAUGUUAUUGUAUUGAGAACAGGUUAUGAUAAGAAGCUCUCACCUACAUAGUUGAGUUUAUAUUGAGAGAUGAGAGUUAGGGUGUUUUCUGAAGCUGUGGUAGUAAGUUUUUUUUUUUUUUUUACUUUUUCGCGCGUCAGAUUGGAUCAUGAAAAUCAUAUGCUCUACCUUUAAGAUUCACUUUGCAUGAUAUAUUGCAGCAGAUCCGAUCUGUAGAAAAAGUGGAAUCACACUCUAAACUCUUCUCUCUCUCUCUCUCUCUCUCUCUCUCUCUCUCUCUCUCUCUAUGCAUGUUUAUGUGUAUAUAUUAUGUGGAAAACAAAUGGUCUCUUUCAUGCAAAUUGGUGAGGAACAGGAAAGGAAUCAAAGCCUAUCAGGCCAUGUUUGUCUCCUUCCCCUCAAUGUCUAUCCUUCAAUGAGUGUUGCCCACUCCCAUGUGCUUUAGCCCAUCACACCAUCAUGUUGCUCCCUCUAUUAUUCUCCUCCGCAUUCCCCUAACCCUAUAUCAACACCCUACUCACACUUACUCCCUAAACUAAGCACAUCAUAGGCAAUGGGCUUCAAAGACAUCUUUGUAAGAUGCUCUAGAGGCCACUCUUCCUCCUCCUGUUGCUACUACUACAGCAGCUACCAAAGGCUGCACUACCAAACCGCUGACAUGACAGUGAUGCAAGGGAAGCAGCGACAGCGAACAAGCGGUGGCGCAAUUUCUUGCAUCGAGAAGCCGUCGAUGUGGCGGCACUUCUCCUCGGCCCUAGUCCUGAGGAGGGUGCUCGACGACUACGGCGCGGGGGUCGGUCCGGUCAUCGUCUUCUCGUCCCCUUGGGGGCUUCCGGUUCUCUCUCAUCCCGCCCUCGUUCCUAGGAAGAAGAUCGGUUCGUCGUACCGGAAGGCCGUGUUAUGAGUAGUGAGAUGCAACUUUUGAGUACAUUUUGAAGUUGCCUUGACAAAGUUGCUAGUUAUGUACUUUUCCUUGGAUGUACAAUUGUUAUUGCAUUUUCUACCCCUUAGUUUUUGUACCCUAGAUAGUUAUGUAUCUAUGUUAAAUCUACAAUUAUUUUGGCAUUUGCUAUCCCUACAAUCUCACAAAAAUUCACAUUCAAUGGCUCUGCUAUUUCUAGUGGAGUAAACAAAAAUAACAUAUGCAUAGUUCGCUAGUUACAUAACAUGUUUUCAAUCCAAACAUCUAAACUAUGUUCUAAAAGAAUGAACACUAAAAUAAACCAUAGUCAGUUAAUUCGGGAAUUAUUGAGAAUCCAAAUAAAACAGUUCGUAUGCAAUUUAUUUUCAAAAAAUUAAAAUAAAACGCGAAUUUUUGGAUUAGGUUUAUUAUUCGUGAAUAAUUUGCAUAAGCCGAACUAUUCGGUCAAAAAAAUGCGCAAAAUAUUUGGAUAAAAGUCCCUUUUCAAAUUGUUCGCAAAUUAUUGCAGAAUUAUUCGCGAAUUAUUGAAAAAAUUCAUAAAUUUUUGGAAUAUGUGGAUCACGAAAAAAAAAUGAAGAUGGAGACGACAAUAAAUGCUAUUAUUUUUUGUUUACUUAAUCUACUUUAUUUUGUAGCUCUCUAUUUUUAUAUUUUUAAAAAUUUAUAAUUAUGUAUGCUAGUAGCAUAAAUUUAGAGAAAAAAAAUUUAGUUUAGUUUUCAUCUUGAAUUUUUAAUUGGUGAAUGCAUAAUUUUCGUAUAAAUCGCAUAUCUGAAUAAUUGACAGAUUUAUUUUUUAAACCGUAUUUUUUAACAAAUUUAAAAAUUGUGAUACAAUUAUACCCAUACCGAUUUUUUGCCGAAUCCGAAUUAACUAACUAUGAAAUAGACAACUUUGGUAAUCGAGUUUGCAUUUGGUACGGCCAUGCUAAAUGUUCUUCUUCUUCUUCUUCUUCUUCUUCUUCUUCUUCUUCUUCUUCAUUGGGCACGUUCACUUUUUAGAUCCUCUCUUUUUCAAUCAUUUUAAUUAUGAUUACAAAUCAUUUGAUGAAUUAAAAAAAAGAAAAGAAAAUAAGAAUAGAUGAAUAAGGUUUGUAACUAAAUACAACUCGAGCAGGUUGGGUCAGGCCAAACGCCUCAAUUUUUUAAUCUUAUAUUUUAAAUCUGUUUUAUUAUUAUUCUUUCAUUCAAUUUUAUAGAAUAUUUAUUGUAGUUUAUUUGGUAAGUAAAUAUUACAUAAUUUUCUAUAGAAAAACAUUCGAAAUUAUUGAAUAGCUGAUUUGGUUUGGAAAUUUCUAUCCUAAAAUAGCACAAAUUAUGUCCUAAUUUUUUUUGGUUUAUUUUAUUGCCCUCAUUGUUUGUAGUUAGGUAUAAUAAUGAAAAUUAAUAAUAAUAAUAAUAAUAAUAAUAGCCUAUAUAGGUGAUAGUACAAUUUUACCAUAGCCGUUAUUCCUGGGAUAAACAUGUUAUGAGAAUAUUUUUCUCAUUAAAUUGUAGGUGGUCUUAAUGUGAAAAAAAGGAGAAAAGUUAAAAUUAUUAGUACAUUUUUUAAUGGCACUCUCUCUAUCUUUAAUCAAUUUGAUUUGAGUUUUUCUAGUUAAUUAACUAGAGAACGUAAAAAUUAGUAACUUUGUUAGCGAUCAACCAUUAAAAAAUAACAAAAUCCACUAUUUUUUCAGCGGAAAAGUGAAAAAAGGAAUUAAUUUUAACGAAAUCUUGAAAUUCUCCAUUCAGCUCAUUAGAAUAAUCCAAACCAAAAUAGUUGCAAGUUUAGUGGGUGUCAAGAAAAUAAAAUAAAGUUUAAGACCCUUUUUAAAAAAUGGCCUCUUGUUGAGGGGUUCUCCAUAAAUUUCCACCAAAAAGAAUAAAAAAAAAUACUAAUGGUAAAAAACCCCUUUUACGUUUUGUUUUAAAAAAAAAAACAAAUGAUGAGAUAAGUAAAAAAAAAAAAAAGGAAAAAAAGAGCUAAAGUUUACACUUACACGUAGGGCCUAUGGAUAGCAUUGAUAAAUAAAAGGAAAAUGCUUAAAACGAAAAAACAAAUGUAAAAGGACUCCUAAAUGUUAAAUAUAAAAAUGUUUAAACACCGUUAUCUAAAAGCUUAACUUUUUAGAGUACAACGGUUGUUUCGUAUGGUAUCAGAGCAGGAAGUUCUGAGUUCGAGUCACGCCAGGCUCCUAGCAUAUUAAUUUCCUCCCAUUUAAUUCAAGCCCACGUCAUGGGCCGAUUAAAAAGUUUCGAGGACGUGAGGGGAGUGUUAAAUAUAAAAAUGUUUAAACACCGUGUUGUUUCACACUAAAUAUUAAAACUUUUACAAACAAUCCCCUGAACAUUUAAUCUCGCUCCUCAGCCCAACUUACUUAUUAAACAACUGAUUUAAUCAUAUAUUUUUCAAAUAAUUUUGUAUAUAUAAUUUCAAAAUAUGCAUGACCAAGUACCGAAUCGAAGAAUAGGAUGAAUAUAUCUUUAAAUUUUAUUAUUCUUUAUUAUGAGUUAGAAUAGAAAAAAAUAAAUUUGUCUGUGUUUUAAACUAUGCAAGAUUAUAUACAAUACAAGCGAUCAAGAUGACUACUUAAUUACUUAACUUAUGCUGAGAACAGAACCAGUUAAAUUAUUUGAUAAUAUUUAGAGAGUCUAAUUAGUAAUAUUAAAGUUUUGUUUCCAAAAAUAAUAAAGUUUAGAAUGUUUUUCUCCAUUUUUCUAAAAAAAAAAAAAUUCUCAAUUUCCCCACAGUGUAUUUUUACUUUGUCAUCCAGUGGUUCAAAAAAGUGGCACUGAAAUACUUUGCAAUAUAGGACAUUUUUAUUUUUCCACCCCAUGAUUCAAAAAAUUAUAUUUAACUACCAUAUAGUUUGUUUUUUUUUUUUUUUUUGAGGAAAUAUUUUUGUNUUCUUUAGAGAAUGUGAUUCAAAUAAUUUUGAAGAAAGAAAUAAAAGUUUUAGAGCAGUUGCUAUAUAUCGUCUUAGGAAAAUUUUCAUAACUCUCCAAGACUAGCUUCUCCAGUGUUUUUCCUUUUUUUUUUUUUUCUAAUUGUGUUUAAUUUACUAUUCUAUUUAGGUAGGUUAAUUUUUUGUUAAAAUAAAAAUAAAACGAUAGUAUAAUUAAUUAACUGUAAUAUUUUGAACUAUAAAGUGGCAAAAUAAAAAUGCACUAGCCUACACGCAAAAAAAAAAAAAAAGGGUGGGGAACACGCAUGGGACUCUAGCAGCCGUCCGAUCUUAAUCAGACAGCUCCAUUUAACCGAAAGAACGAUCUCUUCGUAUUUAAAACGCAAUCAAUCUUCACAUGCAUUUGCUUUAUUAAAGCAUAUGAAUUAAUGCAAGGUUGAGGUCACAAUAUCUUAUUGGUAUGCCAAACUAAAAUUUUGUGGGGAUAUUCCCCCCAAAUGAGACAGUCUUAUCCACCGUUCGUCGUAUAAACUGCAUGGGAUGAAUCUCAAAAUAUAGUUCUCAAUGAAUGGGGUCGUCUGAAUAUGGGGACUGUCCCCGUAAAAUUUUGUAUCUCGUUGUGUAUUUUGUGAACAGAUUUUUUUUUUUCUUUACUGAGAAAAAUGUGCUGUAUCUUUCUAAAAAGAAUGAAUUGUAUUUUUAGUAUUUAAACUUUAAUUUGUUGCAAAUUUUGCCCAAAACAUUCUAAACUGUUAUAGUUAAAUUUCGCAAUCCAAUUUAGUUUGUUAAAAGAAGAUAUAUUGAUAAUGUGAUAGUUUGGUGAUAGAUGACGUGGUGCUUACUGAAUUGCCCCAUCGAUCACUAGUAUAUCUGCGAAAUAUUCAAAUCUAUUCAAUUAAAUUAGACCGUAAAACUUGAUUAUAGUUAUUUAUAAAAUUUUAGUCAAAAAUAUUCUCUUUUUAAUACUUGAGCAAUUAAUGAAUAUUUGUUUCAUCGUUUACAAAUGACUAAAAAUGUUAAUAGAAAUUUUUUUUUAAUUUUUUUUUGCCGGUUUAGAUCUAAAAAAAAAAGCUUUUUUUGGGAAUUUUUUUUUUCCAAAUUUCAUAGAAGACUAGUAUUUUUAUUUUUCAGAAUUUUUUUAAAAUAAAAACACUACUUUCCUAUAAAACUUCGAAAAAAGCUUUUCUAAAAAAUCUAUUAUUUUUUAUUCAAACGAACAAAAAAUUGCAAAAAAAAAGAUUCACGGAAUUAUUUUUUAAAUUAUUUUUCGCACUUUCUGAGGAACCGAACAACUUCUUAGUUGAUUGAUUGAAAUAAUUAGGAAAUUGUUCACAUUUUGGAUGGAGAGAAAGGAAAGAAAUUGGGUUUUGUAACUUGUUAAUUAAUUAAUUAAUUAAUUAGGAAGUUAGUUUUUGUAACUUGUGAUCAUAGAAUCAACAUAAGUAGUCAUUAAGGCAACUCCUUAAUUAAUAUAAGAGAACGUUUCCUAAAAUCACUUUUAAUCAGAUCCCAAUAUCAGUGUACCCAACCCCCAUUAAAUCCACGUAACUUUCCUCGCCAUUAAUUAAUUAACUCCGUGUAUAUAUACAUAUACAUAUAUAUAAAAACUCCACAACUUCACAUCUAACUCAUAUCUAAGCAUCUCAUAUCUAAUUUACCCCCACUCACAUUUAAUAGCAAAAUUUGCUAAGACAAAUUUGGAAAAUUACAUUAAAAUAUAUAUAUACAAGAUGUAUGAUAUGAGUGAGAGAAGGAGAAGAGAGAAUAUAUAGGAAAAGCGCUUCUGGGAGAAUUGAAGCGCUUCUCGGUGGUGACGUGAUUAAGAGCGUUGGCAUUAACAUGAACAGCAUGGGGAGGAGGAGUAAGAAGCUGCAGCUCUACUUGUCGAAGAAGCUGAGGAGAUCGGUCCCCAACAUCAACAUCCGCAUCCAAUUCCGGGCCAGAAGGAGGACCGCUGACAAACCCGUUAACCCGCAGUACUCCACCACCAGUUGGCUCCUCUCCGCCUGCAAGUACCCCAAGACGCCGUCCUUCGCCGUUAGCCGACACAACGACGACGACGCCGCCGACGCCGCCGCCGCCGCUCACGGCGCCACGCUGUCCGACGUGGACCGGUUCCUGCACGAGAACUUCCACUCCCUCUACAUCCGCGACCCGAGUGACGUCACCGACGCCGCCGCCUCGCCGCCCCCCCGGUUCGACCCCGAGCCGGGGCCGGUCCGGUCCUCGGACCGGUUCUUCGUGUCCCCCGCCACGACGUCGAACUCGAUCAUGCUGGACCGGGCCGGGCCGGCCACGUCGGCGUCGACGUCGUCGUCGUCGUCGGAGGAGGACACGUCAGCGGCGGAGGGGGGAGAGGAUGACGUGGCGGCGGCGGCGGCGGCGGCGGUGGUGACGUUCUCGAAGGACCCGUACGAGGACUUUCGCCGGUCCAUGCGGGAGAUGGUGGACGCGCGCCGCGUGGACGCGUCGCAGCCGUUGGAUUGGGACUUCAUGGAGGAGCUCCUCUUCUGCUACCUGGAGCUGAACGACAAGAGCGUGCACAAGUACAUCCUAACGGCGUUUACGGAUCUGACCGUUAGUUUCCGCCGUCCCCGGGACCCCGCGGUGUCGGCGGAUGCCGGGACGGAGCAGCGGCGGCGGCGGCGACGGACGAGGACAAAGGCUGCGGCGGCGGCGGCGGCGGUGCGGCUGUGACGGCGGCGUCGAACGCGCCCCGAUUCGUUACGAAAUUGUAUACUCGGUGAUGUUACUGACAGAGCUGAUUUUAAUAUUAAUAGAUAUAAUUUAUUGAAUUUGGUUCAUGUUUCGUUCGAUAUAUAUAUAUAUAUAUAUAUAGUUAUUUAUUUAUUUUAAGCAAUUAGAUUUUGAAUUUUGCACCUCGAAUAUCAUUCUCUUGCUUCUGUUAGAGACUGUCGGUUCUUGUUUAUUUUAAUUUGAUAAAAUUUCAGAUUUGUUCAAAAAUGUUCAAAAUUAGAAAUCAACAAUCCAUAUUUCAGUUCAUUUAUAUAUAUAUAUAUACAGAGAGAGAGAGCGAGAGUUGAGUUAGAAUACUAUCGAUAGCAAACAGGCUCUAUUGCCACCCAUUUGUUUUCGGUGAUUGAGUCUCCAAAUCGACGAUCGGCAUCGUUAAAUAUAAUUUAUAUCACUUGAAGUGUUUGGAAAUCAAAUUUUAAAUCUUUUCGACAUAAUUUGCCUAAUGAUCAAAGGGUUUCAAAAUUUGUAAUUUUAAUGGUCGAUACGAGACGUUUUCUCGUUUAAUGGUGUAAAGAUAUCCAAAUUAAUUAAAUUUUUGUUAGAAAUUUUUUUAAACUAUUUAAAACGAGAUUUAUACUCUUAAUCUUGAUUACAAGACUCCUAUCAUCAUUUUCUAAAGAAUAUUCAUUUUCAGCCGUUUAUUUUUGUGUCUAUUCGAUGGAUAGGAGAACAAUAUUGAAAAUAUAUAAAAUUUAAUUUCUAAACAUUUUAAGCGGUAUGGAUCAUAUUUAACGGCGCCGAUCGUCGAUUUGAAAGCUCCAUCAUCGAAAACAAAUAGGUGGCAACGGAACUCGUUUGCUAUCAAUAAUAUUCUAGCUCAACUCUCUCUCUCUCUAUAUAUAUAUAUUAGUUUCAAUAAUAUUUGUAAUUAAUAAAUCUCCACAUUAAAAUGACUUAAUUAAUAUUAAUUUCUAAUUAUUCGGUAGUUUGUUUUUAGAGGGCCCCACUUUAACUUAAAGGUCGCCGUAGACAGAGGUGACCACAAAAUAUAUAGGGAAAACUUUAAAAAACUCCAUGUGGUUUCACAUUUUUUUAUUUAAGUAACUUGUGAUUUAAAGUGUAUUAAGUUUGUACCAUAUGGUUUCUCACUUUAUCACUUUAGUAUUUUGUGGUUUCUCACUUUAUCACUUUAGUAACUUGUGGUUUAAAGUGUAUCAAGUUAGUACUCUAUGGUUUUAUUUUUGUGAGUCCAGCUGGGAUACUAUCAAUAGCACAAAGUAUUUGGUACUAUCAAAUUUUCUACCGUUAGAUUUACCUCUUUUAUCAUUUUCAACUGUUAGAUUAUACUAUUCAACCAACCACCCACUCAACCCUAGAGGGCCCACAUCAUCCUAACCGCACAUUUUUUAAUCCGAUGGUAUACAACUUAAUAGCACCAAGUCAUUGGUGCUAUUAAUAGUAUUUCAGCCUAGUUCUUAUUUUUGUAUCAAGUUAGUAUCAUGUGAUUUUAUUUUUGUAUCAAGUUGGUACCCUGUGAUUUUUAAACCACAGGGUACUAAAGUGAUAAAGUGCGAAACCACAUGGUACUAACUUGAUACACUUUAAACUACAGGGUACUAAAGUGAAAAAGUGCAAAAUUAUAUGGUACUAACUUAAUACACUUUAAACCAUAAGGUACUAAAGUCAGAAAAAGAGAAACCACAAGGGGGUAUUUGAAGUUUUCCCAAAUAUAUACUCAGAAUGUGGAUACUUCUCUCUCUCUCAAAAAAAAAAAAAAAAAAAAACUUUUAGUGUAGAUAUGAUAUUUUAAUUGUGUUACAACGCAAAUUACGUGAUUCCUCACAUGCAACGAAGCAAAUGUGAUGUGUUAUUAUAUUUGACUUUUGGAGUAUACUUAUAGUACUUAAAAUUAUUUUUAUUACGUCUACGGCUGCUACUACUAUAUUAACUAUAUCCAUUUUGAUUAAUAAUAAUAUCGCAUUUAGGUGACAAAUUGGUACAAUUAGUUGGGUUCCAACCGCGUGAUCAAUGAGGUAUAUAUGCUGCAGAUGCUAUAAUAAAUAAAUUGUAGUUAAUGAGGAUAUAAAUUGCCGUUUAAUUAAUUAAAUAGGGUGAGAUUUGUGAUCAAUGUAUACAAUUAAGGACAUGCAUUGGGUGUGGUUUUUUAAUUGUAAUACUUAGGACCCGUUUGGAAACUAUAUAAUUUUAUAGUAUCAAAAUAUUUUUUUACUAGUUUAAUAAAAAAAAUUAUGUUUAAUUAUAAAGGAGCAUUUAAUUAGGUGCUUUUUUGAAGUAUCAAAAAAAAUAAAAAUAUCUCAAAAAUACUGUGAAUUAAUUUAUUGUAAAAACAAAAAAGAGCUAAAAAACUUCUGAAUUUAAUUACUUGUUGUUAACGAAUAUAUGUUGUAGUAUAAUAUAAUAACUUCACAAUUAAUAUAUAAAAUUACAAUAUUGUAUCGUCCUUAUAUCAAAAUAUAUGGAAACCCCCACAACUACAGGCAAUUUUGAAAUAAGCCCCUUACCCUUUUUUUAAAAAAGAAAUAAGGUCCCUCAACUUUAAACUUUUUAUUGAGUUCUUAUAUACUUGGUUAAGAGAAAAAUUUUAUUAACUGUUAAUGUGUCUUAAUUUUAUUUUCAUUUUUAUGCAUUAGAAUAGAAAAAAAAUUAUUUCUAUUUUAAAUAUUUACACGAUUUUAUAUCCAAAACAUACGGCUAAAAUGGAUGCAUAAUUAGUAAUUUCAUUUGAACGGAGAGAGGGUCCAUUAAUGGAGUCUAAUUAAGAAAUAAAAAUUUUAUAAAUCUAAUGCAAAAAAGUGCUAAAGUUCAGGAGAAUUUUCUACAUUAUUUUUUUCUUUUGAUUUUUUUUCUUGCAUGUGAGGAGAUAGAGUAAUGGCUAAUAUAAACCGUUGACUGGUUACUUAUUAUAAUUAUUAUGAGAAAUUUUACUUGUAUAACUCAAAAAAGUGUGUAGAUCUUAUCCUUUUUAUUCUAAGAUUUAUAAAAAUUUAAAUAAAUAUUAGUCGUUGGAUGGAGAGGGUAUAAGAUCGAUGCAUAUUUUAUUUUGGAGUGUGCCAAUUGUAUUGCCUCUUAUUGUAUUAUUCGAUUUGGAUUUUUGGAAAUACUGCAAUCAAGUCCUGCAACCUAAUUUAGUUGACUAAAUAUUAAUAAAUUACUGUGGCAAUUAUUAAGACAUUGUAUUACUUUUAUAUCAACUAUGCAUUAGCAUUAGUCUAUCAAAUUGGUUUAUAAGAUUUGAUUAUAAAUUGCAACAAUUCUGAAAAUUUAAGUAGGAAUUAUAGUAGAUUAAAGUUUGAAGGCAAAAGUGUCACCGUACUGAUAGUCUAAGGACCCAACUUGCAAUUUGCUCUUAUUAUUAUUUUCAAAAAUUAAUCUCAAGGUUUACUUUUGGUGAUGUGGAAACAGUGAUGUUUAGUUAAAGCAGAUCCAAGUUAAAGUGAAUUGAAUGGCUUGGUUUUUGUUUUGGUUUUGAUUUGGUUUGGUUUGAUUUACUCAUUGUGACCAUCAUAAAAAUGCUUUUCUCAAUUUAACUUUUCACAAGUUUUCAGCUUUUGUAAAAUUAGAUUACUAUUUUGAAUUUUGCAGAUUCGAUUCGAAUUUUUAGGACACUAACUAAAAUAUUCUUAUUUUUUUCUCUCUAUNAAGCCCAAAAUAAGUGGAUUUUUUAUGCAAAUUGGCCUACUUUUAUUCUCUUUUCUCUCUCUUCCUUUUUUUACGCCUUGUUUUUCUCUCCGACUCUCCGCCUCCGAGGCGGCGCCGGCGGGGUCUGCGGCCGCGGUCCGACCCCAAGGCAUCCGGCGUAAGCCCUAGAUCGCACGGCCCAUCGCCUACGCCCUCCACGGCAUUGGGAUGGGGAAGGUCAGCAUUUUACACUAUUUACACCAUUUUACAACAUUUAAAUGGUAUAAAUGGUGGGAGUUCAAAACAUCUAAUCUAGCUAAAUGAGCUUUUCCAAAAUGGUGUAAAAUUGUGUAAAAUUGUGUAAAUACCAUUUCGAAAAAGCUCCCCUGGUCCUCCUCAUAGCCCACGUCCCUCGUCCUCGCCGCCUCCGACCACCACUCCAUCCGCCGGCGGCGCUCGAGGCGGCGGUGACGGCAGUAGCGCUCGAGGCGGAGGUGGAGGCGACGGCGGCGAGGAGGGGGCUGCCGGAGAAGGGUCGGCUGGUGGAGGUGGUGGUCGCUGCUGGCCUGCUGCUGCAUACCCUCCCUUGCUCGCUUUCGAAAUCCCUCCUGUCACUGCCUCCCUCAACCCCAGCCUCAGCACCAACGUCAAUAACAUCAACAUCACCGACCCAGACGCCACGCCCACGCCUCCGCUUCGGGCGAUGGCGUCUGCGUCGUCCUCGCUGGAGAGCAACGGGUGCGAAUUACAGCAGUGGUACUAUCAUACCAGGCGGAGGCGGAGGCGAAGGCGGAGAGUCUUGGUGAAAAAUCCAAAAUCUCCAAAUAUCAUUUAAUUUUAUAAUUAUUCUUUGUUUAUUAUGUUAAUUAAUUGGAUGGACUAAAUUUAAUUUAUUCCUUCUUUAUACCACAUAAAGACAUGAAUUAAGUGGAAUGUUGGGAACAUUGGAUUUCCAACGUUCCAUUCUCUCUCCAUUAUAUAUACGUUGGAUUGCACUGCUCAUCUAUGAUGAACAUUGCUGAGAGGGAGCCAAGUGAAAAAAAAGGAGAAACUUUAUUUAAAUUUUUAUUUUAUUUUGUUUGAUCUUUUUAUCAUCGAAUGUUGAAAGAGUCUCCGUUAACCUCUUCCACGUUUGUAUUUGUAGGAGGAGAAAUUUCGAUCAUGCCUUGGGAUGGUAUUUUCGAUUAAUCCCGCACGAAGGACGGAAAUACGUCUUAAGGCAGCGCCUCGCAUGCUUCCGGAUCAACUAAAAAAUUUAUUUGGAUUUAGCGAUUGUCUGUAAGUUACAUUUAUUAAUUUUAUCACAAAUUAGUUAGAUUUUAAUCACAAUCGAAUUUUUUGUUGCGGUUUCCCCCAACAGAUCGAGAGCCGGAGAGAAAAAAAAAAGCGUAAAAAAAAAGAGAGAAAAAAGAGAAUAAGAGUAUUUUGGUCAGUGUCCUGAAAAUUCGGAUUAAAUCUGUAAAAUUCAAAAUAGUGACCUAAUUUUGCAAAAGCUGAAAAUUUGUGAAUUUUUUAUGCAAAUUGGCCAAAAAGAAAAAAAGAUACCAAUUACUCUAAAAAAGAAAAAAGUAACGACCCCAACGAAACAGCUAGCCUAGAAUAUUUAUUUUGGAGUGAAAUAAAAUAAGAGCAUAAAAAUUACACAUGCAUGCAAGAAUUAAAUAUAUUGAAAAUUUAAACUUGAAACCAUUUAAUCCUAAUCAGAAUUUUUUUUUUCCUCACAUAUAUUAAUUUCUAUAAAAGAUGAUAUAAACAAGUAAUUAAGCAGCCGAAUUACAUAACAGUGCUCCAAAUAUUACCAUAAUCUAGAAUUUAAUAAAAGAGUGAACGGGAAAGAAAUUAAUAUUAUAUUUAGGAGAGAAUUGAUCACUUUUGAACACAAUUAUUAGAGGAAAACUUUUGCAUUUAAUUGAUAGCAGAUUAAGAUAAAUUUAACAAAAAAUUGAGUCCAACCUAUUAGGAAAUAAAAAUAAUUUUGGAAUUUUGAUAUUAUAUCUUGUAUAAUUUACAUGAACUAUAUAGUGGAUAUAAUUAAGUAAUAAAAAUAUCUUUUUUUUUGCAGCUUAAGCUAUUGAAGACGAAUAAUUGUUCACAACAUUUUAAUGUAAUGUUAGAAUAGUAGAUUCUCAGCUCGAAUCCGUCGGCUUAUUAAAAAUUCUCAAGCUCAAAUAUAAGAAAAAAAAAUGUUAAAUGUAAGUAUUUAAAAUAUUAUUAAUUCUUUGAUAUCUUAAGUUGUUAUCCAACAAUGGUUGUUUCAUACACUUUUAACACUAUAAUAUAUGUGCAAUAAAAAAGGUGGUUCGAUGAUAGCCGGGUCGGUUCUAAGAACACUGAUCUUAACGGGUUAGAUCCGUUAAAAAGGCCCGAAAAUUCGACUAUAAUUACAUACGUAUUGGGUUGUAGGCCGAAUCUUGUUUGUUCUACAAGAAGCCUAGUUGGGCCGGACUCGAGAAAAAAAAGGGGUUAAGGGGUGGAAUGACCCACAUUUCUAAAAAUGGGUGGGAUUAGCUAACUCCACCUCAAAUGGGUUAUUUCGGAUUAGCUAACCCCACCUCAAAUGGGUUAUCCCGGAUUAGCUAACCCCACCUAACCCCACCAAACCCCAACCAAACACUAUUUUCUAUUCAUAAUAACCUACUAUUCUUCUUAUCCCAGCUACUCCAACCAAACACUAUUUUUUACUAUCCUGGACUAACUCCAACCCCCAACCAAACACAAAAAUACUCUAACCAGAAUAACUAAUUUUUCCUUAACCCCGAACCAAACGGUAAAAUUUUUUUGGCUAAAUUAUAGAAACCGUCUUUUCACUUUUCUCCCCUGUCAUUUAAAACCCAUACUUUAUCCCCUUAGCUGGUGUUUGGUUGGGGGUUAAAGUGGAGGUAUAAGCGGGUUAAAGCCCCUUUAACCCCAAAUACUAUUUUUUAAUUAGGAUAACCCAUUUGGGGUGGGGUUAACAAACAAUGGGGUAGGGUUAACAAACUCCACCCCACCAUAGAAUUGGUGUGGGAUUAAAGUUAAUCCCACCCCAAUUCAAUUUAAAAUAUAAUUUUAAAUUACAAAUUUUAAAAAUUUAUAAUUCGUAACCAAAAAAUUAAUAUUUUUAAUUUUUAAUUUUAAAAUUUUAAAAUUUAAAUUUUAUUAUUUAAAUUUUAAAUUUGAUAUUUUAUAUUUGAAAUUUUUAAAAUGUUUAAUUUAUAAUCUUAUAAUUAAUAUUUAUAUUUUUAAAUUAUAAAUUUUAAAUUAUUAUUUAUAAUUAUUCAAAUUUUAAAUUUAAUAUUUUAUACUUGACAUUUUAAAAAUUUAUAAUUUGUAAUCUUAAAAUAUAUAUUUAUAUUUUUAAAAGUUAUCUAGUUAAAUUUAAAAUUUUAAAUAUAAAACAAUAAAUUUAAAUUCAAAAUAUAAAAAUUGGGAUAAAUUUAUUAUUUUUCUAUUUAUAACAACUCACUAUCCUUUUUAUUCAACCUAGUCCAACCAAACACUAUUUUACUUAUACCUGGACUAAACCCAAUUCUCAACCAAACACAAAAUUACUUUAACCUUAUCUUAACCCUGAACUUAACCUUAUCCCUGGAAUAACUAGUUCUUACUUAAUCCCGAAGCAAACGAAUUAAGAAAUGAAAAAUGAUCAAGAGGGGUACAUUGUGACAAAAUAACCAAAUUGUUUCUCAUCUUCUUCAGGGUGGGCGUGAAUGGAGAGGUGGACGAGGAUGAGGCGGCGGAGAUAGGCGAGGGCGUUUGGGUGGGCAUGGACAGAGAUCGGGGUGGGCGAGGGCGAGGCGGCAUGGCGGAGGGCAAGAAAGGAUAAGAAUUUCUGAAAUAUUUUGGGUAUAAAAAAUAGAAUAUAAAUGAAACCCUAACGGAACACGUACUGACGGCGGGGUCAAAGUGAACAUUUUUUAUUUUUUAAGAGAGCAAAAUAUAGGUUUUUGAAUGACAGAGGGGAAAGUGAGAAAAGGGAUAUUGACUGAGAAAUUUUUUGUUAUUUAGCCAAUUUUAUUUUUAUGCUUUUCUAUGUAGUUUGGUGUUUAAAAAAAUAUCACUAUACUUUUUAUUACUCUUUUUAUCAAGCUCUUUUUUUUUUUCUUAAAUUUAUUUUCUCUGUUUUAGACGUAAAAAGUCCGAGCCCGGCAAUCAAUACAUGCCAAGAAAAAAGAGGUUUCUUUGGCCCAAGUCAACUAUGGCUUGUGCAAAGUAUUACAUGAGUAAUUCGAAAAAAAAAAAAAAAAAAAAAAAGCAUCCUACUACAAUUCAAAACUCUUAAACCAAAUAUUUUACUUUUGAAACUAGAAGAGUGAUACCGACUGUCCCUAGAGCAAUUGGCAAAGGGCUUGAUAGUUGAUAUCCGAGACCCAAGUUUGAAUCCUAGUUGAUUCACAUUUAGUUUAUUUCUAAAUAAAAUAAACGAAUCAGAUAGCGUGCUACCUAUCUCUCAAAAAAAUAGUAUUUUCACAUUUAUGUUUAACACUGUUUUUUUGUGCGACUUUACAACUUGAUAGACCCAAGAGCCAGGAAAGCGAAUGCUUCUCUCUGAAAACUAAAGCUGUUAGUAGUUUAAUAUUUUAAAAAAACUUCAAAUACCACCGCUAUAGUUUCACACUAUUUUUUUUAGUACUUUGUGGUUUAAAAUGUAUCGAUUUAGUACCCCGUGGCUUUAUUUUAUUUUUUAUUAUCCCUUCUACUAUUUUUUUUUUCGUUAAAUCAGUCUUAAAAUUAAAACUAAAAUGUACUAAAGUGAAUAUUCGAUAAACCUAAAUGGGGUAUCUGAAGUUUUUUGUAUAUAAUUUAACGAAAUUUUACAGAGGAGCUGACGAAAAAAGAAAAAUGAAACCACCGGUUAUUAAAUUGAUACAUUUAAACCACAGGGUAUAAGUGAAAAAGUGCGAAAUCAUUGGGGUGAUAUUUGAAGUUUGCCCUAAAAUUUAAUAUUUUGUUACAUGCACCACCUAAACUUUGAAAAUUAAACAUUUGCCAUCCGGACUUUUAUUUAUUUUUUUAAUCAGUAAUUAAUUACCACUUGAGUUUAUAUUCGCAUCAAUGUAGAGUCAUUAAUUAAUAUUAGCUAAAUAAGCAAGAAAGAAUAAAUAACACAUACUUGUGAAAUAUACGGGUCUUGUUGAUGCUAAGAAUUUCUCUAGUUAUUACAUUUUACUUUUAAAAGUUCAAUAAUAAAAGAGAAAUUUUUUUUUUACUAUAAAAUUGAAUCGCGAUGUUCAAAAGGUUUUUCUAUAUAUAAUGGAGACUAGCUUACAUUUUUUUUUUAUAUUUUGACCAUUUCACUAAUGUUACGUCACUUCAUAUUGAUUAAAUACAAAUCUAGAUAGUUGAUUGUGAAAAGCUUGAAAAGUUUGGAUUACAAAUAUAACAUUUAUAAAGUUGAGUUGUUAUCUGUAAAUUGGCAAAAAUUUAUUGAUUGUGGUGCAAUAAAUCGUUAUAUAUAUAUAUAUAUAGAGAGAGAGAGAGAGAGAGAGAGAGAGAGUUGAGCUAUAUAGAAUACUUGUAAAAGUAUUAUGAGAGUGGUGCUUUUGAGUUUUUAGCCAUUGGAUGGAGAGAUGUGAGGUUGAGAUGAUGGUGAUAGGUGGUGGUAGGUGGAAUAGUGUUUGAUCCAAGGGCUAUUAGUAAUCAAGGAGUAGAUCCAAUGGCUAAAAACCUAAUAGCAUCAUGGCGGUAAUACUUGUAAAAGUAUUCUAGCUCAAUUAUAUAUAUAUAUAUAUAUAUAUAUAUAGNAAUAUAUAUUUAUAUUUUUAAAAGUUAUCUAGUUAAAUUUAAAAUUUUAAAUAUAAAACAAUAAAUUUAAAUUCAAAUAUAAAAAUUGGGAUAAAUUUAUUAUUUUCUAUUUACAACAACUCAUUAUUUUCUUAUUCAACCUACUCCAACCAAACACUAUUUUACUUAUAUCUGGACUAAACCUAAUUCUCAACCAAACACAAAAUUACUCUAACCCUAUCUUAACCCUGAACUUAAUCUUAUCCCUGAGAUAACUAGUUUUUACUUAAUUCCGAACCAAACGAAACCUAAUUAAGAAUGAAAAAUGAUCAAGAGGGAUACAUUGUGACAAAAUAACGAAAUUGUUUCUCAUCUCCUUCGGGUGGGCGUGAAUGGAGAGAUGGAUGAGGAUGAGGCGGCGGAGAUAGGCGAGGACGUUUGGGUGGGCAUGGAUAGAGAUCGAGGUGGGCGAGGGCGAGGCGGCAUGGCGGAGGGCGAGAAAGGAUAAGAAUUUCAGAAAUAUUUUGAGUAUAAAAAAUAGAAUAUAAAUGAAACCCUAACGGAACACGUACUGACGGCAGGGUCAAAGUGAACAUUUUUUAUUUCUUAAGAAAUCAAAAUAUAGAUUUUUGAAUGACAGAGGGGAAAGUGAGAAAAGGGAUAUUGACUGAGAAAUUUUUUGUUAUUUAGCCAAUUUUAUUUUUAUGCUUUUCUAUGUAGUUUGGUGUUUAAAAAAAUAUCACUAUACUUUUUAUUACUCUUUUUAUCAAGCUCUUUUUUUUUUUCUUAAAUUUAUUUUCUCUGUUUUAGACGUAAAAAGUCCGAGACCAGCAAUCAAUAUAUGCCAAGAAAAAAGAGGUUUCUUUGGCCCAAGUCAACUAUGGCUUGUGCAAGAAAAAAAAAAAAAAAAACCAGCAUCCUACUACGAUUCAAAACUCUUAAACCAAAUAUUUUGCUUUUGAAACUAGAAAAUUGAUACUGACUGUCUCUAGAGCAAGUGGCAAAGGGUUUGGUGGUUGAUAUCCGAGACCCAAGUUCGAAUCUUAGUUGAUUCACAUUUUUCGCUAAGUUUAUUUCUAAAUAAAAUAAACGAAGCGGGUAGCGUGCUACCUAUCUCUCAAAAAAAUAGUAUUUUAACAUUUAUGUUUAACACUCUAUUUUUUUGUGCGACUUUACAACUUGAUAGACCCAAGAGCAAGGGAAGCGAACGCUUCUCUCUGAAAACUAAAGCUGUUAGUAGUUUAAUAUUUUAAAAAAACUUCAAAUACCACCCCUAUAGUUUCACACUAUUUUUUUUAGUACCUUGUGGUUUAAAAUGUAUCGAUUUAGUACCCCGUGGCUUUAUUUUAUUUUUUUAUUAUCCCUUCUACUAUUUUUUUUUUUCGUUAAAUCAGUCUUAAAAUUAAAACUAAAAGGCACUAAAGUGAAUAUUCGAUAAACCUAAAUAGGGUAUCUGAAGUUUUUUGUAUAUAAUUUAACGAAAUUUUAUGGAGGAGCUGACGAAAAAAGAAAAAUAAAACCACGGGGUAUUAAAUUGAUACAUUUAAACCACAGGGUAUAAGUGAAAAAGUGCGAAACCACAGGGGUGGUAUUUGAAGUUUGCCCUAAUAUUUAAUAUUUUGUUACAUGCACCACCUAAACUUUGAAAAUUAAACAUUUGCCAUCCGGACUUUUAUUUAUUUUUUUAAUCAGUAAUUAAUGACCACUUGAGUUUAUAUUCGCAUCAAUGUAGAGNCAAUGAUGCGGCUUCUAAAUCGACGAUCGGUUUUGUUAGAUUUGAUUUACACUAUUAAAAAUAUUUGAAAACUAAAUUUUAUAAUUUUUCGAUAUCAUUUGGCUAGUGAUCAAAAGAUCUCAAAAUUUUAUAAUUUUUUAGUGUGUCGUUGCUAUUGGUAUAUCUAAAAUUUCCUCAAAAGCUUUUGUGUGUUAGCUUUUUGAUGUUUUACACAUAAAUUAGUUUGUACAACACAGAUCAGCAUAUACCAGUGAAUAUAUUGGCCGGUACGUAUAUUAAGCAUUAAUCUUUUUAUUAUUUGUGUUAUUGGUAUUUGAAGCACCCACCAUAUGAUGUUUCUUUUUUUUUAUUUAAAUGUGAGCUUGCGCUAGGUCUUUGGGUAAAAUUAGUUUUAAAAUUGUUUUCUCUAAUUAAAUUUUAUUAAUAAUUAAUUAACUUCUAGAGUUGAGUGGGUAGUUGGUUGAAUAGUAUGCGGAUGAAAAUAAUUAAAGGAUAGAUCUAAUGGCAAAAAACUCGAUAGUACCAAGAAUAGUAUAAUAGCUGGACACUCUCUCUCUCUUUCUCUCUCUCUCUCUCUCUCUCUCUCUCUAUAUAUAUAUAUAUAUAUAUAGUGUGUGUGUGUGUGAGGCUACUAUGUAUAUAUAUAUAUAGUGUGUGUGUGUGUGAGGCUACUGUGCUUUUGGAAAUAUGGAGCCUUUCGUGCUUUCAGGUCGUUUUUGAUGUUGCGACUUUCGAAUCGUCGAUCGGUUUCGUUAAACUUGAUCUAGAGUAUUUGAAGUAUCUAGAAAAUAAAUUUUAUGAUUUUUCGAUAUCAUUUGCCUAGUGAUUGAAAAGGUUCAAAAUCAAUAAUUUUAAUGGCCAUAGUGAGCCGUUUGCAAGUUUAACGGUGUAGAAAUAUUCAAAUCACGUAAAAUUUUGAUAGAAAACUUUUUACACUAUAUAAAAUGAGAUUAAUAUCUGUGAUCUAAAAUUUUAAUGUCAUAUUAUCACGUUUUGUAAGAUUUUUAUUUUUAGCCGUUGAUUUUGAGCCCCUUCGUUCACUAGGCAAAUAAUAUCGAAAAAUCGCAUAAUUUAUUUUGUAGGUACUUCAAAUACUCUAGAUCAAGUUUAACGGAGCCGAUCAACGAUUCGAUAGUCAUAACAUAGAAAACAAUCUAGAAGCACGGAAGGCUUCGUACUUUCAGAAGCAUAGUAGCCUCACUCUAUAUAUAUAUAUAUAUAUAUAUAUAUAUAUAAAAUUGAGCUAGAAUACUUUUAGAAGCAACAAUCACUUGGUGCUUCUAAGUUUCUAGCCCUUGGAUCUAUUCCUUAAUUACUAAUACCCCUUAGAUCAAACACAAUUCCACCUAUCACCAUAAUCUCAACCCUGCAUCUCUCCAUUUAAUGGUUAAAAACUCAAAAGCACCACCCCUUGGUGUUUUUAAGAGUAUUCUAGCUUAACUCUCCCUCUCUCUCUCUCUCUCUCUCUCUCUAUAUAUAUAUAUAUAUAUAUAAAAUUGAGCUAGAAUACUAUCAAUAGCAAACGGGCUCUGUUACUAUCUAGUUUUCGAUGAUUUAUAUAUAAUAGUUUCAUGUUGAAUAUUGAAAAGAAUUGGACCUAUAUAUAUAAAUAAUGUAGAGUGUAUUAUCUUUUGUCUAUAAGCUUUUGGAUUGGUUUGAGUACUUUUAUAUUGUUAAUUAUUAGUAUUAAUUUAAUGUGCCAGGAUUAUUAUGUAUUUGGAGUUAUAUAUAUAAAACUCUCCCCCCCCCCUUUCUCUCCACAGGAUUAUGCAAUUGAAGCUAUAAACACCUCUCUCUCUCUCUCUCUCUCUAAAGACUAAGCCAUGUCAAGGAGGGUGUCAUCAAGUGCAGAAAUCAGGAACUUAGCUGCAGUUUCAAGCGGCCUUCUUACUGCGUUUGUAGCUGCGAAUGAUCAAACCCUUCCUCGCCUCCGAAAACAUGUCAUAGCUCCUUACGACCGCCGCUACAGGUACCCCUCUCUCUCUCUCUCUCUCUUUCUCUAAGAGUUCAAGUCAGGUGCAGGGCACAGCAACAAAUUAAAGAUCAAACGUUCAAUCUUAAUCAUUGAUUGUCUCAUUCAUUUGCAGUAAAUAUGGUAAAUAAUCUUUUCUACCAUAUUUUCUGAAUAAAAGGUAGCGAGCUACCGCUUCAUUCAUUAAGCGACAUGAACCUAACAACAGAGACGAGAUAGCCAGAAUCUCCGGUUCACAAAGAGGGCAAGUAAAAUAUAAACAUAGAAAAUAAAAAAGACAAAAAAAGAAAAAGAGAAAGGAAAGAGGAGAGGGUUGGGUUGCAGAAAUGCAUAAAUUUUUUUUGCCGUUAAUGCCAUAAUUUACUAGUCUUUCUAUUUAAGCAGCAAUUAAUUAAGGAACUGCUUAGAUUGAUCUUUCAAACUUAUUCUAUUAUAGUGUGCACUUCAUUUGAGCCGGAUUCUCCAGUAAGUUAUUUUUCUCUAUUAGUUUAAGCUUUUAGCCUUAGUUUGGUUGGGGGUUAAAGGGUGGAAUAACCUCUUAACCCCCAUUUUAUCCCCAAACACUUCUAAAAAUAGGUGGGAUUAGCUAAUUCCACCUCAAAUGGGUUAUCCUGGAUUAACUAACCACACCUAACCCCAUCAAACACCAACCAAAUAUUAUUUUCUAUUCAUAAUAACCCACUAUCCUUCUUAUCCCACCUACUCCAACCAAACACUAUUUUUCACUAUCCUGAACUAACUCCAACCCCUAAUCAAACACAAAAAUACUCUAACCCCACCUUAAUCCUAAAUUUAACCCUAUAUCUGGAAUAACUAGUUUUUCCUUAACCCCGAACCAAAUGGUAGCUUAGAGAUCUAAGCUGUUAUUCUCAUCCUAUCAGAGUAGGAUGCCUCCAUUUGCGUAAUGCGCAUGGAGAAAUUUCGUGGACAUAAUCAAUAGAUCAUGCAUGUUUUCUAUGAGCCGGAGUUGUUUUAUUGGUUCGGUCCACUGGACCAGUUCCAAGCAAUAGUAGUUUUCCAUAGAAACACCUCUCUCAUUUGAGGGUGCAACAUAACAAAGCACAAGAUUUGCUUUUUAUCUUUUCCUUUUCCUCUGUAAUUAAUACACCCAUAUCUCAAUUUCUGUACACAUUCAUUGAAGUGAGAUUUUUUUUUUAAUUUUUAAAAAGCCCCCUUAUUACGCAAGCUAGGUUUUGUUAUUUUCUUAUUUAUUCUCAAGAUAAUGUUUAUAUUAUAUUAUAUUUUAUUAAAUAAAUCGCUCAUGGGAUGUGAUAGUAAACUGUCUUAGACAUAUAUAUAAUUAAGAAAUGGACAAAUAAACUAAACAUACAAAAUGUGUGCGUGUGCUCAUGCAUGUAUACAAAUAUAUAUACACAAGGACACUAAUUUGCAUCCAUAUGUACAUGCAUAUAUACGGACGCACGUACGUACAUGUACUACACGUUCACACGUACACAACACCAACAUCCUUUUCUCAAACAAAUAAAAGUGUAAAACCAAAAAUACAUGCAAUGAGAUAAUAAUUAUAUAAAAAAAAUCCAUUAGUGAGUCAUUUGCAUGCAUAUAUUUGUAGUCACUACAAACUAAUUAUACAGUUACGUUUUAACUGAUGAACACGAUCUAAUAUGUAUUAUAUAUAUAUAUAUAUAUAUAUAUAUAUAUAUAAGCAUCAUAUAUACUCUCGCUCUAUAUCUCUCUUUUGUUUCUUUUUUUUUUUGUUUUGGUAAUUAUGUUGUUGUGAGUAACAUUAAUUGUUAUAUAUGUUUCAACAAUUUACAUAGGUGGUGGCAAAUGUUUCUGAUCCUCCUGGUCAUCUACUCUGCUUGGGCCUCGCCGUUCGAAUUAGCCUUUCAAAAGGUGGGCUCGGGCUCGCUCCUAGCCAUCGAUCUCGUCGUCGACGUGUUCUUCGGCGUCGACAUCAUUGUCUCCUUCUUUGUCGCGUACUUAGAUGGCUCAACGUAUCUCCUCGUCGACGACCGCAAAAAAAUAGCCUUGAGGUAUACAUACAUACAUUACUCGCGUCUUACUUAUGUACGAAAAAUUACGAUUUUACUCUAUUUUAUUAAAUUAUUUAUACACUGAACUAGUUAAAAUAUAACACAUAUGCUCGGAAAGAAAAAAUAAAAGGUUUAGGGUUUCGAAUACAAAUGCUACAUUGUCUAAAGACUUCGUCUCUUUUAAGAGAUUGCAACUGCAUUCAUAAAUUCUUUUUUUUUAAAAAAAAGAGAGCUUGAAAAAAUUGUGUGCACCGGGUGUGCCAGUACAAUUGUGCACCGACUCAAUUCUUUUUAAAAUAGAUGGAGAGUUUGUUAACAAUUGAGGUGGAAUUAAUAGGCAGGAUCUGAGAAUAUAUAUUAACGUUUUUACUCACGUGCAUAAUGAAUAUAAAAGAACAUAUAUUUGAUUGGUGAAACAGAAGAUAAAAAUUUAACCUGUUAAAUACUAAAAGUAGAGAUUAAAUUCACGUUCAUACAGAAAUAAGAGGGUUUAGAAUUGAUUCUGAUAUUAUACUACUGAGAAGAUCGACUUAGUAAAAAAUAAGCCCAGACAUAUAUAUUAAUAGUAUGCGUUUUCAGAUACGUGACGAGGCCGUGGUUCGCGAUGGACGUGGCGUCGACGUUGCCGUUCCAGGUCAUCUACCGGAUCGUCACCGGCAAACACAACGGUGGAUCCGUCUUUGGCUUCAUCAAUCUCCUCCGCCUGUGGCGGCUCCGGCGAGUCAGUACCCUCUUCACAAGGUAUUAUGUUUCUAAAGUGAAUAAUUAUUUGGGUAAACUUCAAAUACCACCCAUGUGGUACGUUUUACACUUUCUCAUUUUAGUACCAUAUGGUUUAAUAUAUUAAAAUGUAUCAAUUUAGUAUCCUGUGAUUUUUCUUUUCUUUUCGUCAACUACUCCGUUAAUAUUUCGUUAAAUUAUAUAUAAAAAAUUUCAGAUAUCUUACUUAGGUUUAUCGAAUAUUCACUUUACUAUCUUUUAGUUUUAACUUUGUCACUGAUUUAACGAAAAAAAAUUAAUGAAUGAAAUAAUAAAAAGAAAAAAAUAAAAUCACGGGGUGCUAAAUUGAUAUAUUGUAAAGCACAUGGUACUAAAUUAAAAAAGUGCGAAAUCACGUAAAUGGUAUUUGAAGUUUCCCCUAAUUAUUUUAAUGAAAUUAUUUUUGUGUCUCUUCACAUUGGUCAAAAAAACACUUUAACUUUAUUUAAUAUUUAUUUAAUACUUUAUUAAUUAUUAGAGAAUAAUAUUGCUACAUAAUUGGCUAUGUUAUCAGCUAGUACAACAGGACAUGGUUUAAAUAAUAGGAUUGAUUGGUUAGCACUAUUUGUAGAGAAUAUAAUAAGUUUUUUGAGUUGAAAUGGAUGUAUUGAAGCUUAUUUUAUGUAAAUGAUUGGAGGGAAAAGUCAAAUUAGGGUUAAAAUUAGUCCUAUCAUGCACAUCAGUACUACAUGUGGUGUCUCUUAAUUAGGGUAUUGAACAUGCACAUGAAUAAAAAAAAAAGUCUUUUUAAAAGAUGUUAUUAUAUAUUUGCUAUUGAAUAUAAACUGUUUAUUUUAAAUACUUUAAAUUUUUAGAGAAAUUAUUAUUUUACAUGAGAGUAGGGUCCAAAUUUGAAUCCUACCACACUUCGAUCCCUUUUAAUUUCUCUCAUAUCCAUCAUGGAUGUGAUGAACUAUGUUAAAUAAAUUUAUUAAUCCUUGUUAAAUAUGAUAAUCAAAUAAUGAACAUAUUCAGUUAACCUCUACAUUGGUUGAAUAAAUUUACUCUAAAGCAAAAUCAAAAGACAUAUCAUAUUCACAAUAUUAUAUGUUAUCAAAUGAUAAUGAAUUUAUGAGGUGGCACUAGCACUAGCUUAAUUAAGAAGAAGAGCUUUGGACCAUUAAUAGCAAUUUCGAUGUAUUCCACCCUGCGACUUUUGUGUGCAGAGAAAAUCAAAACUUUUUAUUAGAAUUUUUAUUUUUUGAGUCUAAAAAAGCUUAUCUCAGCUUUUCCUUCACGGCAAAAGCUCCUAACACAUGUGUUCUCAUUGGAUUUCCUGAAUUUUCAGUCAUUAUCAGUACAAGAUCUUCUGGUACGUACUAUCAGAAUAUUUUGUCAAAUUUUGAAUAGAAAAGUUUAACAAGGAAUACCUUUUGGGAUGACGUUUGGUGGUGGCCAUUGAAGCAUUAAUGCAAAAUAUUAUUGGCGCAACGUACUUUGAACUUGUCAAAAGAAAUUGAGUUUAAUGAAUUCUGUCAUACUUUUUCUAACAAAGAAAACGAAAAAGUUACCGACUGUCCCUAGAGCAAGUGGCAAAGGGUUUGGUGGUUGGUACCCGAGACACAAGCUCGAAUUCUACUUGAUUCACAUUUCCAGCUAAGUUUAUUUCUAAAUGAAAUAAACGAAGCGUGUAGCGUGCUACCUAUCUCUCAAAGAAAACAAAAAAGUUGUUGUUGUCAAAAGCGUCACUUGUCGAUUAUAUUUUGAUGUUGUUGUUACAAAGUGCACAAGAGGAAAAUUCACAGAAGAGAAAACUUUACAUAAUUCUAAAAAGAAAAACACUUUUUUUUUCUUUUUUCAUUUUUCUUUUUCCGCCUUUUUUGGUGUUAAGAAGCUAGUGGAAUGAAACUAGUAGUCCAAUAUGGGCUCUUGUGCUAGCUAGUUGAGAAUGCCUACUUUUUUUCUUUUUCUUUUUCUUUUUCUUUUUUUUAGAUAGCCAAGGUAAGGAGGUGACAAGCAAAACCUCUGAAGAUUGCAACACAACAUUCAUACUAAUGCUGCUUACUUGGCCCUACUGCAGCUUUUGUAGAAAGGCCACUAGAGCCGAGUAGAACUGUUUCAAGAAGCAAUGUCAGUUGCUAUGAAAAAUCCUUGCAAGAUCUUUGUAUGCAAAAAAAGCAUAAAUUACACAAAUUUUGGACCCCUCAAACUUGCAUGUUUCAACUUCUUGGUAUAGCGAAAGAUCGAACGUUUUAAUCUGCCAAAUACGUGGCUGUUGCUUUUUGGAGUAUACAAGUGAUUCCAAAAGCUAGUCAAAUGUAGCAUCCUCCCUGCAUAAUUAAAGGCUAAUCAGCAACAUGGCAGCAUUUCAUCUGAUUUUGUGCAUGAGAGGAAUUACGCAGACAUCAAACAUUUAGCAGCAGAAGUUUCAUUUUUCUUUUUCUAUCAUACCCAAUAAAAACUAUCUUCAUUCGGUUUAUAACUUAAAAUUGGUAAACGAGAAUGUAGUUGAAUGUACAGAAAAUAGAUUCUUUGAUUGAAAUUCAGCAUCAAAAACUAAGACGAAUUCUUGGACUGUACAGGUUGGAGAAAGACAUCCGCUUCAGCUAUUUCUGGACGAGGUUUGUGAAGCUCAUUUGUGUAAGUUCAAGCUCCUAAUUAUUUCAUUGCGAAAGAUACUCUUUACCGCACUAGCAUCAGUAGUAACUUCGACUUAGGCGUUUGUACUCGAAGGCCCAUUCGAUGAAGUUACAAGUACUAGAGUGCUAAUUUAGGUUUAAGUGAGAAGUCAAAAUGUAUAAAAUCACUAAAAUAUGGGAUUUGUAAACCUGGAACCAUCAAACUCCGCAAUUUUGUCGCCUUAAUUUCCUAUGUAGUAGUAAUAAUAGAUACUUGGUUAUGAGUGUUUUUCUCCUUAAUUGGUUACAGGUGACAUUAUUUGCGUUGCACUCAGCAGCCUGUGUAUAUUUCUGGCUGGCGAUGCAUUACCGUAUAAAACAAAAAACAUGGAUUGGGAGCCAGAUACAUGAUUUCAUGGACCGCAGCAUAUGGCUUGGGUACACCUAUGCCGUGUACUGGUCCAUCACUACUCUCACCACCGUCGGUUACGGGGACUUGCACGCAGAAAAUACGGGGGAGAAGCUGUUCAACAUCUUCUUCAUGCUCUUCAAUAUCGGCCUCACCUCCUACAUCAUCGGAAACAUGACCAACCUCAUAGUCCACAGCGCAACGCGAACAUUUAUCAUGGUACUCCUCGCUCUGAGCCCGUUGUCUAAAAGGUACCGAAAGCCAAUUCUAUCACCGAAAUGAAUGUGAAAUUUAAUGCAGAGGGACAAAGUACACCAAGUCUUGCGAUUUGCAAGCAAGAACCUGCUCCCCGAGGGGCUGAGAGAACAGAUGCUAGCACACAUGCAGCUCAAGUUCAAGACCAUGGAGCUGCAGCAGGAGGAAAUUCUUGCCGACCUGCCCAAGGCGGUGCGGUCGAGCAUCGCGCAGCACCUGUUCCAAAGAACGGUCGAGUCAACCUACCUAUUCAAGGGGAUCUCUCCAGACUUCAUAGCACAGUUGGUAAGAAUCUUCCAUCGCUACAUAUUAUUCUAAAAACCUAACCAACUUCCUAAUAAGAGAUGACAAAACUAUUUGAGUAGAAAUAAUCAACCACAUCUGCUUAUCAGCAUGAAUGCUACUUAUCGCGUUUGUAACAAAAGUUUAGAUAAAUUUUUAACAAUAUAGAUCAGUAAGAAGUAUCAUGAUCAUCUAGUUAAUUUCUUGAUCUGUUAUGGCAGGUUUCUGAGAUGAAAGCAGAAUACUUUCCACCUAAAGUGGACAUAAUUCUACAGAAUGAGAUGCCAACAGAUUGCUAUAUUAUAGUCUCAGGGGCAGUGGUAAUAAUAGCGAGCUUUUUUCGAUCGUUUCGUGCGAUACUCUUUCAUUUGUAUACUUAUGCUUAUAUACUGGAGAUAUCGGCCUAAUUUUGCAGGAUGUUCUAACUAACAAGAAUGGAACCGAGAAGGUAAGAUUCAAACUACAAGAGUUAUUUCGUUAACCGGAAAUAUAUCAUCAUGUUUUUCAUAGGCAAACAAAGAAAAGUAAUACUACAUGCUGAAAUGACCAAAUGUUACUUUGGUUCAAAAAUUGUGAUCUUUUGUAAUAACUAAAAUUUCUAACUAUGUGUGCAACUCUCACUCAAAAUCAACACACUAGGAACACACUAAGAGAUGUUUUUUUUUCUCUAUCAAGUGCUCAUUAGAAUACCAACUUAUAUAUAUAUCUCUCUUCUUUUUUUUUUUCUUCUUUUAAAUAGAAAAAGGAAACCAAAAUAAUUUUUUUCUUGUCCUUUGAAAGCAAAGAAUUAAUACUGAGAAUACUGAGAAUACUGAGAUUUUUUUUUUUUCCUGUUUGGCUCGCCUCGGAAGCCUUAGCUGCUUCCAUACUGUACGCUUAAUUCAUUUCUCAAUGAAUGAAACAUGUAGCUCGUCUUCCUCUUUCUCAAAAAAAAAGUAACGGUAUAUGGGUUUCUAGUUUGUGUCAAAAUUAGGUCCUGCAGAUAUGGUAGGAGAAAUUGGAGUGAUCUUCAACAUGCCUCAGCCUUUCACGGUACGAAGCAGAAAGCUUUCCCAGGUCGUUCGGAUAAGCCAUCAGCAUCUUAGGCAGAUCGUUCAGCCGUGCAACAUAGAUGCGGAAGUAAUUUUCUCCAAUUUUCUUCAGGUUUGGCUCCGAAUUUAAAAAAUUCACAAAGAAAGAAACUGAAAAUUUAAUUGGCUCAAGGAUAUAUUUUGUUUUGCUGGAACUUCUGCAGAAAUGCUAUUUGAGAAACACAGUAUUCUUAUUACAACAGCCACGAGUAGAAGCUUCUUACAUACUUUUGAAGCCUAAUAAAUUGCAGAAUCCAACUUAUGAUUCUUCUUACAUUUCCAGUACCUCAAAAAUCUAAG